This 159868-nucleotide long non-coding RNA is filed under the name Triticum aestivum (bread wheat). RNAcentral describes it as "long non-coding RNA (TAES_LNC019707)". The record is from RNAcentral. Lineage: Eukaryota; Viridiplantae; Streptophyta; Magnoliopsida; Poales; Poaceae.
ACACCAAGACCUCCCUGGGGGCGGCCUCGCUAGGCUGGCUCCUGAGGAGCGGAGAUAUCUAUGCAAGGGGCACCUCGCGAGGUUCACGUGACGUGAGCCGUGACGACCAAGGCCAGGCGGGUGCCAGCGGGCGCAGUGUACCAGUUUCCCCUUUGGUGCCAAGGGGGGCAAGCGCAGUCGAGGAGUCCCGAGGCGGCAGGCAAAGGCUUCCAUAUUGGUGCAACAAGACCAAGACCAGCAGGACAGUAGGACGGAGGUCACCGUGGGGCCUAGGACGGCGUCACCAUCAGAGCCUUUGGUAGGCGAAGACUACUUUUGUCAGGAUAGCUUGUACUAUCUGUCCCCCUUUAAAUUGGCCGUUGUGGGAUCCCUUCCCGCCUGAUAUUUGGGAAGAGGACCGGGGCCUCUAUUAAUAGGACUAGCCACCACCAUAGCAGGGGGGAUCGAGAUCGGCACCAGCUCAUUGAGCCCAAGAACACCUCUCCUCCUGAGGCUGUUCGUCCCUUGUACUAGUUCAUCUUCAGCCCCUCGAGGCAAUCCACCACCACACACUGGAGUAGGGUAUUACACCGCAACGGUGGCCCGAACCAGUAUGAACCUCUGUGUCUCAUGUUCUUCGUGUUCGUCAAGCUAGGUCGUGGAUCGUUGAGCGGGCAAGCUAGGGAAAGAGAGAGAGUUCUUCGUACGCACCCCAGUGUUCGAACCUCAAGGGUUUGCCGGAACCCACGAUCCGACAAAUACUUGUCAUCUUACCUGACAAGGUAUUGAAGACUGACUGGGAUGUGGCGGGUGGAGGAGCUCAGGUGGUGGCCGGAACUGAGGGCGCCGAGGAUUUCAUCCCCAUGAACAGGUGGCUCAGGAUGGUGGCCCUGCCUGGCAGGAUCGCCUUCAUGCGCCUGCCUCAUUCAAGGGGACGAUCUUCGAGGCAGGGCCACGAGGAGGGAGCCCGGGAGCCGCUGCGCUUCUACCAACAGAUCAAGGACAACGAGGACCUCGCCAUGCUCGUCGUCCCUCCCAAGUUCGUGGAGGUGAUGAACACCUGGAUGGUCAUCAAGCGGCUCCCGCGCGUGGUCAGGCUGUCGGCGAACAAGCGGUGCGUGUUCUGGGUGCAGGUCCAGAACUUCGAGGGGCACAUGGUGCUUGGCCAGGGCUGGAACUACUUCUGCCGCCGCCACCGGAUCGUCCCCGGCGACCUCGUCGUUGUGCGCAUCUCAGGACGCGGACUGAAGGUUCAGAUCUACAACCAUGACUCCUCGGUCAUGUGCAGGUUUCGUUGCAGCAGGCACAGUUGCGUUGGUGACAUCGAGCAUGCUAUGUAGUUAAGUUAAGUAAGGUGUUAGUGUUGAACUUUUAUGGUGUGUGGCGAGACUUGUGCUGGGAACUUGUUCAUAUUUUGGCCAGGAGCAGCACCCUGGCAUGGAGCAGGGAAGGAGGAUGCCCCUGCUGUUAAUCUAGAUUAUGUUAUGUAGUCAAGUAGUUUGCUGUCAUCUCUUUGCUUGCUGUGUUUGAUUUCAUUUGGUUGCUUGCUUUGUUUGAUCUUGUUGUUGUGCUGAUCAUGUGGUGGUAAGGCCACCACAUUUGAAUGGGGUGAGCAGAACACAAACGUUGUUUGCAACCAAACAGCUGAAGUUUGCAUCUGCUCACACCCUAAGCACAAAAACACCAACCAAACAGCAGGGGGUAAGUGCCCCUCCAUGCGAUGCAGGCAACCAAACAGGUUGCAUCUGCUGCAUAUGAGGCUGCAUUCAACAACCAGGCUGGCUGGAUAUGGACAUGCAAUGCAACUACUGUUGCAAACUGCAACCAAACACGCUCGAGAUGUUCCUUCCCGAAAGAGUUUNNNNNNNNNNNNNNNNNNNNNNNNNNNNNNNNNNNNNNNNNNNNNNNNNNNNNNNNNNNNNNNNNNNNNNNNNNNNNNNNNNNNNNNNNNNNNNNNNNNNNNNNNNNNNNNNNNNNNNNNNNNNNNNNNNNNNNNNNNNNNNNNNNNNNNNNNNNNNNNNNNNNNNNNNNNNNNNNNNNNNNNNNNNNNNNNNNNNNNNNNNNNNNNNNNNNNNNNNNNNNNNNNNNNNNNNNNNNNNNNNNNNNNNNNNNNNNNNNNNNNNNNNNNNNNNNNNUGUAGUGUCGGUCACGCUCGCUGGCGGCCGUAGGGGCGAUUGUAAAUGAGGGAGGCGUGGGGGCCCUCCAUGGGGGUGAUGCGGGCUCUGCUUUGACGCCGCGGCGACGGCGGCUCGAGGACGAACCAGCCUCGUGGUCGUGCGCCCCCUUGCGGCCGAUGCUCCACCACACCAUGGCUGUCGGCGGCCGGCGAGCUCGAGGAAGGGGAAUGGAGAACUAGGGUUUGGGUGUCGAGUUUCGAGGAGGCAGCAGGGACUCGAGUGGGAGCGUGGACUGCGACCGGUUCACGGCUUCCCAUCUAAGAAGGACGCCUUCCGCUCGCCUGGGCGGAUGACAGGUGGGGCCGACUGACCGCGCGUGCACAUUUAUGUUGGGCGGUGGGAGGUAGGUGGCCGCCUGCCACGCAGCCCCAAUGCGGACGAGCGACGUGUCCAUUUGCUGUACGCAUGGACCCAAACCGGGCACAUGUUUGUGCUCGAAAUGGGUCGGGCUGGACACAAAACGGACAAGAUGGGUCCCGGCCGUCGUGCGCUGGGCCGUGGGGUCUGUCCGUUUUGCCCCAAACGAACAGGGCCGGAUGGGAUGGGGUCGUGCGCUGGAGUUGACAUAGUUUAUAAACAAAAAUAUUAAUCUAUACAAUAACAAAUCAACACCAUUAGAUUUAUUAUUGAAUGUACUUUCACGUCAUAUAUUUGUUAUGAUAAAUGUGUGUAUUGUUUUAUAAUUUGAUCAAACUUUACGAAGUUUGACUUCAGUCAACUCUAAUAUGCAGAGUAAAUAAAAACGAAGGGAGUAUGUGACUUUGCAUCUCGAGACAUCUCGAUUCUCAAGAGGGUAAAGACAAGUGUGGCUCUCAACUAAACAAACGUAGCAGUGACUUGUUCUUUUUUGUGUUGUUUCACCUAGUGUUGCGGUGUCAUCGGUAUGUGUCGAUGCCUUGGAGGUGUCAUCUUCUUGGACACUAGCUUGGCGGAUCGUCCCGGAGAAAAUUGUCAUGGCUGGGAGGUUUAACCUAGCUACUAUAGUCGAUAAGCUUCACCAACAUCUUCUUCCUCUUCCGCUGCAUUGAUCGUUGGUGAGAUCACCGUUACCUGUACCUCCAUGGACAUGGUGUUUUGGGGCAUGUUCGUACACGGUACUUUCUUUAUUGCGGAGCAUGUUCCAGUAUAGUCGGAGAAUGAAUUGACAGGGUGAGGCAAAGAGGGUGACCGCCCUCGUGCCCUGAAGGAAUAAUGCCCCUAUCCAACAGUCUAGUAACAAAUCCUCUAUAACAUUAUGCUCCCUAGCUGUAAAGAGUCCACAUUCAAUUGAGGUCUCCAAUUGGGAUUGGGUUAUCCGUUUUUGACCGGGUCAACAGUUUCUCAAAGCUAUCUCAUUCAAUUCUUUUAUACUAUACACUAUGAUUUCUAAUUUUUAAGGCCUCAUAAUUAGUUGAGGUAUUCAAUUUAGAAUUAGGUCAGCCCAAUUUUGACCGCGUCAACAAAUUUUGAAGGGCUCUCAUAUUCAAUUCUUUUAAUUCCCUAUGUUCCCAUUUUGAAGCUAUUUCAUUCGGUUGAGGUAUUCAAUUUUAGAUUUGGUUUACGAUUUUGACCGGUCCAAUGAUUUUUCAAAUCAAUCCGCAACAACCGGCCUAUAAAUGAUUUCUAAUUUGUAAGACCUCACAAUUAGUUGAUGUUUUCAAUUUAGAAUUGGGUCAGCCCAAUUUUGACCGGGUCAACAAUUCCUCAAGGGCUCUCCCAUUCAAUUUUUUUAAUUUCCUAUGCUCCCAUUCUGAAGAUCUUUCAUUCAAUUGAGGUAUUCAAUUUUAGAUUUGGUUUACGAUUUUGACCGGGCAAAUAAUUUUUUAAAUCAGUCAGCAGCAAUCGGCCUAUAAAAACAUAUCAAUCCCGCGCACCCUCCAACCACAUAGAAAAAGAAGCACCACCUGUUGACACAGGUUGCCCUCAGAUUCGGAGCCUGGCAUCACAGGACAAGAUGCCAUCAUAGGGGUUGCACAUCCUUCAGUUGGACGCCUAUACCUCCAAAUGUUUGCUCAUGCCGCCGGCACCACUGGAUCCAAGCCCCACUUACCGGGAGGCAGUGGAUUCCCAUUGAAGCGAUUCCGACGGUGGAGUUCGGGUUUCCUCCUGGGACCAGGGAGAGCUAGCUAGAAGGCUAACUCCUUGUCCACCAGGGGAUGAGGCCCCAGUCCACGGAUCCGGUGUUUCCGGACUCGGUUUCUCUACCCGCCAUGCUGGAGAAGGUCGGAGAUCGCCGAAGAGGAGGUGAGAGGGCAGAGUGGAGUGGAAUGGAAUGGAAAUGGAAUUGAAUGACUAAGGUUUGGUCCAGGAUGGGUGUAGAUACAUACAUGAUAUCUGUGGGGUCGGGAUGGGACGGUCCGAUGUGGUCUAGACCUCCCCAUAUCCGCCUCACUUAGGGCUUGUGUUUUAGAUGUGUUAAACAACCCUAGCAUUUGGUUUGGGUAUAGAGGGUCUAGUUGUGUGGCACUUCAUGACCAGAUAGUGAUCGGACCGUCCCCGAACGUAUAGCGGAGUUUUGAGGGGUCUGGUUGUAGAAGCUUCGAGGGCUCAUUUGAUUUGAAGGAUUUUCAAAAAAUAAAUAAAAAUGAAAUAAGAAUUCUAGAAGUUUUUUUGUAAGUGCAUCCGGUUUAUAGGAAACAAGCACAACAAUUACUUAGGAAUAAUAUUCCUUUAUUGUGUUUUAAUUGGACUACACAUCGGUCAAAGCUUAUUAUUUUUAUAUAAACACUUGGUUAGCCAAUUCUAUAUGUUGGCAGUUGACAUCCUAUCACAUUUUUGUAGUACUUCCAAUUCCUUCGUUUUGGUUGCCUCCAAACCAAAUGAGCCCUUGUCAAGAGUCAGACAACCUUGCUACUAUGGUGUCCAUGAGGGGUCAGAGCACCAGUGGUUUCUCCUGCACGACAACGAUGUCAACUAUGGUGCUUUGCCUCGAGAGUUCAAGCUUGUAGCUUUAGAAGCACAAGAAUGCUAUACAAAGAAAUAAAAUCCUGUGGGUUAAAAUCCAGCAGGAAUUCUCCAAACGGAAUGAGUCCUUGAGCUGUUCCCUCAUAGUGUGCACAAAUAAAACUAAUUAAAAAGCAAAAUACUAGAAAAUCAACACUAAUCUUCACCCACUGGAUUCCUACGGGCAGUAAGGCUGCGUGAGAUUCACUAGUUAAAUCAACACUAAUCUUCUACCAAGAAGCUAAUCAACAUAUUUUUGGUGUUGAGAUCCACUAGUUAAACCAAUACUUUGGGAACUUCACACCUACUUACAUUGGGUGAAAUAUUUAGUUCUUAAUGGUUACACAUCAAAAUUCGCCAGGGGAGCACUAGAUGCACUUCCACAUAUCCACCAUUGUCACCUUUCCAAACAAAACCACAUUGAAUUUUCUGAACUUCUGUAUUACACACUUCGGGGGGAUUAGUAGGGUGAUGUAGGACGUAACAAUGGUGAUAAGAUGGCCUUGACGAGAUUAAUACGACUAGUAUGGGUAAAAAAACAUUUUGUCCCGCUCUGGCAGACAUACUCCAAAUUCAUCAAUAGCCAAUGGAAUUUGAUCCCAAGGAGCAUGCUUUUUUUUUUACCACAGAUCCCAAGGGCAUGCUUGGGUGAAGGGGUAGAUCAAGAUGGGUGCAAGGAGAGUUGAGGACUGAGGCAAAGAUUUAUAAAUUUUCUUACCUAAUCAUGUACUAGAAACCACUGAUAAGGCAAUUAUUAGGCAAUAAACUUCCGACAUCUCUGCCAAGAAAUCCACUCAAGAUAUAUUAAAAAGAAUAUACAUGGCGACACAUAUAUGAGAUUAUACAAAUACACUAUAUAAUUGAAGGAUGCGUGCACUUUCCAAAUACUCAUUCAAAUAGACGUGCAAUUUUGUAAGCAAAUUCAUUUGCGGAUUUAAGGGACAUGGUUAUAAGAUCUUGUUAAGAAAAAUGUCUAAAAAAUGAGGAAACUAAUGUAAGUUGAUAUUAAUUUAGUGUAACAUGAACGUAUUUUCCAAUGAUAUAUAUUAAAAUUUAUAUAACAACAAAUACUAUAAUUAACAUUUAGCAUUAUUGCUAUGUGAUUAAGUAGGCUAACUUAGUAAUGGGAAAAUAUAUACCAUUUGGAUUGCACUAUGAUAAAUGGGUUGUAAUAAAGUAUACAAGUUUAGUAUAAUCUUAAAAUAUAUAUAGACAUAUGAUUUGGUUGAAACAAGCCCACGGAGGUACGAACUAAUGGAUUAUAAAACCACUUGUCCAUUCGUCAAUAAAGCUGCAGCACGAUAGUACCAAAGACACAUCACUACUAGGGAAAACCUUAUACACAAAAUCUUAGCAGCAGCGCGGUUUAAAAACAGACGCUACUGCUAAUUAGCAGUAGCGAGCUUCAGGAAACCGCGCUACUAAUAGCACGGUAGCAGUAGCGGUCUAGGUGAAACAAGCGCUACUACUAUAAUUGCCACGGUGUUGCCCCCAGGCUAGAUAUAGUAGUAGCGCCCUUCCAGGAACGCGCUACUGCUAAAGUAAUAGUAGCAGCGUUUUUCUUCAAAACACGCUACUGCUAAGUAUUGCACCUAAUUAAGUUUAGUCCCAUACUGCUAAGCGAACAAGGUGUUUACCACCUUAAAUAUAUUACUUCUCAAACUAUCUCGAGCACUUGGUCUUCAUUGAACUAUAUGUGUAGGAUUUGUGGCUGCAAUAUGAAUCUUCACCAGUGCCUAUACAGGUACUGUGAGGAUUCAUGUUGACUAUUUAGAUUCUACACAAAAAGAUCAAUGAUGACCAAUGUAUAUUUUUGAAGUUUUUACAUGCUUAGACUUAGCAGUAGCGUUUUUUCAGGGCAAAGCGCUACUGAUAUUAUAAAACAGAAAGGAAUAGCUGUAGCUCGUUUCGCUAAACACGUUGUAGCUAACUUAGCUAUAGCUCGUUCCGGCAAAACGCGAUGCUGCUAGUUUGACUUAACCCCCGGCCGCGCGGGCUCAAAAUUUCGCUUAGUCCUUCCCCUCCACUUCCCCCUCUCCCCCAACUGCUCCAUCGUCGCCGUCAGCCUGCCGCUCUCGACCUCACCGCCGCCGCCCUCAACCUCACCACCGCCGCCGCCCGCCGCACACCCUCGACGCUUCCCCCGACCCCGACCUCGACGCCGCCCCCGACCUCGACGCCGCCCCCGACCCCGACAUCGACGCCGCCCUCCGCCGCGCGCCCGAGCCCCGACCCCGUCCUCGACGCCGCCUGCCCCUCCCUCGCCGCAGUCACCGUAAGGCUCUGCCUCUCCUCUCCCCUACCCUCCUCUCUCUCGGCUAGGGCAAUUCAUAUAUGUGUUUAUGCUGUGUUGAUGUUCAUAUGAACCCUAGGUGUUCAUAUGAACCCUAGAUUUGUUUAGAGCAGUAGGCAUUUUUUAGCAUUUAGGAAAAAUGAUUAGCAAUUUUUUUAGGAAAUUAGCUAGGGCAAAUUUUUUAUGAAAAUGCCUAAAUAGUAAUUUCAUUAAAAAAUAGAAUUGUUUUUUUUUCCAGAAACUUGGUUAAACUAAUUGUUGCUAUGUAAACAAAAAACAAGAUUGUUGUUAUAUGAUAUAUGUCAUUGAUGUUCAUUUGCAUAUUCCAUUAUUGAAGUGGUUUGAUUGUGCCCAAGUGGGUUUGUUGUUUCCAGGGAAUGAAGUCGAUUAUGUUUUGCCGGAAUGUUGAUUCAUUUUCGUUCCGGCAAAUUUCAGGUUCUCGAUUUGUCCACUUUUUAGUAAAAGUCAUGCCGAAAUUUUCCGUGAAUUUCGGCAUGACUUGUGCUACAAACUAGGACACAUCAAGUACCCGGGAUUUGCCGCACCGGGAAGGAGUCAACAUUCCUGCAAAGCAUAGGCCUUUUUUAUGUCAUUAUUCAUUUUAUUAGGUAUAGAAUUAAUUGACUAGAUUUAAUCGUAAGAACUAGUUGAAUUAAUAGAACUAGUUGAACAUGUCACAUUUGUUGUUAUUUUUUUAGUUAAAGCAAUUUUUCCCGCAUCGACGUCGAUGAUGCAUAUCCCGCAUCCUCGUAGUCGAGUCGGCGGAGGACACCUGCGUCACCAGAUGGGCCAUGUCUAGGACUGGGCUCCGCCGGGGUGGUACUGGGAGGCGCUACCUACUGGGGGGCGCAGGUUGGUGAGGAGCCAGCCUGUCGUUGACCCGAACCUUCUUUGGUGGCGGUCGCAUGGGCCAGUGACGGUCCAUAGGCUCGAGGACCCCGCGGAGGUGGUGCGUCACCGUGUCAGUGAGGAGGACGCGCACGUCCGUCGCUACUUGUUUGCGUUGGAGCACAUGUUCUCCAAUACCUGGCAGGUUCUCCAGGGAUCUCACUGGAGCUAUGAUCCUGUGAUGGUUCCUUCUCUUUGGGUGUCCACCGCCCGCGCCGAUACCCGUCGUGUGCUAGGGUUUUAGUUGUAUUAGUGAUAUUAUAUGUAUGAUACUAUUCGGGAUGUAUUAGUGAUAAUAUUCGACGAUGUACGGACGCAUGAGAUGAUUUACUUUUGCUUAUUGAAUGCAUGCUAAUUUGAAUACUUAUUUAUUUUAUGAUUUGGUUUUUCUUAUUGAAUGCAUGCUAAUUUCAAUAUGAGUCCUAUAAGAUAUUUUGAAAUGUAUAUCCUGGUAGUUGUCUUCGAUCGAUUUUCAAUUAAUGUUUCAACUAUGAACAUAGGAAAUGUCUGACAACGAAAAGGAUUUCGGUAUUUGCAAAUACUGCGAAGACGAGCGCGGCCUGUGCGACGGAAUCUUCCUAGAUGAUGCUAGGCGCUUCAGCAUCAAGCUGGACGUGAACUUCGAAGUGGAUACAGUAAGUCACAACAACAAGUCUUUUUUCGUAAUUAAGCAUGACAUCUGCUUCAUUUGCUUCAACUUAUAAUUUAAUUUUUUACUAUUCUACUAGCGUAUCCCCUGCCAUGCAAGAGUUUUUGUCUUGGAUAAGAUAGGUUUCAGUCGUACUAUGGAGGUAAAGAAAGUUUACUUGAAGACCGAGCAUGGUUGUAUUUUCCACGCAAAAUUAUACAACGCAGACGACUAAACCUAUUUUGGAUGCAAAACUUGGCGAGCACUAUGCAAGACUUAUGCAUUUGAGCCUGAUAUGGUUAUCACCUUUGAUAUUCGUCCGGAAGAUGAUAUUGAAGGUAAUACCGACAUCUGGGUCGAUGUGCAGACGCCUCCAGUUAUACCAUUAUGUGAGUUUCUCAACCAUAUUUAUGUCUUUGAUAUUGUUUAUUCAAAAAUAGUUGACAACUAAUUUCUAUUGUCAGCUUAUUUCCGUUCAAGCAAACAUGUCCAGCGCUUGGUAAACAGGACCUACUACUGUCCCGGGGCUGAACUAAACUGCGAGGAGCUAAGUCAUUAUGUUUCAUGGCUUGAGGAUCUUAAUACUGUCAAGACAAAUUUUCUUCCUGCACAUAGAAAUGUUAGUACUGAAAACGUGAGACCAAUAGUGUUCAUAAUGAACUACGGUCACAUCUAUUUAGGAAAGAUGGUAAGAUUUUUACUAUUUGUCCUCAGUGCAUCUUUUGCAUACAUUAUUUUUUAAGCUAAACUUCAUUGCUAAGUAUAUUACUAUACGAUGUUCUUCAACAGGGACUCUCGAUGAAUGUUGUGCCUCAUGGGAUCGAGACUAAAGGUACCAUGAGUAUUGUUAGCUUACGGCCAAGAUAUCCUACAAUGCACUUUAGUGCAUUCAGGAUUUCUAAUAGCGAGGGAUGCUUAAUAGUGAAAGACUGGACCAAAUUUGUGAUGGAGGAGUGCAGAGAAGUACUAGGGGGCAGCAAUCAGAAGCGCAGCCCACGAUUAGGAGACUGGUUCAUCUGCAUGCUCCAACUUGAUGAAGGAGAAGAGCUACACAUGUUUUAUGUUAUUUUACCUGAGAGAGAGCAGCAGGAGUGAUUAGCUAGCUAGAAAUGAGUUUGAAGAUGAUGAUAUGCUACACUAUGACUGUGAUGAUUAAAUAGCUAGUGUUGGUGGUAAUGACUAUGAUGAUUAUUAUUUGCUAGUGUUGGUGGUGAUUAGAUAGCUACCGCAUCUAGUGUUGGUGGUGAUUAGCUAGCUAGAAUGAGUUUGAAGAUGAUGACGUGCUACACUAUGACUAUGGUGAUUAAAUAAAUACUGUUGGUGGUAAUGACUAUGAUGAUGAUUAAAUAGCUUGUGCUGGCGGAUUAGAUUCAAGUGGAGGCAACAUGUGGUGCACAUCGAAAGUACUACUAGUCCAAACUAGAUCAAGUUUGGAUUAGUAGUAUACUUUUGACAUGCACCACAUAUUGCCUUUACUUGAACCUAAUCCACCUUCAUUUGACACACUGUUAUGGACAUAAUGAUAUAAACCUCAAAAUUGGUAUUGUAUCAAAAUUUGUAUAACGGCGUAUAAAUACACUAAAAAAUAAAAAAGUACUAGUAGCGAUGGAUAGUAAACACGCUGCAACUAGCUAGAUUAGCAGCAGCGCGGGAGAGAACAAGCGCUGUCACUAUGUGUCUUAGCAGUAGCGCGUGUCGCACGCGCUACUGCUAAGUAAUAGCUGUAGCGCCUUAUUAGUAGCGCGGCAGGCCGCGCUACUAGUGGGCAUUAAACCCGCGCUACUAUUAGGGUUUUUCCUAGUAGUGCAUGCCUGACAUUCAUAAAUUUUAAUCAAAUCUGAGCCGCCUUUUAUCGAACAUGAAUGUACAUGGUAUUGCACAUAUAUGCACAUGAGUUUGAGAGGCUUAAGUGAAAAAAAACUUCUUAGUUUUAACCUCUCUUCAGAACAUGGUACGGACCAUAAUUGGUAUGGUCGUGAGGAAAAAAUCGUGCAUGCCUAAUUUAUCCCUACUGACGUGCUAAUGAAGGCACACUCAUUCUGCUAAGUCUAUGCGUAUUGACUUGAGAUCGCGCGACUGAUGGAGGCGAUGUUGCAAAACCAGAGCUUCCCUGCCUAAUUUCAUCAACUCCACAACAUAAUCACCGAGAUUACCGUUAAUUAAAUGAUUCUCUUCCAAAACGUACCCAUUUACAUUUUAGAAUAAAACUCCAAAGGUGAAUUACCCGAAAUACCCAAUGCAAUGGACGGUUGAGAUGACCUGAUACUAAUAGUCCAUAAGACUAGUAAGUUGCACCGUAAAAGACCUCUCAGCGGGGUGCAGAGUAUCAAAUCAAAGCUAUACUUGCUCAUCGGGGCUAGAAUCAAUGGAUGGAUCGGCACAAACAAGUCCGACAGGAACCAGAAAUGGAGAGCCAUAACAGUACCAUUAUGCCGGCCCUGGAUGAACCUCUCUUCAUUCCAAGGAACCCACCAUUUUCUUCCCCAAAAGAACCCAUCAUCCUAAAGACGGAGCAACUCAACCUCUGUGAUCUGAGACCCCAAGACGAUCAAGUUGUUUACUACCGAUGUUUCUUCAUUUUCUUGCAACGUUCUUACCUUCUCACUAACAGAACCAAAACCCACCAUUUCUUGUUCCCCUUGCUUGGCCUUGCGAGAGGUUUUGAGUGGCUUUGGGUCAUCGAUUGGGAGGUUUCCCCCCGCCCUAGUUUUUUCUUUUGCCAGUACCCAUCGAGGAAGGUGGAUCCUUGGGUGAGCUACAUGAUAGGAAAAAGGGGGGACAUAAAGAGAGGACGAAUAACAAUCACCAGUAUGAUUACCAACAUCCAAAGAAAUAUGUCUUUCUUCCCAUGCAUGUCCAUUACCAGAGUCUUCAUCUGUCAAAUGGUAUAUCAGUCAAUACUGACAAAGCAACGCAUAUUGAACAAAUAAGGAAGGGGUCUUACCCCAAUCAUCGCCACCAUGAUCUGUCUUCCAUCAAGAUGUUCCUAACUUCCCUCACCCACCAUUCCGGCAUGGCCCGCCGCUUGUGAGUCCAACCCCUACGCCUUCUUCGACGAUCUCAUGGAGGAGGAGGAGGAGGUCGACGACACCGACUAGAUGAUGUUGUCAGUGGUUCUACCAUAGGUAGUAGAACAUAGCAAUGUCGAAUAGCGACAUCACAUUGCAUAUUUUGAAAAUGUCGCUUAGUGACAUUUGGAAUCACAAACAAUAUGUAAUGCGACGACUUUUGGCUAGUAAUAUAAGUUUAUUAUGUUUGAUGAUGAUUUGAACAUGUUUCAAUGUACCUUAAAUUGAAUAUACAAAAAAGGAAACAAGUAAAACCACAAAUGCUCUCGAUGAUGCCCUGUCGCUCCCGUGGCUCCUACCCCGCCGGUGCCGCCUGUUCUUGCUGUUGAUGCUUCUCAGGCUGAUUGGGAUGCAACCAAUACUCUCGAUGAUGCUGCGGUUGAUGUUUAUGAUCAGCAGGUAUCAGCUUAUUCAGAUGCUCUUUCUGUCUACCAAGAUGAUCUGUCUGCUUAUACUCAGUGGUGCAAUAAUGAUGCUCGAGCUGCUCGUGUUCUUACUGCGAGUGUUCUCUGACUACUCAUGAGGUGUCCAAGCUGCAGACUACCCACGCACGCAUGCAUGCAUGGCGGAUGACAACAAAAUCGAGCGAGAUACCCGAUCCACAAACGUGUGGAAGAGGGAAGUGGAAUGGUCGAGUCGACCAGACAUGCACGCUCCAUCCACCAAUUGAUUCUUUUUUUUAAUCAAUUCUUGGAGGACUCUUUCACGAUAACUUGUUUCCGGAGAGGCCGGAAAAUUCAAGGACGUGGACGGUGGAAAGCCUCUUCCUUUUCUUUGUCGGCGGCUCUUCACAACCGGUUAGCCAGAGCCAAUGAACCAUAUUAGAUUAGCGACGGCUAACGGUGCUGCUUAAUUAAUUACUAGGCGUCAACCAAAAAGCUCAGCUCCGACCCCAGCCAUGAGUGGGAGUGGCCCGUCAUCAUUGCAUUUGCACAGCGACCUAGCCAAGCCAUCUCGUCUGACCGUGACCUGCAGCGCCUAUCUUUUCUUUGCACAACACAAGUCUCAAAGCGUGGGCAUUCUUUUUCUUCCCCACAGAAAUCGAAUGAAGCUACACCUCAAGAAAAACCAAAGAAUGGAUUAUCACCAACGAAGUUGGCCUUCUUAUCUGACCACGCAACGCUCCGAGACGGCAGACAGACCGGGUGAGGCAAGGAAAGCAUACACAGUCAAAAGAAUCAUACUGUAUGCAACUGAAGAAAGAAAAUUCAGAUACUCCUACUUUAUACCAAAGGAAGGCAGUACGUGGCUUGCAGAAAUUAGAAGGUGCGGUACGUCAUGACCCUUCCCGAAAGAGUUUGUUGGUUAUGAGAUGUUCCUUCCUUCCCGAAAGUGUUUGCGGUGUACCCUCUCAAGUAUAUCCAGUAUCUCGAGAGGGUAACUACACAAACAUAGCAGUACACAGUAUAUCCAGUACUACAUCUGAAACCAUAUACGUUUGCGGUGUACCCUCUCAAGUCAAUCUCCUGUUAGCACUAGCACUCGGCUAUCACGAAUGCGUGAAGCAAUGCAACAGAGUGUACAGAACACCACUGCCUAGCUCUGUCAUUAAUUCAUUUCUCCCAGACAGACCAAGCAAAGCGUCUUAAUAACCAAGAACAAAAAAGGAAUACUACUCACAGAUGACCACAACCGAUUCUUUCCGGAUUAACUUAUACGCACCUUUAUCACUUUUGAAGUCGAAGUAUCCCUGUCAUGACUACUUCCUGGAGUACCGUUGAAGUUUUUCCUGCGCAGGAAUCAGAUAAACUAAUGAAGGUCGUUCCAUAUGGAUAAACUGUUGAAAGAACAACCAAAGGCAGCAAAAGGGAAGGAAUAGCGAACCUGAAGAUGCAGUGACCAGUAGAGCCACCACAGAGGGUUGCAGCGAGGACUGUCUUUUUUUUUUUUAAACGGAACACAUGUAUUCCAUUACGAUGACGAUCUGGCUAAGUCGUCUGUUACAAAGUUUUAUACAAACUCAGGGAAGUGGCCUAACCAGGCCUCACACCCUCCACUCCCUAGACCAUGACCAUACGCAGCUAAAGAGUGUGCUGCAUUGUUACGGAUUCUAGGACAUACAUUUAGCUUAGCAACAUCAAAAGCAACAUUCAACUGAAAUUUUAUCUCCUGAAACAAUGAUCCUGGAGUAGAUUUAUCAUACUCUUCGCUUGUUGCCGCCUGCUUCAGCACCAUGGAAUCAGUUUCAAAGAUAACAUGAUUGCCUCCCAUCCUUGCUGUGGCAUGGAUUGCAUACAACAUGGCUAAUGCUUCAACAUGGAGUGCACUGGAUACCAGUUCCAGGUUUCUGCUCCUGCAGCCAAAAGUGUGCCUUCAUCAUCUCUCAAAGUAAAACUCCAACCUCUAGAAUUUGAUGCUUCAUGAAACGCACCAUCAGAAUUUAUCUUAAGGAAUGUACUUGGCGUAGGAGAUCAUUUGCCGUGACGGACUGAUUCUAGCUACUCCUUCGGUUCUUGAGAUUCCUGAAAACAUUGACAAUGAUAGUAAAUAGAGGAAACAAUUUUGUCUAUGGUUUUCAUUGUGUCACCUACGUUAGCUUUAUUUCUUUCAUGCCACCAUUAUGUCCUUCCCCCCUUGGGGGCGUCGUUCUUGGAGGUGUGCACGGGCUCGAGGGACCAGUGGACCGCAUCUUUGGUGGAGCGGUGCUUCAUCCUACACAUUGAUGGCGACGGAUCUCGACGGCGUGGCGCAGUGCAGAUUCGGCGUCCGAUGUGCGAGGAUGGACUCGCGCAGGAGGACGACGCUGUCUGGCAUCAUGGUGGCGUCGAUGACAGAGAGACCUGGCACGGUAGAUGCAACAGUACAGCUCUGAAGAUGGAUUGGUGGCAGGUGGCUGCGGCGGCCUCAUACCCGGCAGGCGUCCUGAUUGGGACCUCAGGUCAUAGAUGUUAGGUUUGGCUGCGAGGUCUGUUUGGUAUUAGGCCCAGACUAUCAGCAUCCCGACAUCAACUGGAUAGGAGUAGCGACAGAUGUUGCCUAGACGGUGGCUUUAGUCUUACUGUUGUAUGACUUUGUAAGGUCUUAUGUGAAUAAUUAAUAAAGUGGCUGCAUGCAUCGUCCAGAUGCAGAGGCCGGGGGUCCUCCUCCAUUUCUAAAGAAAACCAUAGCCAGAAUAGGACACAGCUCUCUUCCUCUGGCAGAUGAAAUAAUUCCUCAAACAAAUUGAGGGGAUCAUUGCAUAGCACUAACUUGUUUCUAAUAUUUUCCAUCUAUGCCAAGCGCCACAGUUGUUCCACCUUUUUGCAUUUGAGGAAACAGUGACCACCAUCCACAUCAUAUCCAAGGGCUAAGGCACACUGGGCAUCUAAUGUCAAUAUCCAUUCCCAUGUUUUUCAACUUCAUUCUCAGUGGUAGGUUGUAUGUUGCCAUACGCCAAAUGAAGUGGAGGGCCUUAUUUGGGAGAGGUAAAGCCCAUAUUUUCUGGUCCUACUGCUGAGGUGAACAGGUUACAGAAAUAGCUAGCAACAUGCUCUUUUAAAUGCUCUGCACCCUCUACCCACACUCCAUUCUCUCCUUAACCUCCUAACCAGUGGCGAAGCUACGUGCAUUCCUGAAGAUUUUUUUUUUGGAGGAACAUAGUUACAAGAAUUUUUUCUCGGUAGGUCCCCCAAACAUGCACACUUUGNNNNNNNNNNNNNNNNNNNNNNNNNNNNNNNNNNNNNNNNNNNNNNNNNNNNNNNNNNNNNNNNNNNNNNNNNNNNNNNNNNNNNNNNNNNNNNNNNNNNNNNNNNNNNNNNNNNNNNNNNNNNNNNNNNNNNNNNNNNNNNNNNNNNNNNNNNNNNNNNNNNNNNNNNNNNNNNNNNNNNNNNNNNNNNNNNNNNNNNNNNNNNNNNNNNNNNNNNNNNNNNNNNNNNNNNNNNNNNNNNNNNNNNNNNNNNNNNNNCUCCCAAUUGUAUUUUUAUUUUUUCUCUCUGAGGCACAAGCAUGAAAGAAAGCAGUGUUUUUGUCACCAUCUUGGAGCCAUUUAACAUCUACGGAUGUCUGAGAGCACAUGCAGAGAUGCUAUUGUCAGGUUUGCAACUGCAGUGGUCGAGGUGUUCGGACCUCAGCACCUAAGAGAACUAACUGUGGCAGACAUAGAUAGGCUCUUGGUAAUCUCAGAAGCAAGAGGGUGGUAAGGUUCGCUUGGAUCUCUUGAUUGCAUGCAUUGGAAAUGGAAGAAUAGCCCGAAGGCUUUACAAGGGCGAUAUCAGGGUCAUGUUAAGAAGCCCACCAUAAUUCUUGAAGCAGUUGCAUCACAAGAUCUUUGGAUUUGACACGUUUUCUUUGGCAUUGCCCGGGUCUCAUAAUGACAUCAAUGUGCUGCAACGAUCACCGUUGUUUGCGAGGCUGGCUGAAGGAAAAGCUCCCCCUUGCCACUAUCUAGUUGACGGUAUCUAUUCUCCGUGGGCUACCUUUGUUAGCACCAUCUCUAACCCAGUUGGCUAGAAAAAGGGUCACUUUGCCCAAAGAUAAGAAGCAGCUAGAAAAGAUGUCGAGAGGGCAUUUGGAGUUUUGCGGGCCCAUUUUGCAGUUGUUCGUGGACCUGCUAAACAAUGAGAUCCGAAGACCUUGUGGGAGGUGAUGACAUGUUGUGUGAUCAUGCACAACAUGAUCGUCGAGGAUGAGGGUGACGAUGCUGCUGCAGCUCUAGAAUUUGAGAACAUGGGUAAUCCUACCCAACUUUCAGACCAGAAUCCUGCCACAUUUGAAGAGUUUAUUCAAAUGCAUCAACAAAUUCGACAUCGACCAACUCACGAGCAGCUGAAGGAAGAUCUGAUUGAGCAUCAGUGUACGGUCAAAGGGAAAAACAAUGUUGGGAUGUAAUAUUUGAACAUUUUUAAAUUUGAACUACUGUUGCAUGUGGUUAUUUGAACGUCUGUACACUUUGUAUGCGGCUAUUUGAUCGUGCGGAUUUAAAAAAUGAGGCAGGCCGGAUGUAUGCGGCUACGGUUGGAUGGUGGCCUCCCGCAUCCGUGUCCGCGGACUAGUCACUCCUAUCCGCGGACGGAUGCGGCAGGUUGCCGUUGGAGAUGCCCUAAUGCAUUGGUUGGUUCCGGAAAACACAUUCAAAAUAAUAAAACUAAAACCAUUCUUUAGAAGGAAAAAACUGUGGUAUUCCUCUAUCACACUAAAAAUACCGUGUUGCCAAACAUUGCCUUACCUUUUCCAUAAAAUUUUACAUACUUGGUACGGCGUCAAGGACAAUGAAACUUUGAUCUAAUUAUUAAUUGAGAUAGGCUCAGCUCAGCGCACCAUCAUGAACAGCGACCAAUUACUUAAUAACUUCUGUUUCUUUUCAAUAAAACCAACACGAGAAGCUAGCUAGGCCAUCUCGUUUGGUUUGACCAUGACCCGCACGUGAUGCCUAUCUUCGCUGAAGAAAAUUUCUGGGCAUUCUUUCUCCGAAAUAGAAGCUACGACCAAUAUUAAUCAGGCACAAAAGAUGGAGUUUGAUCUGACCGGGCAACGCUCUUAUAAAAUCAAGGGAAAUUAGUUAGGAAAUGGUAGGACGACAAGGCGAGGCAUAGGGUCGACACAGUCCAAACUCCAAAGGAUGCCACAUGUGUGUUUCUCUGUCCACUCACGAUCAAGAGUUGAGAACUAGAGAUACAUCGAGGAGCUAGCCACGUUUAGCACGUUACCAGAGAGAAAGAUACGUAUCUGCGGGUUAGCCAGAUAAUCACCAUGGUCAGUUGGUUCUGAGAUUUCCCUUCCCGAACUGGACUUUCGAGUGUUUCAUUUGAUGUAUGAGAUUACAACAUCACAUUACAUCGCAGCUAAAAUAAUGGAUACUCGUGAUUUUGUAACGUACCACACUCUUUUAGGCUUUCAGCAGUUACGUACUGUAUUAUUUUAGCGAAAAAUAUUCGAUCUGGCGUUUUGUAAUCUUUGUGAGUAUAUAUGGUGGUACAUGACCAGAUCGAUAAGCUAACUGUCUCGGAUUGCAAAAUGCCCUGAAUACACACACACAUGACACACGAAUGGCAUAUACUCACUCUGUAUCGAAAUACUUGUCAAGUUGUCAUUGAGGAAAACCAGUAUAAGUUCCCCCAACGACAAGUAUGUGUAAGUAUCACGAUCUAUAAGCUGUAUUCAUGGAGGAAUUCUAAUUACAGGGAGGAGGGGAACUAGGAGGAAGAAGACCAGCUGUUCGUCCUAUCCUAUCCCCAGGCUAUUUGCCGUCCACCCGUUUACAGAUAACCACUCUCUCCUUCUUAUCUUAUACUCUUAUUACAAGGCUCAAGGCCCACUCAGGCAUUAGCUAGUGUCCUCCAUUCCCGGGCUUCCUAUGUGGAUCGUGUUUGGAGUUUGCUCCUCCGUGGUCCUAGUCCAGAACAUCUGUCUCCCGCUGUGACUCUGCAUCUAGAGAAGUGUGACCCAGCUGGGUUAAACAAACGGGAAAAGAUCAGUAGACUUUAUAAGCAGUUCUGUCUGUUGAUGUGUGUACGUAUCUACAGCCAUACACAAUUGUUGUUUGGUACCAUCUUCAAUCAAUCACCUCAGCAGAACUAGCAUUUGACAUUUCGUUAUCAUGAAUGUGAGAAAAUGAGAAAUAAUGUAUUGUGGUACAUAAUGUCAUUCCCUUUCUCUUAGACGGACCAAGCAAAACUAAUUAACAAAAUGCCACCCUAUCAGACCUACUUAGACGCAUACAUUCUGCCGUUGAAGCUUCUCCCGCAUGCGUUGAAACCAGAUAAACUAUUGAAGCUCAUUCGCAUUAGGGUAAAGUACGCCGUACCGAUGAAAAACAAGCAAGAGGGAAGAAGCAGCGUACCUGAAGAUGAUGCAGUGAUCAACAACAGGGCCAUCACCAAGACGGCAGUGAAGACGGGCUGGUCGCUGUCGCCGUCCUCAUUGUCUUCCUUUUUGUAUCCUUCUAUGAACUUCCACACUAUUCAAUAAAGUGUCCUUUAUCGCUAAGAAAAGAAGAAAAAAAACUAAUCUUGUGUGUGCCAAUACGUGUCGAUACAUGAACUGACAAGGUCAAAAUCCCUCGUGAAGUCGUGAUUCAGUUGGUCCUGUGUAGCAAGUUAAGCUCCAGAUGAAAUCUGCUGAACAAGUAGGUUUGUUUCGCUUGCGAAACAACAAGUGGGGUGGUGGCGCAGUUGGCUAGCGUGUAGGUCUCAUAGCUGAACCUGGUUCUUCUUUUUCUUAUUUAUAUAUUUAUUUUUUUGUUCAGCCUGAUCCUGAGUAAGUCUGAUAGAUUUCUUGAUUUUCCAUUUCUUGUCUUUCUUGGAUCCGUCCAAGCGCUUCAUACAGACAGGUCUAAUGACAGAGGGAGGCAUUCUUCGCUACGUAUUUAACUGGUGGGGUCUGCAUAGGGUGGUACAAAUGUAUGCGUCUAAGUAGGUCUGAGUGUUCCCAUAAUUUCCAAGUUACUCGUGUGACAUCAAGCUUUAACAGUAAAACAAGUGCUAAAUCUGUUGUACUUUUGGUUUUGUUAUUAACAUCCGUAACUCAUCAUCCUUUGUUUUCUGAACAUGUACAGAAAAAAAAGGCACCUGAAGCCAGCUUUAGCAGUGAAAAAACUGAUAUGCACAACAUGAUCAUCCUGCAGACAGCCAGAUUGCAGUAGUGACUAGUGAGCAAGGGAAGAACUUGGACCAGAUUGAGAUCAAGCCUGCCGCUGAGGUCAUUGGCCACUACCUUGCCAAGUUCUCCAUCAGCUACAAGUAUGGAAGGCCGGAAUUGUAUCCUGCGCCAAAUCUGUUGUGCUUUUGAUUUGUUAUUAACAUCCGUAACUCAUCAUCCUUUGUUUUCUGAACNNNNNNNNNNNNNNNNNNNNNNNNNNNNNNNNNNNNNNNNNNNNNNNNNNNNNNNNNNNNNNNNNNNNNNNNNNNNNNNNNNNNNNNNNNNNNNNNNNNNNNNNNNNNNNNNNNNNNNNNNNNNNNNNNNNNNNNNNNNNNNNNNNNNNNNNNNNNNNNNNNNNNNNNNNNNNNNNNNNNNNNNNNNNNNNNNNNNNNNNNNNNNNNNNNNNNNNNNNNNNNNNNNNNNNNNNNNNNNNNNNNNNNNNNNNNNNNNNNNNNNNNNNNNNNNNAAGUAUGGAAGGCCGGAAUUGUAUCAUGCGCCAAAUCUGUUGUGCUUUUGGUUUGUUAUUAACAUCCGUAACUCAUCAUCCUUUGUUUUCUGAACAUGUACAGAAAAAAAAGGCACCUGAAUCCAGCUUUAGCAGUGAAAAAACUGAUCUGCACAGCAUGAUCAUCCUGCAGACAGCCAGAUUGCAGUAGUGACUAGUGAGCAAGGGAAGAACUUGGACCAGAUUGAGAUCAAGCCUGCCGCUGAGGUCAUUGGCCACUACCUUGCCAAGUUCUCCAUCAGCUACAAGUAUGGAAGGUCGGAAUUGUAUCCUGCGCCAAAUCAUUUCCUGGACUCUUUUCUGUCCGUUUUCUAUGAAGUGGAACUUGCAGUACGUAAUUAAGCCCUCUGAAACAACAGUGUCAAAAAUCAGGCUGAGGCAUCGAGGUUGCACACCAAAGACAUUGUAUUAGCCACCUGGCUCUUCUUUUAUACUCCCUCCGUUCCAAAUUACUCGUCGUGGUUUUAGUUCAAAUUUAUGGUGUAUUCUAGAAAGAAAAAAAAGGCAGGGGAAAGGGCAUGGCAUCUUUACUAAUCCCUGUGACAUGGAAAACUAGAACAAGCGCAAUACGAGGGUCAUCACAAACAAAUCAAUCUUCCCAUACAUUAUUGUAUCACGCAUACAAAAUAAGCUGCUAAUUAGUUCACAAAGGGGCCAAACAUACGAGUAACUAGAUGGUACCUCGCGCGUCAACGACAAUGAAUCUUUGAUGUAAUUAAUUCAGAAUAAGCUCAGCGCAUCAUCAUGAACAGCGACCAAUUACUCAAACUUUUUAAAAACUUUCCUUUUUUUUCAAUUAAACUAACACUGGAAGCUUAGCUAAGCCAUCUCGUUUGACAUUGACCCGUAAGUGAUGCCUAUCUUCGCUAAAGAAAAUUCCCGGUUCGAGGGCUUUCUUUCUCCCAAAUAGAACCUACGACCAAUAUUAAUCAGCCACAAAAGAUGGGAAAGCUAUGUAUCUACGGGUUAUCCAGACAAUCGCCAUGGUUGCUUCUGAGAUUUCCCUUCCCGGCCCAACUGGACCUUUGGAGUGUUUCAUUUGAGCUCUGAGAUUACAGCAUCACAGUACAGCUAAAAUAAUAGAUACUCCCGAUUUUGUAAUGCACCCUACUCUUUCAUCUGUCAGGAGUAUUAUUUUAGCUCAAAUAAUCGAUCUGGCAAUUUGUAAUCUUUCUGAGUAUGGUGGUACAUUACCAGAUCGAUAAUCUAACUGUCUCCGAUUACAAAAUGCCCUGAAUAGUGAAUACGCACACACAUGACACCAGUCCAAAACACCGGACUCUGUCGAAUGGUUGGGAGAGCUAGCUAUUAUCUAGUGCCUAAUGUCCCCCAUUCCCGGGCCUCCUGUGUGGAUCGUGUUUGGAGUUGGCUCCUCCGUAGUCGUAGUCCAGAAAAUCCGUCAGAAUCCUCAUCCUGCUGUGGCUCUGCAUCUGAAGAUGGUAAAGAGAAGUGUGACCCUGGGUUAAACAAACGGAAAAAGAUCAGUAGACUUUAUAAGCAGUUCUGUCUGUCGAUCUGUGUACGUAUCUAGAGCCAUACACAAUUGUAGUUUAGAACCAUCUUCAGUCAAUCAGCAUUUGACAUUUUGUUAUCAUGAAUGUGAGAAAAUGAGAAAUAAUGCAACAGAGUGUACAUAAUGACACUAGCUCUCUGCCAUUCCCUUCAAUUUCUCUCAGACGGACCAAGCAACAUUAAUUAACAAAAUGCCAUACUUUUCAUAGAUGACACCGACCAAUUCUUUCGGAUUAUUAACAUAUGCAGACCUUGCUGUCAAAAACAUACAGACCUUUGUCACUUUGGAGGCAUCCCUAUCACGUUCUGUCGUUGAAACUUCUCCUGCAUGAGUUGAAACCAGAUAAACUAAUUAGGCUCAUCCGCAUUAGGGUAAACCGUACCGAUGAAAAACAAGCAAGAGGGAAGAAGCAGCGUACCUGAAGAUGAUGCAGUGAUCAACAGGGCCAUCACCAAGACGGCAGUGAAGACGGGCAUUGUCAGUUUAGCCAUCCUAUUUCUUGUACCACUCCUUACCUGUGCUACGAGUUAGUCAUCUUAUCUCCUCCUUAUAUACUGGCGAUGAGUGGAGUGUGCAGCUGUAAGAGGGCAAGUGGCGGCAACUUUUUUGCAAUGGCGCAAAUGAUUCCGGCCACCAUUGAUUUGGUCUAUGCGACAGUGAUGAAUCUGAUCAGAACAAUGUCAACCACUACGUAUGGUGCUUCCUUUGCCCGAGAUGAUGCAUGCAUGUGCUUCCAGCUUCAGAAGUGCACGAGCUGGUCUGGUCGUCCUCGACAACAUCGAAUGUUUGGCCUUUUCAGUUUUCACUAUGCACACCGAUGACAAAAUCGUUCAUGGUGCUGAACCACGUGUGGUUCAUGUAGAGGAAUAGUAAUUACUCCCUCUGUUCAUCACAAUAAGAUGUUAACUUAAUUCUGAAUCAAAUAAAUAUCGACAUAUUUUAGUGUGUUUGUUCACCAUUCUAGUCCGUAUAUAGUUCAUAUUCAAAUAUUCAAAACAUCUUUAUAUUUACGGACGAAAGGCCUACUGAUAGUUAUGUAGGAGAUAGGCCGGUGAAAUGGAGGGGACUACGAGCGCAACGAUGCGUCAGAGUGAGUGCACGGGCACGAUCGAACGGAUAGAAGGGUCCUGGAUGAAAUGCAGUGGUUACAUGCAUGUGAUGUGGUACUCCUAACCUAGUAGCCUACCCGGCCUAGCCAGCUAUCCUGAUUACAGUGAUGUGUGCGUCUACAUGCACUAUCAUCAUCCUUCUCCGUGCGUCCAUGAGUUGUGCCUGUGGGCAAGCUGCCACUACGACCAAGAUGCAUGCACAGCACCGCACCUGUGGCCUGUGGGAUCAAUGAUGACCGGCCGCCACCUACGUGGUAGCGGGUUGCAACUUUGUGAUGCACCGGAGUAAUUAUUUGCUUUUCUUUUUGAGUAAACGAGGAUGUUGCCGCUGCAUGCUUGCUUUGAUCGGGGCCCUAACCUACCCAGUUGAGCCGUCAAGGCGGAGGCAGAAGCGCUGGUUGCUGAUUUGGUUCUCACUCCAUGCUCCAUGGGUUAGCUUCCGAGUGGACCAAGGCUUCAAACUCAACUCUGGCACCUAUCAGGAGCUUUUAUGGCUUUUUGACCAAAGUAAAAAAGCUAAAAAAAUAGAAGAAAAAACCCAAACACAGGGCCUAUAAGCCCUAUCACUUGGCAAUAAAUGCUUCCCAUAGCAGCUUGCCGGAGAAAAACGAAGCCUCAGAGCAUCUCCAGCCGUUGGCCCCCCAGGACGCAUAAAAAUCGCCCCCUGGGGGCGAGCCGGCGAUACAAUCGGCGCUGGGGGCGUUUUCCCCCCAGUCNNNNNNNNNNNNNNNNNNNNNNNNNNNNNNNNNNNNNNNNNNNNNNNNNNNNNNNNNNNNNNNNNNNNNNNNNNNNNNNNNNNNNNNNNNNNNNNNNNNNNNNNNNNNNNNNNNNNNNNNNNNNNNNNNNNNNNNNNNNNNNNNNNNNNNNNNNNNNNNNNNNNNNNNNNNNNNNNNNNNNNNNNNNNNNNNNNNNNNNNNNNNNNNNNNNNNNNNNNNNNNNNNNNNNNNNNNNNNNNNNNNNNNNNNNNNNNNNNNNNNNNNNNNNNNNNNNNNNNNNNNNNNNNNNNNNNNNNNNNNNNNNNNNNNNNNNNNNNNNNNNNNNNNNNNNNNNNNNNNNNNNNNNNNNNNNNNNNNNNNNNNNNNNNNNNNNNNNNNNCAACCGCCGCGCACUUCCCCUGCCCGGGCCCGCUAGUCAUUGCCCCUAGCGCACCCCUCGCUUGCCUCCUUCCUCGCCGACGCCGCCGGCAAGUUGAAAAUGAUACAUAGAUAGUUCACCAUAGCAUACUACAUAAUGAAAAUGAUACAUAGAUAGUUCAACUACUCGUUGUUUUCCGGCUCCGACUCGGUAAUGUCCUCCUCAGACGUCUACAAGUAGGCGUCAGCAUGCCGCUCGUCCUCGGAGUCCCAGGACAACGUGUUCGGUUGAGCGGCUUGCUUCCGCGCAUGCUUGUCCUCCCGAUAGGCGGCUCGCUCCUUUCUCCUCGCCUCCCUCUCCAUCCUCCGUUGCUUGUAAAACUGGCGCUCGUUGACGAUGUCCUGCGGGAAGCGUUCGCGCCACUCCUGGCUUCCACGUCCAUCUCCGCGAUCGCUAGGCGACGUUGCCGCCUCCGGUUGUCACGACGAUCCUCGUCCGUGAAAAGCCGCGGGAGAUGCGCGAGAUCCUGCGCGCGCUGGCUCAUCGACACGUCGGGGAAAUUCAUAUCCCAACGAGGCCGCCGGAGGCGCCACGCCGCCGCGUCGUACGCACGGGCCGCCUCCUCUGCGGUGUCGAAGGUGCCGAGACUGAGCCGUUUUUCGCCGAACGAGAUUUCGGAGGAGAAGACGCCGGAGCGGCGCUCGCGGACUCUGCGGAAAUCAGCAGCGCCCAGGCGGCGCAUCGACAUGGUGGCGCAGAGGCGAGAAAGAGAGGAGGCACGCAUGAGCGCCGGAGGUGGAGAGGAGAGGAGAGGAGAGGAGAGGGGAAGUGUGCGUCCACCGGCGUGGGGUAGGCUUUUUAUAGUCGCGGGCGGGCGGCGUCCGCGUGGUCGCCGAGCAUACGCGUGGCGCCGCGCCGUCACUGCGCCGCCCGUGAGGCAUCAAUGGAUGCCGGCGCGGCAGCGCGCCGCAGCUUUGGCAUUGAUUCCCCCCGCGGGAACCGAGGCGAUGAGGAAGACGAAGCGACGAGGAGCACCGUGUCGCUGACUCGGGGGCCCGCGUUUAGUUCACGCCAAAACCGUUUCACCCGGCGCCCCCAAGCGCCCCCCAGCGCGCCGGGUUCGGCUUGGGUCUGCCGGCGUCAAAUUCGGCUUGAGCCGGCGAAAAAUGGGCUUCUGGGGGCGUGGCUGGGCCGAUUUUUGUGCGCCGGCGCGAAAAUAUCGCCUGGGGAGGACGUGUUGGGGGCGCGGCUGGAGAUGCUCUUAGAAAUUUAGUGUCUACCUACAACUCAUACCCGUAAAUUCAAAUAUAAGACCUAAGCCUUUUUGGUAAUCAACCAUUUGACUUGCUUGUAGGUAAUAACAAGAAUUCUAGGAUCACAUCUGAUGGUGAUGCUGAAUCAGAGGCUGACUCUCCAUUGACAAAAGGGACACUUCUCGACCUUUAUUCAGGUCCUGGUGUAGUGUCUGGUGUAGUGUCCACCGGCUUGUGCCUGGGUGCAACAAUAGCUUGGUCAUCAACUCCAAAUGGUAUAAUUCUACCUUACUUGUUUAAAAGUACAAGUUAGUGAUUUCUCUUCAAUACCAUGUGCAUAUAUAAUAUCAUUCUUUUAAAUAUUUCCAGCGACGGGUUGUUGAUCUUAAUAGUAUGUAUGUGAGCCCUUCAAGUUUAACCAUCCAAGCACAGAGGUAUGUCGCAAUGCAUCUUAUACGUAUGCUAUAAAAGUACUCUCUCUAAUCUACCGAAUAUAAAUUGUCUUGAUUUUUUUAAUGUUUUUGUAAGAAAAAGGCAGAGAAUUUUCUAGCCUUUCUUAAGGAAUGGAAUCUCCUAUGCGACACGUAUAUCCAUAACAAUUAGGCUGAUGGCUUUAGCUGAUUCGUUGAAGGAUGAAGAGGCAGACCAUGAACUUCGAAAAUGCAAACCCGUCGUAGAGAAACUUACAGCGAUCUGCUAUAGUGGCGCCAAGAGGAAAAAUUGCAUAUACUUCAAAGGUAUUACUUUCAUUCCCAUGGAUGGAGCAAAAUUGGGAAGAUACCUGGGAGUCCAUUGAGAAACUCCGGUUGAUAAUUAUUAGACAUUGUCGAUAAGCUUUUAUUUAAUGUGCACUAACCUUUUUUCAGUGUUCAGUCAAUGUCCAUUUGAAAUUAAAAAAUUUGUUCAAGAAGGUGGCGUAAAAAUUUACCACUGCCUAUGAGUGCCUGCGAUCUUUUUCCUAGAUUUUUAGCUCAACGCUGUAUUGGUUGGUACUCCCUUCGUCCGGGUUUAUUAGGUCCCUUUCAUUUUGGGCUAAAGUUUGACCAACAAAUUUAACUAAUGAAAUCUAAUUAUAUGUCACAAAAAUUAUACCGUCGGAAAGCACUUUCAAAUACAAAUCUAACAAUGUACGUUUGUAGCAUAUAUUUUAUAUUUUAUUAGUCAUAUGGAUGGUCAAAGUCUGGUUCAAAAUACUAGGGGGCCUAUUAAAUAAGCACCGAGGUAGUACUAUUUGUGACUUUACAUUUUAAAGGGCGACAUUGAUGUCUUCUGCAUGAUUCAGCGGGCACAACGGGCAUACAAACUGUGAGCAGCCCUUACAAGAUGACAAGAAUAGACAGAUGGUCGUAUUUAUGGAUACUGUGUUCUUCCUUAGACCAAAGUUCUUUCAAUGUUGCCCAAAUUCUUAAAUUCGUUGGUGGUUCUGUUGGUAGAUAUGCCUUGAGCCGCAGAUGGCUCGAGGCAUAUCUAUCAACGGAACAAUCAAUGAACUUAAGAAUAAUAUCGACAACGUUCUUCAUGAGAACGAACUUUGGUGUAAGGAAGGACACGAUGUCCAUAAAUAUGACCAUCUAUCUAUUUUUCUCAUCUCGUAAGGGUCGAUCAUAGUUUCUAUUCCGAUUAUGCCCACUGAAUCUUUGAUAAGGCAGCCCCCGCACAAGACGCCCCUUAAAAUGUAAAGUCAUAAGUAAAUGUUAUCAACCAAUCUAGUGUUGGGCUAAAAAACUAGGAAAAAAACAGUGAGCACCCAGUGGUAAAAUUUUACGCAUAUAGCAUUCUAACAAAUUGAUUAAUUUUAAGUGGGCAACGACUGAACAUUGAAGAAGGAUUAGUGAACAUUAAAUAAAAGUUUCCCGACAAUGUCAAAUAAUAACGAGAGUUUCUCAAUGUACUCCCGGGUUUCUUCCCUAUCAUGGUUUAUCCAUUGCACCGGUUAAAAAAUUGUAUUCGAACAACAUAUACAGUAAAAAGUGUAGCAACACUAAAAAUGAGCAAGAUGAGAACGAACUAAGCAUCUUGAAAUAUACAUAAUUUUCUCUCUUGGCGCCACCAUAGCAGCUCGCCGUAAGUUUCUCUACGAUGGGCUUGCAUUUCCUAAGCUCAUGGUCUUCCUAUUCAUCCAUUCACGAACGAGCUGAGCCAUCAAUCUUAUUGUUAUGUAUGUACAUGUUGCAUAGAAGAUCUUAUUCCUUAAGAAAGGCUAGAAGAUCCCAUGCUAACCUACAUAGGCAACGGCCUACGGAGGCCCGUAUGCCUGCACUCAAUUCUCCCUACUCGGAUCGAUUACUAUUGUCCGGGAGCUUCCAUGGCUGCGCCAUGGUGUUGGUAGCCGCCUCCAAUCAUCCCAAUAUUGCUAGCCGGCACAUCGAGGACGUGGUCCCUCAAUGGCGAUGAUAUUGUCCCGCACCGGUAGCUGCGUCCUCGCGAAGGCUGCUAGGGUUAGCCACAUCAGCACGUGUGGCAGCUAGACGAUAGGGUGGCGGCGUCCUUGAAGGGUUUGGCCGGCGAAUGGGGCUAGAGUGGCGGUGGCGAGUUUUUUAGAGGAGAAGGAGGCAAGAUUGCGGCGUUGAUUGAGGAGAGAGGCGAGGAGCGAGCGGGGGAGAUGGGGUUGUUCGACUAUUUAUCAUUACGCUCAGGAGGAAGAUCUACUGACAGGGGAGUGGGUGGGAGGAAAAAUCCGGCAGGGGGGUGGGUGUGAGGAUUGGAUGAAGGCUAGGCAGGAUGCAAUCAACAUGGAAGGAAAGUAAAGCUUAGGUUCUUUUUAGGUAUUACCAGGCAAUUACCCAUGCUUUGCAACGGGACAUAAAUAUUCUAGUGAACUAAUAUGGUUGUAUACCAAAAAGUACACUUAGAACAUAAAAGUAACAUAAGAAAUCAUGUAGCAAAGAAACAACCAAAACCUGCAGCCGGCAAGAAAUGAUCUUCCCAAUUGAAAAAAAUGCAGAAUGUAACUUUAAUUGUUUUAGAUCUGUUGCAAUAUGAACCCUAACUAAUAUUAUAAAAAAUCUACUAUGUUAUAUGAAUUCUCAUAACGAAAUGAAAGAAGUAACUGCAGUGCCCUACGUGGCACAGUGAUUUUCAGAAAUAUUUAUAUACCAUGUGAGACAAAUAGUUGUGUUCUACUUUAAAAAGGCCAGAUUAUAAGGAACCUUUGUUCUAACAAGAACGAGAUUUUCAAAGUUUUCACUCUUAAGCAUUAUAAUCUUUGAUCAUGAAAAAAGGGUCUGCACGCAGUUUAUAACUGGAAGGAAAUAAAAUGUGUACCUUUCAGAACGUCCAACAACCUUGCAUUGUAUUGCCUCGCCAGUCUCAGGAUACGCAUAAUGGAUAUGGUCAUUAGGUGGUGUGUUUUUUGCAAAGACAUGUACAAUGACCGGUAAUAGCACGGAUAAGACACCGAUGCAUCAUCGUUAAUAAUUUAAUAAAUUAAACAGGCAAUGUGCAGCAAAUCAAACAACACUUGAAAGAUCUAUAUGGAUUACCGGUAGUGGAGGUUGAUAGGCCAGGAAUGCCUGCAUGACAAGAAAGUGUUUAGAAAACUUAGGAAACAAAUAAAAAAUAUAAUAAGUCCAACAAAAAGAGCUAGAGAAACUUAUUAAUGGUGUGCUCAUGAGUUCCAUCGCUUUGGGUGUGGCGACGCGGGCCAUGCUCGAUGGCACGAUGGAGGCGAUCGAAUCCUGGCGUGAUCCAUGGGUUAUGCAUAUCAUGGUUUUGAAUAUUAUGAGGACAAUGGAUUCAUAGGUGGUCGUAGCAGCGUACUAGUUCCGUCGUUCCGGCCUCUGAACCGGUGACACAGAUCGAUCAAUGUUGUUGAUAAGAAUAUGUGCUUUCGACCAGCUAUAUAUAUCAUCAGAUUCUACCUUGAUAUCAGCAUUGAUUUGAUCCCAGUACAAGCAAUUAAAUGAUUCUUAAAAAAAGUAGGCAGCAGUAAAUUAAGCUCCAUUUCUCCCUGCAGAUUGCGACAUGAAUAUCCACUAGAGUUAAUACUCCUACUUCUCUAACUUACAGAUGUUAUUCCUUUCUUACCCGUUUGUGUAUAGACAGGGAGAAAUCUGUCUGGUUACAUUGGCAGAAUAGUCGAGUUCUUCGAGGGCGUGGACAAGGGCCGCUACUUCACGGUGGUUUUUACGUAUAGAAGAUAUGAUGAUAUGCGAGGAGAAACUUUUCCAAGAACACACCCAUGAACCGAGGCACGUGUUCUUGUCCGAUGAAAUGAACGACAAUAAACUUGACUGCAUUGUGUCGAAGGUCAAUAUCGUCCAGAUUGAUCCAAAGUGGGAAUCUAUGAUGCCUGCCUCAUUCAUCUAUAUUUUCUCAUUUUUUAACACACCAUGUCGUACCUCGAUCCAGAAGCCAAGGCUCGAGUGGCGACUGAUGGGGACCUAUAUAUCAACAUGGCAUAUAGCGUCCCCUAAUCUAUUUUUGCAAAUAUUCACACAAGGUAAUUGUUGCACCAAUUCCCAACUCCCACCAUUGGCUAUGCUUUGCACAAUACAAUAGUGUUAUAUGCAAACUAAUUCUAUACUGAUGUGCGCUCUCCUUUGAAUUUUUUGAUUUAAAUUUGUUGCAAACCCAGUAGAUGUUCAAAAUUAACUACAAGGCUUCGAAGAUUUCUUAAAACACAUGUGAAACCAAGUUCAGUGUGGUCGAUCAUAAUCAUGUAAAUUCUGAAAUUUAGUGUCCACCUACAACUUGUGGCCAUAAAUUGAAAUAUAAGACCUAAGCCUUUUUAAAUCAAAUAUUUGAGUUUGUAGAUAAUAACAAGAAUCCGGGAAACAUUUCUGAUGGUGAUACUGAUUCGAAGGGUGACUCUCCAUCGACAAAAGCAACACUUCUCAAUCUUUAUUCGGGUUGUGGUGGAAUGUCCACCGGCUUGUGCUUGGGUGUAGUAAUAGCUGGUCUUCAACUCCAAACGGUAUAUUGUGUCGAAGGUCAAUAUCAUUUGGAGUUGAAGACCAGCUAUUGCUACACCCAGGCACAAGCCGGUGGACAUUCCACCACAACCCGAAUAAAUGUCGAGAAGUGUCGCUUUUGUGGGUGGAGAGUCAGCCUCCGAAUCAACAUAACCAUCAGAUGUGAUCCCAGAAUUAUCGUUAUUAUCUACAAGCAUGUCAAAUGUUUGAUUACCAAAAAGGCUUACAUCUUAUAUUUGAAUUUAUGGGUACAAGUUGUAGUUGGAUACUAAAUUUCAGGCUUCAACAUGAUUAUGAUCGGUUGAACUUGGUGGCAAAAUAGUUUCACAUGUGUAUUUUAAGAAAUCUUCAAAUCCGAAUAGUUAAUUUUGAAAAUCUAAUGGAUUUAUAAUAAAUUUAACUACAAAUAUUCAAAGUAGAGGGCAUGUCAGGAUAGAAUUAGUUUGCAUAACAACACCAUUAUAUUGUGCAGUAGGGACGCUAUAUGUCAUGUCCAAAUAUAGGUCCCCGUCAGCUGGCAGUCGAGCCUUUUCUUCUGGAUCGAGCUGCAACAAGGUCCGUAAAAGAUGAGAAAAUAUAGAUAAGUGACACAGGCAUCACAUAUUCACAAAUUUGGAUCAACCUGGACAAUGUUAACCUUCCACACAAUGCAGUGAAGUUUAUUGUCGUUCCUUUCAUCGGACAAGAACACACACAUCGGGUCAUGGGUGUGGUCUUGGAGGAGUUGUUCCUUCGAUAUCACCGUAUCUUCUAGACAUAAAACCACCGGCAGGUGAGGUAACGACGAUUGUCCAUGCCCUCGAAGAACUCGACUAUUCUACGAACACAAUUAUGCACAAGGAGCAUCCAUUCAGAGGUGAGCUAGAGAUGAAAACUGAAGAGAUCUAGCGGUGUUAUGUUUCACCGAGACGUGGAUGUCGUCCCCUAUGGAGUAGAUUAAUUAUGCCGUCGACCAUGGUAGCGUCAUAGUGGGACCUCACUUAGACGUCCUGGUUGACGGCGGUCCUGCUCAAACACACCCAACACCGAUGCCAAAGAUAGCCAAGAUCGAGAUGGAUCAAUUCAACGGCCCUUGGUGGAUUUACCGAAAGAUAGGAAAAUAGAUUGACGUUGUGUUACCUGCUUUGGGCGUGGUGUCGAUGAUAUUGGUUGGGCCACUUGCUGCGAACCUCAUCGGUAAGGAAUGGCUCAUCGACGAACACAAUCAUUGUCCUUGGGUGUAGGAUCCUCGGCGCAGGUCAUCCUGCUUCAUCGUUGAUCUCUUGGCCUUCUUCAUCUUGCCAGACACCGACGGAUUGUCGCGUGGAUGCUUGUUAAUGACGGCCACCUCCUGCUUCCGAUACUUGAUGACGGGUGUGCGCCUACGGGUUGAAGCCCGCAUCGGCUGCACUGCCAUUGCUAGCUGGCUAUCACGGGUUUGGUGGAGGGAUGGAUAAGAGUGGGAAGAUGAGAGGUAAGGAUUUGUAGGGCAGGCUGGGGGUUUUCUAGGAGAUUGUGGGGGAGAGGAAAGGAGUGGAGAGGAGACUAUUUAAAUGUUGAUGAUUUUCCGAAAAAUUUGUUGCAAUUGCAUCGAUCAAAUCAGAGGCCAACAUUCGAGGCAUGCAUCUGGUUCAAAUCUCAUCCACCAAUUGUUUCCUGCCAUUUUGAUUGAUGAGAUCGUAAUUCCAGUUUCUUUCCUUCCUUUCAUGCUCAAGCCAACAUAUAUUCCAUUAUUCGAGCGACUAUGUAUUUACAUAGAGUAAAUCUAUACAACAUUUUCUAUUGUUUUUCGUGCACACAAUAUUAAAAUGGUGCGUGUUCACAUAUCUCCAUGCAUAUUGUGCUCAAGAAUCCUUCCAUUAUAGUACUGUACUACCUUUAAUCACAAAACCCUAAUGAUGGCCAAUUGUUGCGGAUACGGGGCCGGCAGCUCACUGCAGCCACGACGCUAGCCCUUCCCAAAUGGGGUUUGGACGGUUUCCCGGGCCUUACGUGGCAACUUCCUCCUCUUCACACUCUUUGUAAGAAAAAUCCUACCUCUUCACACUUGUGAUGGCUGUUUUUGCCUAUAAAAGACCCUCCUCCCCUCACCUCACCUUUCACUCAUCUUCCGCACACUAGCUACAAACUAUUUGCUUUUUGCACCCUAAAAAAACACCAUGGGAGUAGGCUACGUGGGCAGAGUCAAAUGGGGUGUUGGCUUGUUAUCCAUGGUGCUGAGGGAAGAACUAGAGAACCCAUAAUUCGCUAAUAGGAUUAAUUAUGUUUUUGUAUUUUAUUAUUAUUUUAAGGAUCCUUUUACACUACAUAAAUUAUUUUGAAACGUUCAUUUUUUGACCCAACAGCCCAGAUACCGCUAUACUUACUAAAAAGAACUUGUUAUACUCAGGCCUCAUGGGAACUUCUAUAAGCAUUAUCGACCAUUGUUUCAAACCAUGCACUGCUGCUUCUCACGCUCGAUUGGACGCAACCCCAAAAUUGAUUCCGGUUUGACCUCUUAUGGACGAGUCUGUAAGGAUUCCAAGAGGCUGUCAAGGAAGCUUGAGUUUGUAACAACUGUAUUGGCGACCCUUUCAAGCGGCUGGAUGCCCUGUUCCACAACAUAGCGGAAUANNNNNNNNNNNNNNNNNNNNNNNNNNNNNNNNNNNNNNNNNNNNNNNNNNNNNNNNNNNNNNNNNNNNNNNNNNNNNNNNNNNNNNNNNNNNNNNNNNNNNNNNNNNNNNNNNNNNNNNNNNNNNNNNNNNNNNNNNNNNNNNNNNNNNNNNNNNNNNNNNNNNNNNNNNNNNNNNNNNNNNNNNNNNNNNNNNNNNNNNNNNNNNNNNNNNNNNNNNNNNNNNNNNNNNNNNNNNNNNNNNNNNNNNNNNNNNNNNNNAAUUGCCGUCGAAAAUGCCAUCAUUUACAAGCUCGAGGAUGCACAAGAGACAAGAACUCUCAUGGUGCUGGAGUUAUGGUUGUGGCGUACAUUAAAAUUGUCUGUGCUAGGGCUUGCCUCUUUGGAAUGCACGAUCGUGCGACAAAGAAGGUGAUGCACUGAUGCUAACACGAAACACCUCUAGGCAAUGGGUAAUGGACGAGUGAAAAACUUCACCCUGCUGUUAAAGUGAGUGGCGCGGUCAUCUCGGACCAGGAGGGCAAGAUGGAGGCUUUUUCGUAGGCUUUUGAGGGGCUGCUGGGAGCACUAGAGAUCUAAAUGCUAUUUGGAUGAACGAUGUUGACCUCAAGACUUGGAUGCAUCUUUUACGGAAACUGAAGUAUGGGUUCAUGGGCAUCUUUUAUUAAACACAAAGGCCUAGAGUAUCAUCAAACAGGAUAUCACUAGUAGAACAUAAAAGCGCGCGUUGCCACAACCAUUCAUUUGAGAUAGAGCAAUAAGUAUUUGGAAAAUUUGGACAAUUAAAUAUCUGGAAUUUAAACAGUUCAAGUUACAUUGUGGAAGCUGAAUGCAUACAUGCCUACAUCCGUGGCAUUUUUUUUGGAAGGUUACAAUAUGUUAAUAGUGUGGUCACUGCUAAGUGAAACAUUGGUGAUUACAACACCAUGAAAGAAAAACAUUGCAGACCAAUUUAAUUUGCUCCAUUCUCAAAGGGACAUGGUAUCACUAGAAAUCAAAGCAAAAUUAGGUAAGAAAGUGAGCAAAGUGGAAAACUGCAUGGAGAUUGUUUGUGCAUCUUUGUUUGGGCUGGGUGCACACCAGAGCCACGAGAAACCGAAACGAAAGAGGAAAACACCCAUUCCUAAGCCUUGUUCACGUUUGUUUUAAGAUCCUAGGCCAUGUUCAUGUGAAGGCUGAACCUGCUAGUGGCCGAGCAACCCACUACGGCCCAGUUCGCGUUAAGGCGCUUGUUUGCAGAUCCAACGGCUGGCGACCUUAAAUCGCUGCAAGAGGUCCUAGGUAGCUCAGUUUUACUGUUUUUUUAUUAAUAGCAACCCUUUUAAAGCUCUACGUGAGAGCUGGCCAAGGUUUUGGCGCACUUAACAAAGCCCUAAUCACGCUAAUCCCCCAAAAACCAGAUGCAAUAGAGGUGGAGAAUUCAGGCCAAUUAGAGGAGAGGGAGGCCAGAUUGCAGCUAUGUUUGAGGAGAGAGGCAAGGGAUGGGGGAGAUUGGGUUGUUUGACUAUUUUUCACUACGUUCGUGAGGAAGAUUUACCGACGGGGGUGUGUGGGGGAGGAUUGGAUGAAAAAACCGGCGGGGACGUGGGUGGAAGGAUUGGAUGAAGGCUAGGCAGGAUGUAGUUAGCAUGGCAGGAAAGGAAAACUUUGCUUCAUUUUAGAUAUUACAAGGCAAUUGCCCGUGCAUUGCAACGGGGCAUAAUAUUCUAGUUAAGUAAUAUGAUUGUAUACCAAAAGGUACACUUAAGACAUAAAAGUUGUUAGGAAUAAGCAACUUGUAUUCCCAUGAGGCCAUAGGCCGGUAUAUAUAUACGUACAGGUGUGGUACAUAUGCAGGAAACCCCUUAUACAACGGGAUAAAUACAAAGGGGUAUACAUGACUUAUAUUAUAACUCUAACACCCCCCCUCAAACUCAUGGUGGAGGAACAACACUGAGUUUGGAGAGAUAAAAGCCAUGUUGUGCUCUAGUCUGGGCCUUCGUCAGGAAAUCCGCCAACUGUAACUCGGAAGGCACAUACUGAAGAGCAAUGACUUGAUCCUGCACAGCAGCGCGCACAUAGAAAGCAUCAAAACCAAUAUGCUUGGUGAGCUCAUGCUUCACAGGAUCGCGCGCAAUGCUAAUAGCACCUGUACUGUCAGAUAAGAGCAUAGUCGGUGUAGUGACAGAAACACCAAAAUGCUGAAGUAACCACCGUAACCAAGUCACCUCUGCCGUCAAAAGAGCCAUAGCUCGCAACUCAGCCUCAGCACUCGAACGGGAAACUGCAAUCUGUUUCUUCGUCUUCCAGGCAAUGAGAGAACCGCCAAGAAAAACACAGUAAGCAGAAAGCGAACGGCGAUCAGAAGGAUCACUAGCCCACGUAGCAUCCGCAUAGGCCUGAAGCUGUAAAGAACUGGAGCUAGGAAAGAAGAGACGGUGAGAGAUCGUGCCCCAAAGAUAUCGGAGAACACGAAGGAGAUGACUAUAAUGAACCGAGGUGGGAGCAGAGACAAACUGACUCAGAAUAUGAACCGGAUAAGAGAUGUCCGGACGAGUGACAGCUAGAUAGACUAGACUGCCAACGAGAUGACGAUAACGCGUCGGGUCAGGGAGAGGAUCACCAUCAGUAGCACAGAGGUGAACAUUGAGCUCCAUAGGAGUCUCAACAGUGCGCUCGUCGGAAAGAGCAGCACGAGCAAGAAGAUCCUGGAUGUACUUUUCCUGGGAUAUAAAAAAGCCAUCAGAGGUAGAAGAGACUUCAAUCCCAAGAAAGUAGCGAAGAGGUCCAAGAUCAGACAUAAGAAACUGCUCACUAAGACGAGCCUUUACAAAGGCAAUAUACUCAGGGUCAUCCCCAGUGAUGACCAUAUCAUCAAUAUAGAGAAGAAGAAGAGUCCGGCCACGAGGAGAAAGGUGAAUAAACAAUGCGGGAUCAUGAGCACUCGCUGAAAAACCAGUAGUAGUGACCACAUAAGCAAAACGCUCAAACCAGGCGCGAGGGGCUUGCUUAAGGCCAUAGAGAGAGCGACGAAGACGACACACCAUGCCAUCAGGAACAGAAUACCCAGGUGGUGGCUGCAUGUACACCUCCUCACGCAGCUCACCAUUAAGAAAGGCAUUUUUAACAUCAAGCUGAGAUAUAGACCAGUGGCGUGCAGAGGCAACAGCAAGAAGUGUACGAAUAGUGGUCAUAUGGGCCACAGGAGCAAAAGUCUCGUCAUAAUCACGACCAUGCUCCUGCUGAAAACCACGAGCCACGAGACGAGCUUUGUGACGCUCAAGAGAACCAUCAGAGCGAGUCUUAACCUUGUAGACCCACUUACAAGUGAUGGGACGGACUCCGGGAGGAAGAGAAACAAGAUCCCAGGUACCAGUGCGUUCAAGAGCAGCAAUCUCCUCUGCCAUCGCAAACUGCCAUUCAGGAUGAACAACAGCCUGACGGUAAGAAGUCGGCUCAAGAACAGCAGCACCAGCGGUGGGAAAUCCAAAGCGAUCAAUAGGCGGACGAGGACGAGAACGCAAGCCAUAAGUAGGCUGAGAGGAAGAGGACGACUCAUCCAAGGAAGCAUCCACGGGUCAUGAACGACGAGUGUAAUGCUGAGGAAGAGAUGGAACAAGAGAAGGAGGAAUCACCAAGGUAGAAUCAGGGGGUGGUGACGAAGAAGUCACCGGAGAUGAAGGUGUAGAAUCCGGUGACAUGCUAGGUGAGGAGACCGGGGAAGAUGGUGGCGGCGAAUCGACGAGGGGUGGAGAAGCAGAGGGAGUGGAACGAAUAGGCAAAGGCGCGACGGGGGUGAUAGGGGAGUCAGGAAAAGUGAGGAAAGAGAUAUCCUCCACGGAAAAUAUCGAGGAAGAUGGGCGUGGAAAGAAAGGACGAGACUCAUCAAAAGUCACGUCUCGAGAGAUACGCAUCCGACGACCGAUAGGAUCCCAACAACGAUAGCCCUUAUGUUCAUCACUGUAGCCUAAGAAGAUACACUCAACAGACUGAGCGGUCAGUUCGGUGCGUUCGCGAGGGGCAAGAAGAACAUAGCAAACACAACCAAACAAGCGAAGCAUCGAAUAAUCGGGAGAACGAUCAAAAAGACGCUCAAAAGGAACACCACCCUGCAGAGCAGCGGACGGCUGAAGGUUGAUGAGAUAGGCGGAAGUGGAGAUAGCCUCGGCCCAAAAAUGAGGCGGAAGAGAGGCAGCGAUCAUCAUCGCACGAGCCGUCUCAAGAAGGUGACGAUGCUUGCGCUCAGACACGCCAUUCUGAGCAUGAGCACCAGGACAAGAGAACUGGGCAAGAGUACCCUGCUCAGCAAGGACACCACGCAACAUCUUAGAGAUAUACUCACCAGCGGAGUCAGCACGAAAAACACGAAUGGGUGAAGAGAACUGAGUAUGAACCAUGGCAGCAAAACGCUUAUAAAUAGACAACACCUCACUACGUGAAGUCAUGAAAUAAAGCCAUGUGUAACGAGAAAAAUCAUCGAUGAAAAUAAUAUAGUAUUUAUGACCACCUUUCGAAGCGAAAGGAGCCGGACCCCAUACAUCAGAAUGGACUAAAUCGAAAGGACGCUUAGACACUGACUCACUAUGGGAAUAUGGUAACUGAAUCUGCUUGCCAAGACGACAACCCUGACACUCUAAAGAGACAUCUCCUGAGACAGACCCCAGAAGACCUCGACGAACUAAAGACGAUAACCGAGAACCACACAGAUGACCAAGUCGAUGAUGCCACUGCUUGAAGGAACCAGUAACAGAGGCGACAGCAGCAGAGGGACUGGCGAUGGUAGUGGCAGCGGAAGGAACAUGAAGCCAGUCCAACUCCCAAAGACCCUGAGAAUCACGGCGGCGAGGGCCAGCCCCAACCAGAGUGUGCGUGCGACGAUCCUGGACAGAACAAGAGUCAACAUCAAGGAUGACACGACAACCAGAAUCAGUAAGUUGACCGGCAGAAAACAGAUUCAUGGUAAGUCGAGGAACAUGAGCAACAUCAGGAACAGAAUAAGAAGGAGUGGAAAGAUGGCCUCUACUAGCAACAGAAAGUGGAGUACCAUCAGCAGUAAAGACAUGAACAGGAGAAUCCAGCGAGCGAAGAGAGGACAAAGCGAAAGAAUGAGAAGACAUAUGAAAAGAAGCUCCAGAGUCCAGAACCCAUGGGAAUGUACUUGACUGUGUAGAGGGCGGGUGCUCAGUGCGAGAAGCAUCAGUCACAGAACCAGCAGUACCCGUCGAGGAAGAACCUGAAGCCGCGAGCAGACGCUUAAGUCUCAGAAUAUCCUGUUCAGUCAAAGCAAUGGCUGAAGCUGGCGAGGGAGAUGACGAAGUCCCUGAGGAGGAUGAUCGCGCCUUGCGCAGGUGUUUCCGUUUGGUGUAGCACUGGGACUAAAUAUGACCAUCAUUGUUGCAGUAGUCACAAUGUGAACGGGGGCGACCUGAGCCUCCAGAAGGAGUGGGCAAGAGCGGCGGAGCACUCGAGCGAGAAUGGGGCGGUGCAGCCGGCGGAGUGGAAGAAACCCGAGUAGCGAGCACAGAGGGAACCUCCAGCAAACCAUCACCACGUAGGCGAGUCUCCUCAGCACGAAUCUCUGAAAGCGCCUCCAUGAGAGAAAUACGGCCACGAGCAAGCAACUGAGCACGCCGGGGCUCAAACUCCUUACGGAGCCGAGACAGGAACUCGUAGACGCGAUGAAACUCCAAAUCGGCCUGAACAGCCUGACAGCAGGGGCAAGUACGACAACCAGCACUGCGGAGAGAAUCAAGCUGGCGCCAGAUAGCAGAACUCUAUGCAUAAAAGUCAUCAACAGUAGAGUCACCCUGCUGAAGAGCAUGCUCCUGACGAACCACAGAAAGGUAUAAGGCAUCACCAGAGGGCUCAUAGCGCUGACGAAGACAGGUCCACAUCUGGAAGACAGUAGGAAGACCCAGAAACUCAGAAGCAAACUGAGGCAGAACACUAGCAAUGAGAACAGCUGCAGCACGAGCAUCAUCAUCAAGCCACUGGGUGUAAACAGACAAAGCACCAUGAUACGUCUGAAGAGCCUCCUCAUAAGCCAAAGCCCUCUCAUCAUAGGCACGAUCAGCAGCCUCAUCAGCAAUCUUAGCCGCAUCCUUGGCGGCCUGAGUAGCGUCUGGAGGAAGAACCAGUGGAGUCGGCGGAGUAGGAGCCACCGGAGGGACCGGACGUGGCGGACAACAGACCUCGCCAGAAAGAACAUCCCAGAGACGAAUGCCAUGCAUGUGAAUGCGCAUGAAGCCAGCGAACUCGAUGUAGUUGGUACCAUCGAAGAUCACCGGACAGCGAGGGACAGCAACGUAGCCUGAUGCAGCAGACAUGUUUUUUUUAGCAACAGCAGAAAGCCGGACGAGGACGGCGGCUGGAAGCGGGAUCUGGCACGGGAAUCACGGCGAUCAACAAUCGCGUAGGCGGAGCCCGUUCGUGUUGGCGACUGGGUGCACGGCUGUGAGCAGGAGGGAGGACGGGGCAGCCCAGCGUGGAGGAGAGGGAGUGGCCCAGCCCAGCGUGCCAAAGCCCAACGUGGCAAUCCACACAGCGCCGAUCGAGAACUUCGAGCGGGAGGGAGCCGGCGACUUUGAUCGAGCAGGGAGGAUGGGGCAGCCCAGCGUGGAGGAGAGGGAGCGGCCCAGCCCAGCGUAGCGAUCCACACAGCGCCGAUCGGGAGGAGAGAUCGAGAGGAGAGGCAGCGGCGACGGCAACUUCGAGCGAGAGGGAGCCGGCGGCUUCGAUCGAGACGGAUCAGCACGAGUUGCAGCGUGCAAAAAAUUGACCUAACUCUAAUACCAUGUUAGGAAUAAGCAACUUGUAUUCCCAUGAGGCCAUAGGCCGGUAUAUAUAUACGUACAGGUGUGGUACAUAUGCAGGAAACCCCUUAUACAACGGGAUAAAUACAAAGGGGUAUACAUGACUUAUAUUAUAACUCUAACAAAAGUGACAUAAGAAAUCAUGUAGCAAAUAAGCAAUCAAAACCUGCAGCCCGCAAGAAAUGAUCUUCCCGAUUAAAAAAAAUGCAGAAUGUAACUUCAAUUAAUCUACUAUGUCAUAUGAAUUCUCAUAACCAAAAAGAAAAAAGGUAACUGCAGUGCCCUACGUAGCACAGUGAUUUUCAGAAAUAUUUAUAUAGCGUGUGAGAUAGAAUAAUUGUGUUCUACUUUAGAAAGGCCAGAUUAUAAGGAACCUUUGUUCUAACGAGGCACAAGAUUUUCAAAGUUUUCGCUGUUAGGUAUUAAAAACUUUGAUCUUGAAAAAAGGGAUUAUAAGCAGUUUCUAACCGGAAGGAAAUAAAAUGUAGUACCUUUCAGAAUGUCCAACAACCUUGCAUUUUAUUGACUCGCCAUUUGCCAAUAUGAGCUAAAUAGGAUACGCAGAAUGGAUUGUCAAGAAGAGGUGUGUUUUUAGCAUCAAAGACAUGUACUCCCGUUCCUAAAUAUAAGUCUUUGUAAAGAUUCUAAUAAGUGACUACAUACGGAGCAAAAUGAAUGAAUCUACACUCUAAAAUAUGUCUACAUACAUCCGUAUGUUGUAGUCCAUUUAAAAUGGCUAAAAAGACUUAUAUUUAGAAACGGAGGAAGUAUAAUUGACUGGUAAAAGCACGGACAAGACACCGAUGCAUCAUCGCUGAUAAUAAUUAAAAUAAAUUAAACGGGCAAUGUGCAGCAAAUCAAACAACACUUGAAAGACCUCUGGAUUACCGGUAGUGGAGGCUGAUGGCCAAGAAUGCCUGCCUGCAUGCAUGACAAGAACGUGUUUACCAAACUUAGGAAACAAAGAAAAAUAAUAGUAAAUCAAACAAAAAGAGUGGAGAAACUUGUUAAUGGCGUGCUCACGAGUUUCAUCGCUUUGGGUGUGGCGACGCCGGCCGUGCUCGAAGGUACGACGGAGGCGAUCGAAUCCUGGCCUGAUAUGCACAUCAUGGUUGAAUAUUAAGAGGACAAUGGAUCCAUAGGUAGUCGUAGCAGCGUACUAGCCCCCGUCGUUCCGGCCUCCGAACCGUGACAUAGAUCGAUCAAUGGGGUCGUCCCCGCCGGCGGCCGUGUCCAGUCAUGAUCACGCCGGCGUCGACGAGACGCGAAGGCCAUGUCCAGACGUGAGCCAGCCGUCGACGUGCAGGCGCGAACGCCACAUGCGGCGCUGUGGGAGCUGGCGUUGGGGUUGCCGUGGGGAAGUCUUGCGGCGGCGACGUCCUGGAGAUCCAACUCCCCCUUUGGAGGCGGCACGGUUAAGAUCCCGCGGGAGGCGGCCUUGCUUCUUUCCUUUCUCUCCGGAAGUAUUGGAUUGCAUUCCGAAUUUUAGGGCGAGAUGUGCGCCUGUUUUCCUCAUCGUGUGAUCUUAUCUUGGCCCAGUUCUGCGAGAAGUUGGGUAGGGGUCGGAUUCUGGGAGAAUCCGCAGAUUCUGGCAAAAAACUGGGUCCUUAUCUUAGAGCAUCUCCAACAGCCGUCCAACGCGCGGCGCGCUAAAAAGCAGUUUGCAGCGCGCCCAUCCACUGAAAAAGCGCGGCGGGCAGCGCUGGCUCCAGCAGCGGCGCUAAAAUUUAGCGCGCGUAGCUUCAGCAGCCGCGCUAAAAUGCAGCGCGCGCUAUCGCACGAACAUUGCGUACAUAUUUUUAAAUAAAAACGAUACUAAUAAAAUUUAUAGAUAAAAACGAUACAUAGAUAUUUUACUUAGUUCCACAUCAUAGAUAGAUAAAACUACGGUGCAACGACAUAAAAAAAACUACUAGAUAAUGCAACUACAACCUACUCCCAGUCGCCAUCAUCAUCAUCAUCAUCAUCAUCAUCAUCAUCAUCAUCAUCGUCAUCCUCGCUGGUCUGGUCCGAGGUAUCGAGCCAGAUGUCGUCCCAACGAGGAUCAUUAGCCGAAAAGAUCGACUGCCCACCAUUUUCAACGAUAUCGCACUACAAUAACGCCAGGGCCUUCCGCCGACGCCUGUCCAACUGUUCCGCGCGGAGCUUUGCUGUCUGCUCCGCCCAGUAGGCUUGCUCGUCGACGACGUCCUCCGGGUGGCGCCGGCGCCACUCCGCCAUGGCCCGCUCGUCCUCCUCGGCGCUGAGGAGGCGGCGCUGCCGCCACGCGUGCUCCACACGGUCUUGGUCCAUGAUAAGACGAGGCGGAGGGGCGACGUCCUGCGCCUGCUGGCGCGUGUAGACGUCCUGGAAGUUCAUCUGCGGGCGCGGCCUUCCUAGGCGCCACGCCGCCGCGUCGUACGCGCGGGCGGCCUCGUGCACAGUCUCGAAGGUGCCGAGGCCAAGCCGGACAUCGCCGGACCGGAUCUCGGCGCAGUACUAGCCGUUGGGGCGUGGGCGGAUGCCGCGGUAGCCCGACGCUCCUUGGCGGCGCGGCGGCAUGGUGGCGCGUCGGUGGCGGUGCGCUGGAGCGGCGAGGAAGCAACGAGGAAGCGGGGGAGGCGCGCGUGGCAUCGGAAAAGGAAGAGAGAGAGUGAGAAUAGCCGCGUGGCGAGCGCCGCAAUUUAUAGGCGCGCCGGAAGCGGUGCGCCAAAAGUAGCGCGCGAGCUGCCGCCUUUUCCCGCGCGCGUGCAAACGAUUCCCGCGCACACUAGUUUCCCGCCACCGCUGGAGCGCGCGAAAACGUCCCGCGCGCGCUAAAAACUCAGUUUACCGCGCGCGCGCCUUUUGGCGCGCCUGUUGAAGAUGCUCUUGGGUGGGGAAGAAACCGGGCGGACGAUGGGAAGGCAGAACGCGGUCAACGUGCCAGGAAAAUAAACCUUACGGUUCUUUUUUUCUUUUUCUUUUUAAUUUUUAAUUAAUUUUAAUUGAUGAUGAAUUUGAAUACAGUACAAUCGAAGUCGUUCACAUAAACUCACCCCUAUGAACACAAGGACGUAAUCCUCAAUAUCCCUUUGAGGACUGGAGGGGAGAUGAUUUCUAUGCUUGGGUCCGGGAUUUAUACUGUAAAAUCAGCGUAUCGCUCUCUAAUGAUUCAGAACGAGCAUAAAGCUCUAGAAGAAGGGACAACUACGGAUACUUCAGAGAUGGAUAAACAGUUGUGGUCUCGGUUAUGGAAACUCAAAGUGCUGCCCAAAGUUCGCGUCUUCUGGUGGCGCGUGAUGCGAGGGAUUCUUCCCGUCGGAAGUACACUGAAAUAUCGGCAUAUAUCCAGCGAGAGCAAGUGCAAAAUCUGUUCGAGUUCUGAGGAGGAUAUGAUGCAUGCAUUACUGAACUGUACCCAUGCGAGAAGGUUUUGGAAUGAAGCUCCGCAGUGGCUGCAUGUUAAGCGACCAGACAUGCCCUGCACCCUCUUACUUGGGUCAAGGAUGCCCUGUGUGAGGCUCUGUUUUCAGAUUCUGGCAGAGCAAAACUUGUGUCUAUUAUGUGUGCUAUUUGGACUUCACGCAACAACAUUACACAUGACAAAGGAGAGUUUGAUCCUGUUCGGUCCAUGAAGCAAAUACAGGAAGCUCUAGCGAUCUUAGAGUUACCUCAAGAUCAUGCUCGGAUCUUGCCUGGUCAUGGCUGGAGGCCGCCGGAUGAUGGAUGGAUAAAAAUCAACAUCGAUGGUAGCAUUGCCAUGGAGUCCCGCCGAGGAGGGGUAGCACGUUCUCCGUCUGCUUUCAAGGCUGCAUGGUGUAAGCCAUACUAUGGAAUCACAGACCCUCUUCUGGCUGAAGCGUUGGCUCUUCGAGAUGGCAUAAUAUUCACAAAGCUUCGAGGUUAUGAUUAAGUCAUCUUGGAGACGGAUAGCCAAGAGGUUGUUAACCUCUCGCACUCGCGCCACAAUUUUUCAGUGGUGGCGCUGAUUCUUGACGAGAUUGGGGAGCACGCCAGUUCUUUUAAAUUUUUUCUUAUUCAACAUGUGUUGAGAUCAGCAAAUUUUCCUACUCACCUUUGUGCGAAGCAAGCUAGCACGCUGGAUGCAACAGAUUGUUGGUUAGACUCUACUCCUAGUUUCCUUGUAACUAGCCUCCUGGCAAAUUCUGCCGGAGUGGUUUCUGUUGAAUAAAACUUCCCAAUUUGCCCCGCAAAAAAAAGAACACAAGGACGCACACCCUACCCCUACGAGCACCUCCGACCCGAGAGACUAAGCCGGCAUAGCAACUUCCGAUUGUUGCCCUUCCCUUUAAAAGGGGCAAUGAGACACUACAUAAUAAUGACAGCAUGCCCUUCAGCUAAAUAACUUCAUAAUUUUGGGACAUGUUUUACUUUUAGGAGGCAACACGGCUGUGAAACAACAGAUCUGGCCAGACCAAUGCAAGGAAGGGAUCACACAAGACAAUAUAUGUCACAUCCUUUUUAGAUCCAUAAUAAUCAAGCAAUGUGCCACCUUUGCAACAACAUCAAAUAAAGUAUCCAUCAUAUUCAAUUGGAUUUGGAUCACACAGCAGGAAUAAGAAUAAUCAUACAAGCAUAUAUAUACAGCUUCUCCACAAAUGGUUAUGGUCAACAUUAUCUGUCAACUUGAGCAUUCCAAAGGAAUGUAGAAAUCCAUUCGAGGUGCAAUUUACACCAUCCACAAUCCAUUAAAAAGGACUCAUAUUAGUAGUAGACUGGAGCCAGCUGGGCUGGGCUGGCCAACUCAUGGUGCAGCAAAGGCUAACAAACCACGAGUUACAUGACUAAAGUGUUGCCAUAUAGUCAGUCUUAUCAAGAGCACAGCAAACAAAUUCUUUUGUCCUGCAGCACAACUCCAUAUUCCACCACAGAAAAACUAUCACGCCUCAAAUGAAGGUUCUUCAGCGUCACCUUCAGCAGCAUUGGGAUCAUCAACAACUGUGACACCCUCAAGAUCCAAGGGGCGGCCAGUCAUCGGAUGAAUAGGGUUCCUGUCACGAGGCCCACCCUUCCGGCCCAUAGCUAGCAAUGGAGGUGGAGGCAGAACACCAGCACGGAAGAGGAUACGCUGCACGGGAUCUGAUGGCUGUGCCCCAACAGACAGCCAGUACCUACAACACAAGCAUGGCUAUAUGGUGUCACUAUAGUUGUAUGGUGUCAUGUGGUCUUGCAGUGCAGGCGGAAAAAAUAGCAUGGCAUAUUUGUAGCGACUACUCAUUAGGUCUGCUACGGAUGCAAUCAAACAGAUCCCAUGUACUUGAACCACCUUAUUCACUAAAUCGAUCAUUUUCUUCCCCAGUGGAUGGAGGCAAAGCGGGCAUAGAAGUGAACAAUGCUUGCCAGUUGGCACUACAACCAAGUAGCAUAGUGCAAGGCUGCAAGCCCCAGAUAGUUUUGCUUGUCUUUCUUCUGUUUUAUAAUUUUUAUUACCUACACACUCAAUAUCCCCAAUGAUACAAUGUACCGCCACAAAGGAUGAGAACGACAAAGGCCUGAAUUGUUUAGGUUUCAUAGAGAAAGCAUAAUCUAUUUAGUUUAGCCUCCAAAAUACCCAAUCGUCCAUCAAAGAACAAGGUUACUUGAAUGAACAGACACUGUUACUUCUAGAGCACACUACUAGAAAAAGGCCUGCUAGUGGCGCACCAGUUUUGCCUACUAAUGGCGCACUACUGGUGCGCCACUAGCACCACGCCAUUAGAAUUAAAUACUAAUGGUGCACCCCUGGUGCGCCAUUAGUAUCUGGUAUAUUAAUGGCGCACCACGCAGUGCGCCAUUAGUAUAGCCCACCGUGCGCCAUUAGUAUGCCUCCCAGGGGGCCAUAUUUACCCAUGUGCUUUGGCAUACUAAUGGCGCACUAGGGGGUGAUGCGCCAUUAGUGUCCUUUCUGUAGUGCGCCAUUAGUGUGCUGAGUGGUGCGCCACUAGUAUGAAUAUUAGGGAUUUUUUUUUCUUUUCUGAUUUUUGCACAGGUUACAAAACAUAUUACUGCACAUAAUAUAGAGCGCACAACAUAUAAACAGCAGAUUUAUCGAAUAUAAUAGAAGAUUAGUCUCCGAAUACAAUUCAUCAUAUUAGUCUCCGAAUUUCAAAUACCGAACAAAGUUAUAACAUUACAAGUCUCGAAACCGCGAGUAGCGAGUUUGUCAAAAGUAAUACUAAUCCUAACAAGUCCUACUAAUCAUCAUCAUACAACUUCUACUCGUUAUUAAUAACAAGUCAUACGAUCAUCAUCCUGAUAGUCAUCGAACCAACCCUACUUAAUUGUUCUUAGCACAUGAUCAUCAGUAUUAGGCAGAACCUAAAUACCCUAUUUAAGGUAAAAUAGCAUAAAACAAUAUAGACUCUGACUCUCCAUUAUGGAGAAUGGAGAUCAUCAUGUCUCCAAUUCUUGCGUGGCGCUUCCUUUUGCUUCCAAGAACCUCCUUACGACUGUCCAUACAUUUUUUCCAUUCUCUGAUUAGCAUGUCUCCACUUCUUCUAGAAAUCCGGUAUGGACAAUUGAGAUUCGUAGGAUGACCUGGAUAUAUGUUCAAAACACGAAGGCUGCCAUUUUGAUACAUCAAAUGAGGCACACAAUCCUCUGGGAUUCUCUGUUGAAAAACAUAGUAAUAACUUCAUAGUUAGCAAUGAUGUACUAGUUUUAGAAGUAUGCAAAAGAUGCACGGAUGUCGUAAUAGUAAAAAAUCUUACCAGGGUAUCUCCAUGGUAGUUACCUUAGUUCAACACGUGCACUAGUGCACGUAUUGACCAUAAUGUUGAGGAGUUUGAUUGUAGAUAUUGUAAUUCUCAAGAUCAGUACAAAAUCCGACCAGAUGAUUUUUCUCCCGAUAAGUUAACUCGAAGCCAUCGGUGUAGUGGGUUUCGUCUACCAUGUUUCGCACAUUGUUUGAACAAUCAAAAUAAGCUGUCAAUGGAAAUAAGUUGUCAACUAUUUUGAAAUAAACAAUAUAAAUUAGUUAAUAAUUAACUAUGUUUGAGAAACUCACAUAGCGGUAGAACUGGAGGCGUAUCAACAAGGACCCAAAUGUCCAUAUUGUCUUGGUCGAUGUCAGGAUCAUCAAGAUCCAUGGUGACAAGCAUACCCUCAUCAAAACCAUACAUCUAGCAAAAUGCUUCCCAAUUUUUGCAACCAAAAUGGGUUACGCUCUCAGCAUUAUACAGAUUUACUUCAAAAUCCACAUCAUGAUGGGUCCUUAGGUGAAUUUUCUUCGUUUCAAAAUUUUCAUGGUCUUCAAAAUCCAUCCUCUCCAAGACAUAGCGUCUUGCAUGGCAUGGGAUAAACUAUACUAGAAUUGUAAAAGAUGAAAAUUACACGUUGAAAUAGUUGAAGUCAUGCUUAAUUAUGAAAAAACACUUGUCGUCGUUGCGUACCGUUUCAACUUCGAAGGUCUCCUCGAGCUUAAUGCUGAAGCGCCGAUCAUCGUCCAGGUGAGGCCUGUCGCACAGACCUCGACCGUCGUGGCAUCAGCCGCACUCCCCCGGGAGACUUUCGUUGUCCGAUGACGACAUUUCCUAUGUUCAUAAUUCAAAAUUACAUCAUCUCUGUUGGGUCCAAUAAGAUAAUCCACGGUGUGGUGAAAACACGCCCUUCGAACUGGUUUGAGCAAUUGGUGAAUGGAGAUGGUCUAAGAUUUUCAGUAGUAAGAAGUGAAGUGGUAAUUUUGAGAGCAAAUGGUUAGGAUGAGUGGUUCCUCUUUCCUGUUUAGCUUUACAAUAGAAUAUUGUUAGUCAUGCACACUUGUGCAUUUUCAGCCAGGCCCAGUGAAGUUGGCCUAAAAACAUUUCUUUCUUUAAGCCUGCUACAUCCAUCUCAAGUAUUUAUGGUCAAGGGUUAGCAGGGCCAUCCAAAUAGAAUAUGUGGUAUGGGCUUUUUUAGUAGGUCAUCCUACCAGAUUAGGGUUUAUCAAUGACGAGCAACUGACAUUAGUAAUAACUAUGAGUAUCACACUUCUAUAUGUAUAACACAAGAGGCAGUUGAUCCUACUUAAUUAAGUACUAAGAUACCCCGGCCCAUGCAUUAGUCGCAAGUGCCCCAUAUGUCCUAUUUUUAGCAAAGUCAUGCUAAAAUUCACGGAAAAUUUCAGCAUGACCUUUGCUGAAAAUAGGACAUAUGGAGUACCCGAAUUUGUCAGAACGGAAGUUAAUCGACAUUUUGGCAAACUCAAGGGCCUCUCGGGGUACAGCAGCAGCAUCACAAGUUGACAAAAUUCCCAAGUAGUACAGCAGCAGCAUCACAAGUAGUACCAAUGAACAUAUAGUCCAGCACAUUAUGAAUUUUGAUAAAUGACAGCAAGUUAACUCAUUCUGAACAUAUAGUACCAAUGAACAUAUAGUCCAGCAGCAGCAUCUAUUUACCCACUUGAUUUACCGGUCUUGAAGAAAGAGAUACUUGUAUGACAAGACAUAUGCUUAGUCCGGAUGCCUUAAAUCUUAACCACAUUUUGCUAUUGCUAAUUUCUAGAAGUGAGCUCUAACAGCUUUCUAUAAUAAAUUAGUCAAGAUAAGUUCCUAAGCUCCUGAUAUGACAAAACUAGCGUACAUAUACCAAUAAAUGCAAUUUGUAACAAAUUGUUGUACAACAAUAUAUCUUCUAGCCAUGAAACCCUACCCUGAUUCUCCUUUCUUCCUCUUGCCGAAGAGAAGUUGGCUGCAGAGGAUGGUCCAACUCAGAUCAGCCUGCAGAAGUUCAUUGUAUAAUUCUGUUUAGUUCCAAGCAGUAGUUCAAGAAGUGCAAAUUGCAGAAGUUUGAGAAAGCACUAACUGGAAAGUCUGGUGUUUCCUUGAAAACAUGAAAGGGCCUGACUAUGCAUACAAUUUUACAACAAGACAUCCACCAUACAAUUUUUAUUAAAGGAAAAGACUUAAGUUAACUUUAAUUAAAGUUUCAGUUAAAGUUUAAAUUAAAGUUUUGGUUAAAGUUUUAGUCGAUUUUAAAGUUAAAUAUGGAGGGCACAAGACACACUACUGAAAAGGUUUGCAGCUACAGUUUAAAAUUUCUACUUACAAGGUUAUAUCUGAAAACAGCACUAAAUAGACAUUUUAAAUAUAUUUCAGUGAUAAUAUGAUCAUUUCCUUAAUCCUACAAACAAUGGUAGCCACCCUCUGGUACUCAUGCCUGCAUAUCAUAACAACAGCUUCACUGCAGGAAAACAUGUGGUAAUUGCCUAACUACAGAACCAGGAAAAUUUGGGGGGGGGGUCAAGUUUGUGUUUUGGUGCCUUCACAUGAAUAUUGCACUGAAUAAAUUGUGAACAGCAAUAUCUAGUUGCUUUUUACUUCAUGAUUGUCCCUGCCUACGGACUGCGGCUGCGGCACGACCGACAGGAGGGACGCCGGCGUCGCCACGGUCGAGGGAAGGGUCGGCGGCGGCGGCUGUGCGGGAUUGACCAAGGCCGUGGGUGACAGUGGCAGAAGGGGAGGGAGGGAAUGGGGAGGAAGGGUGGAGAGGGAGGAAGGAGGAAGGAGGAGAGGUACCUGGGCGGGCGCGGCCGGUCGCCGGAGGGGUCGGGGUCGGCGGCGGCGGGACGGUUGCGGGUCGGCGGCGGUCGUCGUCCUGCACCCCGUGCGGUCGUCGGCGGUGGGAUGGUUGCGGGUCAGCGGCGGGAUGGUUGGGGGCCGCGGCGGCUUGCUGUCUGGUGGGCGGCGGAGGAGCUGCAGUGGUGGGGGGCGCGGGGGCGGCGGCGCACGUAGGGGCGGCGACGUCGUGGGUCGGGGCAGCGGCGAGCAGUGGGGGGCUGAGAGAGAUGUGAGAUGGGAUCAGGGAUUGGGGAUUUUAGUCGGGGGAGGGAUAGCAAUGGCGCACCACCUAGCGGUGCGCCAUAAGUAAGUUUUUUUAGAUAGCAAUGGCGCACCACCCAGCGGUGCGCCAUAAGUAACUUUUUUUUGCAUAGCAAUGGCGCACCACCCAGCGGUGCGCCAUAAGUAAAUUUUAUUUUUUUUAUUUUUUGUUGCAUGUAAUAAUUUUUUAGAAAAUGAAUAUGAAUAUGAACCAGUAAUAAUUUUUUAUAAAAAGAGUAAUAAUUUUUUUAAAAAUAUCAUCAAAUUUGUUAUUUGAAAAUAUUUAUGAAUAUGAAAAAAUAUCAUCAAAUUUGUUAUUUGAAAAUAUAAUCAAAUUUGUUUUUUUGGAUUUUUAGUUGCAUUCAUUUGUGAAUUGGUAAGACAUUACUGGGGAGGGUGCGGNNNNNNNNNNNNNNNNNNNNNNNNNNNNNNNNNNNNNNNNNNNNNNNNNNNNNNNNNNNNNNNNNNNNNNNNNNNNNNNNNNNNNNNNNNNNNNNNNNNNNNNNNNNNNNNNNNNNNNNNNNNNNNNNNNNNNNNNNNNNNNNNNNNNNNNNNNNNNNNNNNNNNNNNNNNNNNNNNNNNNNNNNNNNNNNNNNNNNNNNNNNNNNNNNNNNNNNNNNNNNNNNNNNNNNNNNNNNNNNNNNNNNNNNNNNNNNNNNNNNNNNNNNNNNNNNNNNNNNNNNNNNNNNNNNNNNNNNNNNNNNNNNNNNNNNNNNNNNNNNNNNNNNNNNNNNNNNNNNNNNNNNNNNNNNNNNNNNNNNNNNNNNNNNNNNNNNNNNNNNNNNNNNNNNNNNNNNNNNNNNNNNNNNNNNNNNNNNNNNNNNNNNNNNNNNNNNNNNNNNNNNNNNNNNNNNNNNNNNNNNNNNNNNNNNNNNNNNNNNNNNNNNNNNNNNNNNNNNNNNNNNNNNNNNNNNNNNNNNNNNNNNNNNNNNNNNNNNNNNNNNNNNNNNNNNNNNNNNNNNNNNNNNNNNNNNNNNNNNNNNNNNNNNNNNNNNNNNNNNNNNNNNNNNNNNNNNNNNNNNNNNNNNNNNNNNNNNNNNNNNNNNNNNNNNNNNNNNNNNNNNNNNNNNNNNNNNNNNNNNNNNNNNUCGGCGGCGGUGGAGCGGGGGAGGGUGCGGGGGGAUCGAGAUCGAGAUGGAGGGGGAUAGCGAUCGAGAUGGAGGGGGAUCGAGAUCGAGAUGGAGGGGGAUCGAGAUUGAGUGUCCUCAUGAAUAUUCAAUAUUUUUUCAUAUUGAAUAUGUAAAAAAUAUCAUAAAAUUUGAAAAAUAUUCAUGAAUUCAAAAAGUGCCCAUGAAAUUUAAAAAUAUUCAUGAGUUCAAAAAGUGCCCAUGAAAUACAAUCGAGAAAUGAAGGCUACAAUUUAAAUACAAUCGAUCUUAGCUAGCUAUCUGUUCACAAUCUUCUUGCCCUUAUUUUUCGUAAAUGGAGUCCUUCUCUUGAACGGGCGUCCUUUAGGUAGGGUGGUCCUGCUUCUUCUUGUGGUGUAUGCUGGUACUUCAUCGUCGUCGUCAUGUUCCAUCUUCGGGUCGCCGUACUUGUCGAAGUCUUGCUCAUUCGCGACUCCAUCCAUUCCGAUGAUCUUCCUUUUGCCUCUCCUCACGACAACACGACUGGGCUUUGACGGGUCGGUAAUGAAGAAGCAUUGGUCCACUUGGGAAGCCAGUACCCAUGGCUCAUUUUUCGCGGUGACGUUUGCGCCCGCGGUCUUGGAUUUGGCUUCGGGUAUAACCAUGGUGGUGAAAUACCGGUCUUCUUUUAGGACGCUCUUGGCCCAUCUGACACGGAACAUCGGGACCUUCUUGUUGGGGAACGUAGCAGAAAUUCAAAAUUUUCUACGCAUCACCAAGAUCAAUCUAUGGAGUAAUCUAGCAACGAGGGGAAGGGGAGUGCAUCUACAUACCCUUGUAGAUCGCGAGCGGAAGCGUUCAAGAGAACGGGGUUGAUGGAGUCGUACUCGUCGUGAUCCAAAUCACCGAUGAUCCUAGCGCCGAACGGACGGCACCUCCGCGUUCAACACACGUACGGAGCAGCGACGUCUCCUCCUUCUUGAUCCAGCAAGGGAGGAGGAGAGGUUGAUGGAGAUCCAGCAGCACGACGGCGUGGUGGUGGAAGUAGCGGGAUUCCAACAGGGCUUCGCCAAGCGCUGAAGGAGGAAGAUGUGUCACGGGAGGGAGAGGGAGGCGCCAGGGCUUGGAUUGCUGCUGCCCUCCCUCCCCCCCCACUAUAUAUAGGGCCAAGGGAGGGGGGGCGCAGCCUUGGCCCUUCCUCUAAGGAAGGGUGCGGCCAGGGAGGAGUCCUUCCCCCCCAAGGCACCUCGGAGGUGCCUUCCCCCUUUAGGACUCUCCGUUUAUCUUAUCUCUUGGCGCAUGGGCCUCUUGGGGCUGGUUCCCUUGGCCCAUAUAGGCCAAGGCGCACCCCCCACAGCCCAUGUGGCCCCUCGGGGCUGGUGGACCCCUUGGUGGACCCCCGGACCCAUUUCGGCACUCCCGGUACAAUACCGAUAAAGUGCGAAACUUUUCCGGCGACCAAAAUAAGACUUCCCAUAUAUAAAUCUUUACCUCCGGACCAUUCCGGAACUCCUCGUGACGUCCGGGAUCUCAUCCGGGAACUAAUAUCUCUACAACCCUAGCGUCACCGAACCUUAAGUGUGUAGACCCUACGGGUUUGGGAGACACGCAGACAUGACCGAGACGACUCUCCGGUCAAUAACCAACAGCGGGAUCUGGAUACCCAUGUUGGCUCCCACAUGCUCCUCGAUGAUCUCAUCGGAUGAACCACGGUAUCGAGGAUUCAAUCAAUCCCGUAUACAAUUCCCUUUGUCUAUCGGUAUGUUACUUGCCCGAGAUUCGAUCGUCGGUAUCCUGAUACCUUGUUCAAUCUCGUUACCGGCAAGUCUCUUUACUCGUUCCGUAACACAUCAUCCCAUGAUCAACUCCUUGGUCACAUUGUGCACAUUAUGAUGAUGUCCUACCGAGUGGGCCCAGAGAUACCUCUCCGUUUACACGGAGUGACAAAUCCCAGUCUUGAUUCGUGCCAACCCAACAGACACUUUCGGAGAUACCUGUAGUGCACCUUUAUAGCCACCCAGUUACGUUGUGACGUUUGGUACACCCAAAGCAUUCCUACGGUAUCCGGGAGUUGCACAAUCUCAUGGUCUAAGGAAAUGAUAUUUGACAUUAGAAAAGCUCUUAGCAAACGAACUACACGAUCUUGUGCUAGGCUUAGGAUUGGGUCUUGUCCAUCACAUCAUUCUCCUAAUGAUGUGAUCCCGUUAUCAACGACAUCCAAUGUCCAUGGUCAGGAAACCGUAACCAUCUAUUGAUCAACGAGCUAGUCUCCUAGAGGCUUACUAGGGACAUGGUGUUGUCUAUGUAUCCACACAUGUAUCUGAGUUUCCUAUCAAUACAAUUCUAGCAUGGAUAAUAAACGAUUAUCAUGAACAACGAAAUAUAAUAAUAACCUAUUUAUUAUUGCCUCUAGGGCAUAUUUCCAACAGUCUCCCACUUGCACUAGAGUCAAUAAUCUAGUCCACAUCACCAUGUGAUUAACACUCAUAGGUCACAUCACCAUGUGACCAACAUCCAAAGAGUUUACUAGAGUCAACAAUCUAGUUCACAUCUCUAUGUGAUUAACACUCAAUGAGUUCUGGUUUGAUCAUGUUAUGCUUGUGAGAGAGGUUAUUAGUCAACGGGUCUGAACCUUUCAGAUUCGUGUGUGCUUUACGAAUAUCUAUGUCAUCUUGUGGAUGCUACCACGCGCUACUUGGAGCCAUUUCAAGUAAUUGCUCUACUAUACGAAUCCGGUUUACUACUCAGAGUCAUCUGGAUUAGUGUCAAAGUUCGCAUCGACGUAACCCUUUACGACGAACUCCUUUUCACCUCCAUAAUCGAGAAAAUUCCUUAGUCCACUAGAUACUAAGGAUAAGUUCGACCGCUGUCAUGUGAUCCAUUCCCGGAUCACUAUUGUACCCCUUGACCAACUCAUGGCAAGGCACACUUCAUGUGCGGUACACAGCAUAGCAUACUGUAGAGCCUACGUCUAAAGCAUAGGGGACGACCUUCGUCCUUUCUCUCUCUUCUGCUGUGGUCAGGUCUUGAGUCUUACUCAAUACUCACACCUUGUAACACAGCUAAGAACUCCUUCUUUGCUGAUCUAUUUUGAACUCUUUCAAAAUCAUGUCAAGGUGUGCGUUCUUUGAAAGUAUCAUCGGGCGUCUUGAUCUAUCUCUAUAGAUCUUGAUGCCCAAUAUGUAAGCAGCUUUAUCCAGGUCUUCCUUUGAAAAACUCCUUUCAAACAACCAUUUAUGCUUUCCAGAAAUUUUACAUCAUUUCGGAUCAACAAUAUGUCAUUCACAUAUACUUAUCAGAAAUGUUGUAGCGCUCCCACUCACUUUAUUGUAAAUACAAGUUUCUAACAAACUUUGUAUAAACCCAAAAACUUUGAUCACUCCAUCAAAGCGUAUAUUCUGACUCCGAGAUGCUUGCUCUAGUCCAUGGAAGGAUUGCUGAAGCUAGCAUACCUUUUAGCAUCCUUAGGAUCGACAAAACCUUUCUGAUUGUAUCACAUACAACCUUUCCUUACGAAAACUGGUAAGGAAACUUGUUUUGACAUCCAUCUGCCAGAUUUCAUAAAUGCAGCUAAUGCUAACAUGAUUCCGACGGACUUAAGCAUCGCUAUGGAUGAGAAAAUCUCAUCGUAGUCAACUCCUUGAACUUGUGAAAAUACUCUUUGCCACAAGUCGAGCUUCAUAGACGGUAACAUUACCGUCCACGUCCGUCUUCUUCUUAAAGAUCCAUUUAUCUCAAUGGCUUGCCGAUCAUCGGGCAAGUUCACCAAAGUCCAUGAUUUGUUCUGAUACAUGGAUCCUAUCUCGGAUUUCAUGGCUUCUAACCAUUUGCCGGAAUAUGGGCCCACCUUCGCUUCUCCAUAGCUCGUAGGUUCAGUAUUGUCUAACAACAUGAUAUCUAAGACAGGAUUACCGUACCACUCAGGAGUAGUACAUAUCCUUGUCGACCUACGAGGUUUGGUAGUGACUUGAUCCGAAGUUUCAUGAUCACUAUCAUAAGCUUCCACUUCAAUUGGUGUAGGUGCCACAGGAACAACUUCCUGUGCCCUGCUACACACUAGUUGAAGUGACGGUUCAAUAACCUUAUCAAGUCUCCACCAUCCUCCCACUCAAUUCUUUCGAGAGAAACUUUUCCUCGAGAAAGGACCUGUUUCUAGAAGCAAUUACUUUUUCUUCCAUAUCUGAAAUAGGAGGUAUACCCAACUGUUUUGGGUAUUCUAUGAAGACGCAUUUAUCCGCUUUGGGUUCGAGCUUAUCAGCCUGAAACUUUUUCACAUAAGCGUUGCAGUCCCAAACUUUUAAGAAACGAUAACUUAGGUUUCUCUAAACGGUGUCGUCUCAACGGAAUUGCGUGGUGCCCCUUUUAAAGUGAAUGCGGUUGUCUCUAAUGCCUAACCCAUAAACAAUAGUGGUAAUUCGAUAAGAGACAUCAUGGCAUGCACCAUAUCCAAUAGGGUGCAGCUAUGAUGUCCGGACACACCAUCACACUAUGGUGUUCCAAGCGGUAUUAAUUGUGAAACACUUUCCACAAUGUCUUAAUUGUGUGCCAAACUCGUAACUCAGAUACUCAUCUCUAUGAUCGUAUCACAGACAUUUUAUCCUCUUGUCACGACGAUCUUCAACUUCACUCUGAAAUUACUUGAACCUUUCAAUAAUUCAGACUUGUGUUUCAUCAAGUAAAUACACUCAGCAUCUACUCAAAUCAUCUGUGAAGUAAGAACAUAACGAUAUCCACUGCAUGCCUCAGCACUCAUUGGACUGCAUACAUCAAAAUGUAUUACUUCCAAUAAGUUGCUCGCUUGUUCCAUCUUACUGAAAACGAGACCUUUCAGUCAUCUUGCCCAUGUGGUAUGAUUUGCAUGUCUCAAGUGAUUCAAAAUCAAGUGAGUCCAAACGAUCCAUCUGCAUGGAGUUUCUUCAUGCAUAUAUACCAAUAGACAUGGUUCGCAUGUCUCAAUCUUUUCAAAAACGACUGAGUCCAAAGAUCCAUCUACAUGGAGCUUCUUCAUGCGUUCUAUACCAAUAUGACUCAAAUGGCAGUGCCACAAGUAUGUGGUACUAUCAUUACUAUUUUAUAUCUUUUGGCACGAACAUGUGUAUCACUGCGAUCGAGAUUCAUUUUAGGUGCAAGACCAUUGAAGGUAUUAUUCAAAUAAUCAGAGUAACCAUUAUUCUCCUUAAAUGAAUAACCGUAUUGCGAUAAACAUAAUCCAAUCAUGUUUAUGCUCAACGCAAACACCAAUCUUGAUGGUAGAGGGAGCAUGCGAUGCUUGAUCACAUCAACCUUGGAAACACUUCCAACACACAUUGUCAUCUCAGCUUUAGCUAGUCUCCAUUUAUUCUGCAGCUUUUAUUUCGAGUUACUAACACUUAGCAACCGAACCAGUAUCUAAUACCCUGGUGCUGCUAGGAGUACUAGUAAAGUACACAUUCAUAUAAUGUAUAUCCAAUAUACUUCUGUCGACCUUGCCUGCUUCUCAUCUACCAAGUAUCUAGGGCAGUUUUGCUUCAGUGACCGUUUCCCUCAUUACAGAAGCACUUAGUCUCGGGUUUGGGUUUAACCUUGGGAUUCUUCACUAGAGCAGCAAAUGAUUUGCUGUUUCAUGAAGUAUCCCUUUUGCCCUUGCCCUUCUUGAAACUAGUGGUUUUACUAACCAUCAACAAUUCAUGCUCCUAUUUGAUUUCUACUUUCGCGGUGUCAAACAUCGCGAAUAGCUCAAGGAUCAUCAUAUCUAUCCCUGAUACGUUAUAGUUCAUCACGAAGCUCUAAUAGCUUGGUGGCAGUGACUAUGGAGAACCAUCACUAUCUCAUCUGGAAGAUUAACUCCCACUCGAUUCAAGCGAUUGUGGCACUCAGACAAUCUGAGCACAUGCUCAACGAUUGAGCUUUUCUCCCUUAGUCUGCAGGCUUAAGAAACUUGUCAGAGGUCUCAUACCUCUUGACGUGGGCACUAGUCCGAAAUCCCAAUUUCAGUCUUCGGAACAUCUCAUAUGUUCUGCGACAUUUCAAAACGUCUUUGGUGCCACAAUUCUAAACCGUUAGCAUUACGCACUGAACUAUCACGUAGUCAUCAAAACGUGUAUGUCAGAUGUUUCGCAACAUCUACAGACGACGCUGAGGUUUAGCACACCGAGCGGUGCAUUAAGGACAUAAGCCUUCUGUGCAGCAAUGAGGACAAUCCUCAGUUUACGGACCCAGUCCGCAUAAUUGCUACCACCAACUUUCAACUAAAUUUUCUCUAGGAACAUAUUUUAAACAGUAGAACUAAAGCGUAAGAUAUGACAUAAUUUGCAAAGACCUUUUGACUAUGUUCAUGAUAAUUAAGUUCAUCUGAUUAAUUAAUGAACUCCCACUCAGAUAGACAUCCCUCUAGUCAUCUAAGUGAUACAUGAUCCGAGUCAAACUAGGCCGUGUCCGAUCAUCACGUGAGACGGACUAGUCAUCAUCGGUGAACAUCUCCAUGUUGAUCGUAUCUACUAUACGACUCAUGUUCGACCUUUCGGUCUCUUGUGUUCCGAGGCCAUGUCUGUACAUGCUAGGCUCGUCAAGUCAACCUAAGUGUUUCGCAUGUGUUCCGAGGCCAUGUCUGUACAUGCUAGGCUCGUCAACACCCGUUGUAUUCGAACGUUAGAAUCUAUCACACCCGAUCAUCACGUGGUGCUUCGAAACAACGAACCUUCGCAACGGUGCACAGUUAGGGGGAACACGUCUCUUGAAAUUUUAGUGAGGGAUCAUCUUAUUUAUGCUACCGUCGUUCUAAGCAAAUAAGAUGUAAACAUGAUAAACAUCACAUGCAAAUCAUAAAGUGACGUGAUAUGGCCAAUAUCAUCUUGCGCCUUUUGAUCUCCAUCUUCGAGGCGCGGCAUGAUCACCUUCGUCACCGGCAUGACACCAUGAUCUCCAUCAUCAUGAUCUCCAUCAUCGUGUCUUCAUGAAGUUGUCUCGCCAACUAUUACUUCUACUACUAUGGCUAACGGUUAGCAAUAAAGUAAAGUAAUUACAUGGCGUUUUCAUUGACACGCAGGUCAUACAAUAAAUUAAGACAGCUCCUAUGGCUCCUGCCGGUUGUCAUACUCAUCGACAUGCAACUCGUGAUUCCUAUUACAAGAACAUGAUCAAUCUCAUACAUCACAUAUAUCAUUCAUCACAUCCUUUUGGCCAUAUCACAUCACAUAACAUACCCUGCAAAAACAAGUUAGACGUCCUCUAAUUGUUGUUGCAUGUUUUACGUGGCUGCUAUGGGAUUCUAGCAAGAAUGUUUCUUACCUACGCAAAAAGCCACAACGUGAUAUGCCAAUUUCUAUUUACCCUUCAUAAGGACCCUUUUCAUCGAAUCCGAUCCGACUAAAGUGGGAGAGACAGACACCCGCUAGCCACCUUAUGCAACUAGUGCAUGUCAGUCGGUGGAACCUGUCUCACGUAAGAGUACGUGUAACGUCGGUCCGGGCCGCUUCAUCUCACGAUGCCGCCGAAUCAAGAUAAGACUAGUAACGGCAAGUAAAUUGACAAAAUCGACGCCCACAACUACUUUGUGUUCUACUCGUGCAUAGAAACUACACAUAGACCUAGCUCAUGAUGCCACUGUUGGGGAACAUAGCAGAAAUUCAAAAUUUUCUACGCAUCACCAAGAUCAAUCUAUGGAGUAAUCUAGCAACGAGGGGAAGGGGAGUGCAUCUACAUACCCUUGUAGAUCGCGAGCGGAAGCGUUCAAGAGAACGGGGUUGAUGGAGUCGUACUCGUCGUGAUCCAAAUCACCGAUGAUCCUAGCGCCGAACGGACGGCACCUCCGCGUUCAACACACGUACGGAGCAGCGACGUCUCCUCCUUCUUGAUCCAACAAGGGGGGAGGAGAGGUUGAUGGAGAUCCAGCAGCACGACGGCGUGGUGGUGGAAGUAGCGGGAUUCCAACAGGGCUUCGCCAAGCGCUGCGGGAGGAGGGAGAUGUGUCACGGGAGGGAGAGGGAGGCGCCAGGGCUUGGAUUGCUGCUGCCCUCCCUCCCCCCCACUAUAUAUAGGGCCAAGGGAGAGGGGGGGCGCAGCCUUGGCCCUUCCUCCAAGGAAGCGUGCGGCCAGGGAGGAGUCCUUCCCCCUCAAGGCACCUCGGAGGUGCCUUCCCCCUUUAGGACUCUCCGUUUAUCUUAUCUCUUGGCGCAUGGGCCUCUUGGGGCUGGUUCCCUUGGCCCAUAUAGGCCAAGGCACACCCCCCACAGCCCAUGUGGCCCCCCCGGGGCUGGUGGACCCCCGGACCCCUUUCGGCACUCCCGGUACAAUACCGAUAAAGUGCGAAACUUUUCCGGCGACCAAAAUAAGACUUCCCAUAUAUAAAUCUUUACCUCCGGACCAUUCCGGAACUCCUCGUGACGUCCGGGAUCUCAUCCGGGACUCCGAACAACUUUCGGGUUACCUCAUACUAAUAUCUCUACAACCCUAGCGUCACCGAACCUUAAGUGUGUAGACCCUACGGGUUCGGGAGACACGCAGACAUGACCGAGACGACUCUCCGGUCAAUAACCAACAGCGGGAUCUGGAUACCCAUGUUGGCUCCCACAUGCUCCUCGAUGAUCUCAUCGGAUGAACCACGAUAUCGAGGAUUCAAUCAAUCCCGUAUACAAUUCCCUUUGUCUAUCGAUAUGUUACUUGCCCGAGAUUCGAUCGUCGGUAUCCCGAUACCUUGUUCAAUCUCGUUACCGGCAAGUCUCUUUACUCGUUCCGUAACACAUCAUCCCGUGAUCAUCUCCUUGGUCACAUUGUGCACAUUAUGAUGAUGUUCUACCGAGUGGGCCCAGAGAUACCUCUCCGUUUACACGGAGUGACAAAUCCCAGUCUCGAUUCGUGCCAACCCAACAGACACUUUCGGAGAUACCUGUAGUGCACCUUUAUAGCCACCCAGUUACGUUGUGACGUUUGGUACACCCAAAGCAUUCCUACGGUAUCCGGGAGUUGCACAAUCUCAUGGUCUAAGGAAAUGAUAUUUGACAUUAGAAAAGCUCUUAGCAAACGAACUACACGAUCUUGUGCUAGGCUUAGGAUUGGGUCUUGUCCAUCACAUCAUUCUCCUAAUGAUGUGAUUCCGUUAUCAACGACAUCCAAUGUCCAUGGUCAGGAAACCGUAACCAUCUAUUGAUCAACGAGCUAGUCUCCUAGAGGCUUACUAGGGACAUGGUGUUGUCUAUGUAUCCACACAUGUAUCUGAGUUUCCUAUCAAUACAAUUCUAGCAUGGAUAAUAAACGAUUAUCAUGAACAACGAAAUAUAAUAAUAACCUAUUUAUUAUUGCCUCUAGGGCAUAUUUCCAACACUUCUCUCCAGCGUAGCUCAGCUCCCAGAUCUCCUCGAUCCUUCCGUAGUAUCUGUCCUUAUCGUUACCGGUGUAGGAUUCCAUCGUUACCCCGGAGUUCUGAUAACCAUCGCUCUGUCCUUGGAUCGUUCCCAAAUUCUGGUUGUUCAAAGUUCAACGCUUGCCACUGGCUCCCAUCCUUAGGGUGACUCAGCAUCUUGUCUUUUUUAUUUAUCUCUGGAUCAUUUGCGUCAUCUUCUCGCUUCUUCUCCUCCCUAUCCGCGUGCCAACGCAAGAGCUUUGUUACCUUAGGGUCCGCGAAAUACCGCUGCAGACGAGGAGUGAUCGGAAAGUACGACACCACUUUUCAAGGAGCUUUCUUCCUCUUCUUGUAUCGAGUGACGCCGCACACCGGACAUAUGGUAGACUCCGCGUGCUCGUCCCGAUAAAUGAUGCAAUUAUUCAUGCACACAUGGUAUUUCACGUGCGGUAAAUCCAGAGGACACACGAUUUUCUUCGCCUCCUCGAAACUGGUCGGGCACUUGUUCCCCUUGGGAAGACGUUCGUGCCAGAAUGACAUGUUCUCGUCGAAGCAUGCGUCGGUCAUUUUGUGUUUUACCUUCAUCUCCAGAGCCAUGAGCGUUACUUUCAGGCGGGUAUCCUCGGGCCUGCAUCCUUCAUACAAUGGAGUAACUGCGUCUAUCUCCAGUUGAUCCAACUUGGCUUUCUCUCGGGCGGCAGCUCUUGCGUUAUCCGUCUGCUUGAGAAGCAGCUCUUGAAUAUGAGGGUCGUGCACCCAGCCCAUCGAUGGUCCAUCGUCGUCUGCUCCGGCAUCUUCAUCUUCAUGAUCAUGCCCUUCGUCUGCUCCGGCAUCUUCCUCAUCAUCAUGUCCGGCAUCUUCUACAUGAUGACUGUGUACUGCAUCUACUUCGUGAUCAUGUCCUGGAGAUUCUUCGUCUUCUCGCCCGCCCUCGCCGCGGUUGUCUUGCUGCCCUUCCUCAUUUCUUGCCGGCCGGCCCCAUAAAACCACGCAAGAGCAGGUGGUCCCGCACCUGUACGGAAUCCGGGUCCAUAAGGCUCCUCAGCUUGCAUCUUCGACACGGACAUCUUAUCUCCGUCUCAUUAUUUUGAAGCAUCUCGGCCUUCGCGGAGCUCAAAAACCUAUUCACGAUGCCUUCGGUCAUCGUGCGGACCAUGGUCGCCUGCGGGGUAGAGCAAAACGAUAUUUUAGAACCAAGAAAAAAUUUGGCAUGACUUUGCCUAAAAAUAUGACCAAAAAGAAUGCAUAGUGCCAAAAUUCUCGCCGAAACGGAAAUGAAUCAACAUUCCGGCAAAAUAUUGGCAACUAUCGCAUUUCAAAUACCGGUACCUGCAAACACAAACAUAUAUGCAACACCACAAACAUAUGCAACACCACAAAUAUACAUAGAUCUAGCUAGGCCAUAAAAAGUGCAUGUGCACGUUGUUGGAGGGAGAAAAAAGUAGAUCUGCAACAUAAAGAAAGUUUUUCCCUUACUUACCUAUCAAAAAAGGGUAAUUUAACCACUUAAUUUGGAUGAAUCUAUGAUGCAAAUGAGGUGAGGAGGAGGAGGCACCCGAGACAAGUUUGGAGGAGGUGGAGAGAAUGAAGUGGGGAAAGUGAGAGUGUAGGUGGAUGUCCAAAAUAUCUAGCUAGUCCCAGGUUACUAAUGGCACAACACCAACAAAUGCGCCAUUAGUAACCCUGGUUACUAAUGGCGCACCAGCUGGCGGUGCGCCAUUAGUAGUUUUGCAAAAAAAAAAAAAUAGUGGCGCACGGGGUGACUGGUGCGCCAUUACUAGUUUGGUUGUGGUGCGUCAUUAGUGUGAUAGACAGACACUAAUGGCGCACCGGCACACGAUGCGCCAUUAGUAUUUUUGGAAAAAAGAAAAAAAAAUUGUUAGUAGUGGCGCACCAUAGUUGUGGUGCGCCAUUAGUGUCUAUCACACUAAUGACGCACCAGCACACGGUGCGUCACUGCUAUAUAGUAGUGGCGCACCGCAUGUCUGGUGCGUCAUUAGUGUGCAUAUUGUCUAUAGCCCUUUUUCUAGUAGUGGCAGGUGCAGCAGAAGCUGCAACAUGCGGAAUUUUCUCCAAAAAGGAGUAUAACUGAGCCGAACAAUACUCCCUUAGAUGAAUUUCAAAUCAGGAGCAAGCAAAACUCACUUGACCCGGUCGAACUUGAGCCCCAUCCUCUUGCCACCAUCCUUCCCUGCAAACAGCAACAGAAAAGGAGGACACAUUUCCUCAUCAUCCAUUCUUCAGUUACCACUAAAGCUCCCACGCACAACCCCUCUGAAAAUGCGAGAUUUAUUUGCUAUAUACUCCCGCAGUGCUAUUCUAGAUCCGUCACUGCCACUCCCAGCGGCACGCCCAGAAUCGCAUCAUGAAUCCUUGGCGUGCGCGACCAGAGUAAGCGGGGGCCGAUUCUUCCCCAAUCGAGAUGCGAGCAGCAUGAACAGAACAACCGGGGAUUCGGGGUGAGGGACUGUCUCACCGGGGAGCGGGUUGUAGUAGCCGAGGACCUCGAGGUGCUUGCCGUCGCGUGGGGAGCGGCUGUCGGCGGCCGUCACACGGUAGAAGGGCCGAUUCCGGCAGCCGAACCGCGCGAGCCGGAUGCGCACCACCAUGACUUUCUUCUUUUCUUCCUCGCCGCCGGCCUUCGUUUCUCCGGGUUAGAGGGGUGGUGUGGGAAGAAGGGUUUUGGGUUGGCGAUUAGUGCGUGCCUUCUGGGCUGGGCUUGGCUUAUCCAACUAGGUAUUUCUUAGUGGGCCUACAUCAAUGCCCUAAAUUGGGGCCGAUCCAUGUACGCGAAUUCGAUCGCAGAUCCUACUACUCAAGCAAAAAAAAAAGCAAAUGAUCCUAAAAAAGACUAAUAAAAACCCUAAAAAGUGAUCCUAAAAAAACUCAGGAAAUUUAAACUAUCCUCCAAAGCAUGAGUGGAUGUUACGAUAAAAACAAGUAAAAUUAAGCUUCAUUUAUCUUGUAUUUUCUGGAAACAAAACCUUCAUUUCAUCAAUUUACUAUAGGUUAGCAAGAAACAAAAUGAAUUUCACAAAGCACAAUAACAAUCCCUGGAAAACCUUUGUCAUGACUUAUAAAAUUUAAGUAGGUAUCAGUGGUGGAGCUUGACAAGAAAGUGUGGGGGAGCCAAUUUUUUUUUACUCGUACAGUCAGGCAGGGACCGAAUCAAUGUAUAUAACCAUAUAUAGGGAACGAAUGAUUUCAGAGAGCUUGUCCAAAGCGCGAGGGCGGCUGGCAGACCAGAGUUCAUGCAGUCGACGAACACCCUCUCUGAGUCUCUCCUCGCCUCCUCGCGAUGUGUCGCCGGCUCAAGGAGGUCCAGUUAAUCUCAUACAGCAAGUUGCAAGGCAACAGGGCCAGUUCAUACCUAAUGAAACGAAAAUUUCGUGAGAUCAGUCUAUCUCCUACGGCAAGCUGCAAGGCGGCAGUGCAAGUUCAUACCUAAUGAAAAUAAAAUNNNNNNNNNNNNNNNNNNNNNNNNNNNNNNNNNNNNNNNNNNNNNNNNNNNNNNNNNNNNNNNNNNNNNNNNNNNNNNNNNNNNNNNNNNNNNNNNNNNNNNNNNNNNNNNNNNNNNNNNNNNNNNNNNNNNNNNNNNNNNNNNNNNNNNNNNNNNNNNNNNNNNNNNNNNNNNNNNNNNNNNNNNNNNNNNNNNNNNNNNNNNNNNNNNNNNNNNNNNNNNNNNNNNNNNNNNNNNNNNNNNNNNNNNNNNNNUUAUCAACAGAGCAAUUAAAGUGUCAUUCAUAUUCAUGUACAUCAGACAAGGGUAUUUAUAACUAAAAUAGCACCUCACAUUAAGAUCAGUCAACUGCUCUUAAACUAAAAAAUUAGGGAUUAUUAUGUAAAGUUGAUCCAAGCAAAGCACUCACCGAGCAUGAAAUCCACAUCUCUAGCAGCCUCCUACUUCAAUCCAUGUACUCAGUUGUUGGCUUGUCUUGCAGGCACCACAACCCUAUCAGCAAACAGUGAGAGGGAGAACAUAAAUAAAUCAAACAACAGAAAAAUUCCUCAGAUCGGUACAAUGUUGUAUUAACAGCGCAACACAUCAACUUUGAAUUUAUCUUGUGUUUCUUGUCUUCGAUGCCAGCUCUGCUGACUAAGAUUGUACAAUGAAAGAGCAGAAAAAUGAUCUUAGUUGCGCACACAAAAAACAUUUGUUGGGUGAAGGAACUUCGUUUGGUGAGUAUAGUUACAUCUAAUAAACAAUAUCUUCUUAAGAACCAACACCAUAUUUCUACAUACAAAAGUGAAAAGGUAGAAGAUGCUAAAAAUUGCAAGAAACAACAUCUUUCUUCAUACAUUUUUUUCGUUGGUUAACUUCCAUUCUUUUUUGUUUUUCUUUAUAUUUCAAAAUAGUCUAAUUCAUAUACUUCAAAACUUAAUUUAUGUAAAAUUUUAAAAAUAUUCACCAUGCAUUAAAAAAAUGUUAAUGCAUUUUGAAUAUUUGAUCAUGCAAUUUAGGAAAUGUUUUUACUGAUCUGGAGAAUUUUUGUUAUUGUUUUUUAAUUUAUUUUCUUCCUCUUACGGUUUGUGUGUCUUAAAAAAUGUUCGUGAUAUUUUCAAAUAUGUUUAUAAAUUUAAAAUAUACGUUCAUGUAAUUUCAAUAAAAAAUGCAUAAUACCAUUCAAAAACCGAGCUCGUGAAUGAUAUAAAAAACGUCACAUGUCUCAAAAAAAUGUUCAUGAAUAUAUGUACUAGUUUUUAUAUCAUUAAAAAAAAUGAUAUAAACAUUUUUAGUAUACACGUGAAACAUGUUUUACAAACGUUGAAAGUUUUUUAAAUGCAUGUUUUAAACAUUGCGAAUAUAUGUUAAACAUUUUUUAAUACAUGUUGAACAUUUUUAACGGCGUUAAACAUUUUUUUAAAGUAUGCAAACAUUGCUUUACGUUAUAUAUAUUGAAAUGUCAUAGCAUUGUUUUUAAAUAUGUGAAGAUUUAUUAAAAAUGUCAUGUAUAUUAUUUUUGAUGGAUAUGAAAUAUUUUUUUGGGAAUCACUGAAAGUUUUACACUUCAUGAAUAUUUUCAAAAUGUGUGACGAGCAUUAUUGAAAAUUUGAGUGAAUUAUAUUUUUAGUAUUUUACAUAUUUAUAUAAAUAACAUCUUUUUUUAGAAACGUUUAGAUAACAAACGACAUUUGCUUCGGGAGCCACCGUUUCUCUCCAGAUGGGCCCUUACAUUUGGGCCAUUUAGGACGUGCUUGAGGCUAGGUGUUCUUUCGUCUCAAAUUUCUAAAAAAAAGCGAGGCAAAGACACGUCCAGGUGUGGAGCUUCAAAAUAUUCUUCCUUCUUCCUCGAGUUACUUCGCGAGAUUUCCAAGAGUACGUAUGGUGCAUCUUUUUUUCUGUUCGUUGUCAGUGCUACUACUUCUGGACGAAGAAACGUCCGAUCUCAUCGAAUGGAGCGACGCUGCGUUGUUUAUUCGUGUGGUUUCCUUUUGCGGUGAGACAAGCAUCGCACGUGACAACGCGCACGCAAAAACAAAUCACGCCGAGAUCGAGAGCAACACGUCGACGGAUCAGAGACACCGAUGCAUGCACAUGGCGGCGACGAUGGCGUUCGCGUCCAUGCUCCACCGCACCGGCACCAAGUGUAAUAAAUCGACCAGGCAGAAAGCCGCAUCCAACUUGUGCUCGCUCGGCACCGUGGAGGUGCACCGUAAAUUGUGCUCGUCGUCGUCACACGCAUGCACCACCCCUUUACACUUGUUUAUUGCAGCUUCUUCACCCGCUUUUGGCCUCUUCUUCUUCCGGCAUGGGCUCGGUCGAAUCGGUUCCAUCUACAUGGCAGAGCUUUGCGAACGUACGGCGGGGGAGCGGCAACGCGUGUCCUCCCUACGUGGCGGCCAUGUACGAGCACCGCCGCGCAACGUGGCUCACAGCUUCUGCCUAUAAAGGCCACCUGCUCCAACCUCCUUACCAUAUCACAAGAAGCCGAACCAUUCCAAGUACUGUCGAGCAGAAGCCUAAAGCGAGUGACAUUUCCCCCUUCCGAGCUAGUUCAAGAAACCAAAAUGGCCUCCAACCAGAACCAGGCCAGCUACCACGCCGGCGAGACCAAGGCCCGUACAGAGGUAAGCGUUUUUUUACUUAGUGUGCACUCUGCUGCGCGCAUGCGCCGUUGCUCCGGCGGUGAUCUGAGAUGUUCUAUCUGUUGGAUGAACUGCAGGAGAAGACCGGGCAGAUGAUGGGCGCGACCAAGGACAAGGCCGGGCAGACCACGGAGGCCACCAAGCAGAAGGCCGGCGAGACGGCCGAGGCAACGAAGCAGAAGACUGGCCAGGCCACGGAGGCUACCAAGCAGAAGGCCGGCGAGACGGCCGAUGCCACCAAGCAGAAGGCCGCCGAGGCCAAGGACAAGACGGCGCAGACGGCGCAGGCGGCCAAGGAGAAGACGUACGAGACGGCGCAGUCGGCCAAGGAGCGCGCCGCCCAGGGCAAGGACCAGACCGCCAGCACCCUCGGCGAGAAGACGGAGGCGGCGAAGCAGAAGGCCGCCGAGACCACGGAGGCGGCCAGGCAGAAGGCCGCCGAGGCGACCGAGGCGGCCAAGCAGAAGGCGUCGGAGACGGCGCAGUACACCAAGGAGUCCGCCGUCGCCGGCAAGGACAAGACCGGCAGCGUCCUCCAGCAGGCCGGCGAGACGGUGGUGAACGCCGUGGUGGGCGCCAAGGACGCCGUGGCCAACACGCUGGGCAUGGGCGGUGACAACGCCACCAAGGACACCACCACCGGCGCCACCACCAAGGACACCACCACCAGGAAUCACUAGACGCAUGCGUUCGCGCUUGAUUUGCUUUCCUGUAGUCGUGUUUGGUCGUUCGCGGGCCUUCUACAUAUUUUGUAUGUUUCCACUCUUUCGUGAUUUCAGCUCAUUUAGUGUAAGUUUGCCUUCGAUUUGAUGUACUACUCGUGUCCGGUUCUGUAAUAGUAUUGAGUUAUUAUUAUGAUCCAUGUACUUUGGUGUAAUGUGUAAUUCCUUUAUUCCGAUAUAGUAUACAUUACUUCUACCGCGGAAUUUUUUUUUGAAGUCCCUUCUACCGCGGUAUUAUUAAAUGUGUCUGUCUAGGAUAGUCAUGUCACAUAGUCAUGUCACAUCUAAGUUACACAAUCAAGCAUAAAAAGAAAAAGAAAAUAAAAUAAAAUAAAAUACAUGAAGCCUUAAAAAAAACGAAUAUGAAAAUAGAUACCUACACGAAUCUCCAAGAUCAAUGACAUAGGGUCUGGGAUAGUCAUGUCACAUAUAAGUGACACAAUUAAGCAUGAGAAGUAAAAAGAAAAAUACCUAGAUGAAUCUUUAUGAAAAGGUUUUUCUUAUCAUUUAUGAAAUAUCAUCACUCUGUUUGGGCGCAUGCUAAAAAGAUGUUAUAUGACCAGAUGAAAGCCCAUCAUAUCAAAAUACCCAUGAACCCACGUGCCAGCUCUCCCUCAAAAGUGUGGGUCCCAUUCAAAAUCUCAGCGUAUUUAUUCUUAGCUUCAUGUGAGAUUGAGAGAGAUGAUAGGUGGGUCUAUUUAUUCUUAGCUUCAUGUGAGAUUGAGAGAGAUGAUCAUGUAUUUACUACAGCCAAAUCUAAUUUAUUCCUUACAUGUUAUACAAUAACAGAAUGCAUCCAUAAUUUUGUAAAGAUAAAUUCGAUUUAUUUCUCAUAUGAAAGAUAAUACAAAAUUACAGCCUGAAGAAUUGAACAUCACAUUUGCAGAAUGGAACCAAACAGUUAACUAAAGACGAUAACUAAUUAACAAAACAGUUAAUAAGUGAGCACCACACUGCACGAUAUAUAAAACAUAUACACUAGAGCAACAGAUUGCAUGGUAAAAUUAGAUAGCAGAGUUCACCAGAAUUUAUGAAGAAAAGGCAGGAGCAGCACACGCAACGGGUAAACCGAGCAUGCUUAACCGGCGUAGCUAGCAAAUGGUAAGGUGCUCAAUCUGGGGGUCGGCACGAAUGGCAGCCAUCGCGACCUCAUCCGCGCGUGCGGCCGCGAUUUGCUUCUCCGCUGCCAAAUGCUCCUUGAGAUCCUGGCUAUACUGCGUGCACCAUGGCUUAGGCCGGCGCUUAUUUGGUGGAGGGGUCGGUGAUUUGGGUGGAAGGUGUCGCGCUCGCGCGGGCGGUAGGGGCAUGUGGGAUGUGGAAGGAGGAGGAGGAUGGGGGUCGGGUGUGGAUUACCUGCCUGGAUAGGCGAGGCCGAGGAGCGUGAAGGAGGGUCACCGGCGAGGAGGCGACGACGCUUCAAGCAAGGAGUGAAGGUUUCAACUUGAAAAGGAAGGCGGAAAGAGGGGAAAUGUGGAUUUUGGUAAGGGAGAGUGGGCGGGGAGGUAGAUAUUUCCGCGGAAGCCGAAAAUUGGGAAUCACUUCAGCCAAAAAACUGGCGCGCAAAGUGUCAUCAGACACGAUCCCUUAUUCAGACACGGUCCGAAGAUAUUUUGUGCUGCAUCUCACACGGUUGGUUAUAGUAAACUGAGUGCGAUCUACUUGAUUUAUCGUCUUGAUCAUAUGAAUUACGUAAUGGGUCACAGCUACAAAGAUGCUGUUUGAAUUGUUAGAACUUUUAUCUGCAGUGAACAUGCAACUACAGGUGUGUUGUCAAAAAAAUGGGAAUUAUCUAGGGUUCGUUUGUACAUUUUUAUACAUUACCUGCGUUUUCCAGGCAUUUUAUGCGCAUAAUUCAAAUUUGAACUACAUGCACAUGCUCCAGUGCAUAUAAACUUACUGAAAAAUCAAAUAUGUGUCCUUGGUUGCAUGCUUAGGUCCCAUGCAAGAAAUAGGAAUGAAUUUCAAACACCCUACCACCGUCACUCGACGCAAACAUUGAGAUACCUGGUUUUUAAAUUCUAGUAAAUCCAAAACUCGUCUGAAAUUCAUGAAACUUGGCAUGCUAUCAUGUAGCGGCAUCAACAUGCCGUGGUAAAUUUUUUGUCCCAUUUGGGGCAGGUUUGGGUAUAAGCUUCUCACAAGCCAGAGCUUCUCACAACAAGCGUGAUGGUUUCGGUAGGGAAGGUGCCACCUUUGGGACAAAACGAUAUCCGUUGCCUCUUAUUGCUUUCGAAAUUUUUUGAGUGUCAACAUAGAACAACAAGAGUGUUGUGUUCAAUUUUGGAAUUUUUCGGGGUUCGUUUAGACAUUUUUAUGCAUUAACUGAGUUUUCAAUGCAUUUACGUGCAUAAUUCAAAUUUGAACUACAUGCACAUGCUCCAGUGCAUAUAAAUUGGUUGAAAAAUCAAAUCUGUGUCCUUGGGUGCAUGCUUAGGUCCCAUGCAAGAAAUAGGAAUGAAUUUCAAACACCAGGGCACCGUUGAUUGCCGGCAAAACAUUGAGAUGCCUGGUUUUUAAAUUCUAGUAAAUCCAAAACUCGUCUGAAAUUCAUGAAACUUGGCAUGCUAUCAUGGAGCGGCAUCAACAUGUCGUGGUACAAAUUUUGUCCCAUUUGGUGCAGGUUUGGGUAUAAGCUUCUCACAAACCGGAGCUUCUCACAACAAGCGUGAUGGUUUUCGGUAGGGAACGUCCCACCUUUGGGGACGAAACGAUAUCCAUUGCCUCUUAUUGCUUUCAAUUUUUUUCUCGUGUCAAUAUAGAACAACAGGAAUGUUGUGUGAAUUUUUGUGAUUUUUCGGGGUUCGUUUGGAUAUUUUUAUGCAUUAACUGAGUUUUCAAUGCAUUUAUGUGCAUAAUUCAAAUUUGAACUACAUGCACAUGCUCCAUUGCAUAUAAAUUGGUUGAAAAAUCAAAUCUGUGUCCAUGGGUGCAUGCUUAGGUCCCAUGCAAUAAAUGGGAAUGAAUUUUAAACACCAGGGCGCCGUUGAUUGCCGGCAAAACAUUGAGAUGCCUGGUUUGUAAAUUCUAGUAAUUCCAAAACUCGUCUAAAAUUCAUGAAACUUGGCAUGCUAUCAUGGAGCGUCAUCAACAUGCCGCGGUACAAAUUUUGUCCCAUUUGGGGCAGGUUUGGGUAUAAGCUUCUCACAAAUCGGAGCUUCUCACAACAAGCCUGAUGCUUUUCGGUAGGGAACGUCCCACCUCUGGGAACGAAAGGAUAUCCAUUUCCUCUGAUUGCUUUCAAAUUUUUUUCUCGUGUCAACAUAGAACAACAGGAGGGUUGUGUGAAUUUUUGUGAUUUUUGGGGUUCGUUUGGGCAUUUUUAUGCAUUAAGUGAGUUUUCAAUUCAUUUAUGUGCAUAAUUCAAAUUUGAACUACAUGCACAUGCUGCAGUGCAUAUAAAUUGAUUGAAAAAUAAAAUCCGUGUCCUUGGGUGCAUGCUUAGGUCCCAUGCAAGAAAUGGAAAUGAAUUUCAAACAAUAGGGCACCGUUGAUUGCCGGCAAAACAUUGAGAUGCCUGGUUUUAAAUUCUAGUAAAUGCAAACCUCGUCUGAAAUUCAUGAAACUUGGCAUGCUAUCAUGGAGCGGCAUCAACAUGCCAUGGUAAAAUUUUUGUCUCAUUUGGGGCAGGUUUCGGUAUAUGCUUCUCACAAACCGGAGCUUCUCACAACAAGCAUGAUGGUUUUCGGUAGGGAACGUCCCACCUGUGGGGACGAAAAUAUAUCAAUUGCCUCUUAUUGCUUUCAAUUUUUUUUCUCGUGUCAACAUAGAACAACAGGAGUGUUGUAUGAAUUUUUGUGAUUUUUCGGGGUUCGUUUGGACAUUUUUAUGAAUUAACUGAGUUUUCAAAGCAUUUAUGUGCAUAAUUCAAAUUUGAACUACAUGCACAUGCUCAAGUGCAUAUAAAUUGGUUGAAAAAUCAAAUAUGUGUCCUUGGGUGCAUGCUUAGGUCCCAUGCAAGAAAUAGGAAUGAAUUUCAAAUACCAGGGCACCGUUGAUUGCCGGCAAAACAUUGAGAUGUCUGGUUUUUAAAUUCUAGUAAAUCCAAAACUCGUCUGAAAUUCAUGAAACUUGGCAUGCUAUCAUGGAGCGACAUCAACAUGCCAUGGUACAAAUUUUGUCCCAUUUGGGGCAGGUUUGGGUGUAAGCUUCUCACAAACCGGAGCUUCUCACAACAAGCGUGAUGGUUUUCGGUAGGGAACGUCCCACCUUUGGGGACGAAACGAUAAUCAUUGCCUCUUAUUGCUUUCAAAUUUUUUCUCGUGUCAAUAUAGAACAACAGGAGUGUUGUGUGAAUUUUUGUGAUUUUUCGGGGUUCGUUUGGACAUUUUUAUGCAUUAACUGAGUUUUCUAUGCAUUUAUGUGCAUAAUUCAAAUUGAACUACAUGCACAUGCUCCAGUGCAUAUAAAUUGGUUGAAAAAUCAAAUCUGUGUCCUUGGGUGCAUGCUUAGGUCCCAUGCAAGAAAUAGGAUGAAUUUCAAACACCAGGGCACCGUUGAUUGCCGGCAAAACAUUGAGAUGCCUGGUUUUUAAAUUCUAGUAAAUCCAAAACUCGUCUGAAAUUCAUGAAUCUUGGCAUGCUAUCAUGGAGCGGCAUCAACAUGUCGUGGUACAAAUUUUGUCCCAUUUGGUGCAGGUUUGGGUAUAUGUUUCUCACAAACCGGAGCUUCUCACAACAAGCGUGAUGGUUUUCGGUAGGGAACGUCCCACCUUUGGGGACGAAACGAUAUCCAUUGCCUCUUAUUGCUUUCAAAUUUUUUCUCAUGUCAAUAUAGAACAACAGGAGUGUUGUGUGAAUUUUUGUGAUUUUUCGGGGUUCGUUUGGACAUUUUUAUGCAUUAUUUGAGUUUUCAAUGCAUUUAUGUGCAUAAUUCAAAUUUGAACUACAUGCACAUGCUCCAGUGCAUAUAAAUUGGUUGAAAAAUUAAAUCUGUGUCCUUGGGUGCAUGCUUAGGUCCCAUGCAAGAAAUGGGAAUGAAUUUCAAACACUAGGGCACCGUUGAUUGCCGGCAAAACAUUGAGAUGCCUGGUUUGUAAAUUCUAGUAAUUCCAAAACUCGUCUGAAAUUCAUGAAACUUGGCAUGCUACCAUGGAGCGGCAUCAACAUGCCGUGGUACAUAUUUUGUCCCAUUUGGGGCAAGUUUGGGUAUAAGCUUCUCACAAACCGGAGCUUCUCACAACAAGCAUGAUGGUUUUCGGUAGGGAACGUCCCACCUUUGGGGACGAAACGAUAUCCAUUUCCUCUGAUUGCUUUCAAAUUUUUUCUUGUGUCAACAUAGAACAAAAAGAGUGUUGUGUGAAUUUUCGUGAUUUUUCGGGGUUUGUUUGGACAUUUUUAUGCAUUAACCAAGUUUUCAAUGCAUUUAUGUGCAUAAUUCAAAUUUGAACUACAUGCACAUGCUCCAGUGCAUAUAAAUUGGUUGAAAAAUAAAAUAUGUGUCCUUGGGUGCAUGCUUAGGUCCCAUGCAAGAAAUGGGAAUGAAUUUCAAACAAUAGGGCACGGUUGAUUGCCGGCAAACUAUUGAGAUGCCUGGUUUUUAAAUUCUAGUAAAUCCAAAACUCGUCUGAAAUUCAUGAAACUUGGCAUGCUAUCAUGGAGCGGCAUCAACAUGACGUGGUACAAAUUUUGUCCCAUUUGGGACAGGUUUGGGUAUAUGUUUCUCACAAACCGGAGCUUCUCACAACAAGCAUGAUGGUUUUUAGGAGGGAACGUCCCACCUUUGGGGACGAAAAUAUAUCCAUUGCCUCUUAUUGCUUUGAAUUUUAUUUCUCAUGUCAACAUAGAACAACAGGAGUGUUGUGUGAAUUUUUGUGAUUUUUCGGGGUUCGUUUGGACAUUUUUAUGCAUUAACUGAGUUUUCAAUGCAUUUAUGUGCAUAAUUCAAAUUUCAACUACAUGCAGAAUGCUCAAGUGCAUAUAAAUUGGUCGAAAAAUCAAAUCUGUGUCCUUGGGUGCAUGCUUAGGUCCGAUGUAAGAAAUAUGAAUGAACUUCAAACACCAGGGCACCGUUGAUUGCUAGCAAAACAUUGAGAUGCCUGGUUUUUAAAUUGUAGUAAAUCCAAAACUCGUCUGGAAUUCAUGAAACUUGGCAUGCUAUCAUGGAGCGGCAUUAACAUGCCGUGGUACAAAUUUUGUCCCAUUUGGGGCAGGUUUGGGUAUGAGCUUCUCACAAAGCGGAGCUUCUCACGACAAGCGUGAUGGUUUUCGGUAGGGAACGUCCCACCUUUGGGGACGAAACGAUAUCCAUUGCCUCUUAUUGCUUUCAAUUUUUUUUUCUCAUGUCAACAUAGAACAACAGGAGUGUUGUGUGAAUUUUUGUGAUUUUUCGGGGUUCGUUUGGACAUUUUUUUGCAUUAACUGAGUUUUCAAUGCAUUUAUGUGCAUAAUACAAAUUUGAACAAAUGCACAUGCUCCAGUGCAUAUAAAUUGGUUGAAAAAUCAAAUCUGUGUCCAUGGGUGCAUGCUUAGGUCCCAUGCAAUAAAUGGGAAUGAAUUUUAAACACCAGGGCGCCGUUGAUUGCCGGCAAAACAUUGAGAUGCCUGGUUUGUAAAUUCUAGUAAUUCCAAAACUCGUCUGAAAUUCAUGAAACUUGGCAUGCUAUCAUGGAGCGGCAUCAACAUGCCGUGGUACAAAUUUUGUCCCAUUUGGGGCAGGUUUGGGUGUAAGCUUCUCACAAACCGGAGCUUCUCACAAGAAGCGUGAUGGUUUUCGGUAAGGAACUUCCCACCUUUGGGGACAAAACGAUAUCCAUUGCCUCUUAUUGCUUACCAAUUUUUUUCUCGUGUAAAUAUAGAACAACAGGAAUGUUGUGUGAAUUUUUGUGAUUUUUCGGGGUUCGUUUGGACAUUUUUAUGCAUUAACUGAGUUUUCAAUGCAUUUAUGUGCAUAAUUCAAAUUUGAACUGCAUGCACAUUCUCAAGUGCAUAUAAAUUGGUUGAAAAAUCAAAUCUGUGUCCUUCGGUAGAAGCUUAGGUCCUAUGCAAGAAAUGGGAAUGAAUUUCAAACACCAGGGCACCGUUGAUUGCCGGCAAAACAUUGAGAUGCCUGGUUUGUAAAUUCUAGUAAUUGCAAAACUCGUCUGAAAUUCAUGAAACUUGGCAUGCUAUCAUGGAGUGGCAUCAACAUGCCGUGGUACAAAUUUUGUCCCAUUUGGGGCAGGUUUGGGUAUAAGCUUCUCACAAACCGGAGCUUCUCACAACAAGCGUGAUGGUUUUCGGUAGGGAACGUCCCACCUUUGGGGACGAAACGAUAUCCAUUUUCUCCGAUUGUUUUCAAAAAAAAUUCUCGUGUCAACAUAGAACAACAAGAGUGUUGUGUGAAUUUUCGGGAUUUUUUGGGGUUCGUUUGGACAGUUUUAUGCAUUAACUGAGUUUCCUAUGCAUUUAUGUGCAUAAUUCAAAUUGAACCACAUGCACAUGCUCCAGUGCAUAUAAAUUGGUUGAAAAAUCAAAUCCGUAUCCUUGGGUGCAUGCUUAGGUCCCAUGCAAGAAAUGGGAAAGAAUUUCAAACACCAGGGCACCGUUGAUUGCCGGCAAAACAUUGAGAUGCCUGGUUUGUAAAUUCAAGUAAUUCCAAAACUCAUCUGAAAUUCUUGAAACUUGGCAUGCUAUCAUUGAGCGGCAUCAAAAUGCCGUGGUACAAAUUUUGUCCCAUUUGGGGCAGGUUUGGGUAUAAGCUUCUCACAAAACGGAGCCUCUCACAACAAGCGUGAUGGUUUUCGGUAGGGAACGUCCCGCCUUUGGGGACGAAACGAUAUCCAUUUCCUCUGAUUGUUUUCAAAAAAAAUUCUCGUGUCAACAUAGAACAACAUGAGUGUUGUGUGAAUUUUCGUGAUUUUUCGGGGUUCAUUUGGACAGCUUUAUGCAUUAACUGAGUUUUCUAUGCAUUUAUGUGCAUAAUUCAAAUUGAACUACAUGCACAUGCUCCAGUGCAUAUAAAUUGGUUGAAAAAUAAAAUCUGUGUCCUUGGGUGCAUGCCUACGUCCCAUGCAAGAAAUGAGAAUGAAUUUCAAACACUAGGGCACCGUUGAUUGCCGGCAAAACAUUGAGAUGCCUGGUUUUUAAAUUCUAGUAAAUCCAAAACUCGUCUGAAAUUCAUGAAACUUGGAAUGCUAUCAUGGAGCGGCAUCAACAUGCCGUGGUACAAAUUUUGUCCCAUUUGGGACAGGUUUGGGUAUAUGCUUCUCACAAACCGGAGCUUCUCACAACAAACAUGAUGGUUUUCGGUAGGGAACGUCCCACCUUUGGGGACGAAAUGAUAUCCAUUGCUUCUUAUUGCUUUCAUGUUUUCUCGUGUCAACAUAGAACAACAGGAGUGUUGUGUGAAUUUUUGUGAUUUUUCGGGGUUCGUUUGGACAUUUUUUUGCAUUAACUGAGUUUUCAAUGCAUUUAUGUGCAUAAUACAAAUUUGAACAAAUGCACAUGCUCCAGUGCAUAUAAAUUGGUUGAAAAAUCAAAUCUGUGUCCUUGGGUGCAUGCUUAGGUCCCAUGCAAGAAAUAGGAAUGAAUUUCAAACACCAAGGCACCGUUGAUUGUCGGCAAAACAUUGAGAUGCCUGGUUUUUAAAUUCGAGUAAAUCCAAAACUCGUCUGAAAUUCAUGAAACUUGGCAUGCUAUCAUGGAGCGGCAUCAACAUGCCGUGGUACAAAUUUUGUCCCAUUUGGGGCAGGUUUGGGUAUAAGCUUCUCACAAAAUGGAGCUUCUCACAAGAAGCGUGAUGGUUUUCGGUAAGGAACUUCCCACCUUUGGGGACAAAACGAUAUCCAUUGCCUCUUAUUGCUUACAAAUUUUUUUCUCGUGUAAAUAUAGAACAACAGGAAUGUUGUGUGAAUUUUUGUGAUUUUUCGGGGUUCGUUUGGACAUUUUUAUGCAUUAACUGAGUUUUCAAUGCAUUUAUGUGCAUAAUUCAAAUUUGAACUGCAUGCACAUUCUCAAGUGCAUAUAAAUUGGUUGAAAAAUCAAAUCUGUGUCCUUCGGUGCAUGCUUAGGUCCUAUGCAAGAAAUGGGAAUGAAUUUCAAACACCAGGGCACCGUUGAUUGCCGGCAAAACAUUGAGAUGCCUGGUUUGUAAAUUCUAGUAAUUGCAAAACUCGUCUGAAAUUCAUGAAACUUGGCAUGCUAUCAUGGAGUGGCAUCAACAUGCCGUGGUACAAAUUUUGUCCCAUUUGGGGCAGGUUUGGGUAUAAGCUUCUCACAAACCGGAGCUUCUCACAAACCGGAGCUUCUCACAACAAGCGUGAUGGUUUUCGGUAGGGAACGUCCCACCUUUGGGGACGAAACGAUAUCCAUUUCCUCUGAUUGUUUUCAAAAAAAUUCUCGUGUCAACAUAGAACAACAAGAGUGUUGUGUGAAUUUUCGGGAUUUUUUGGGGUUCGUUUGGACAGUUUUAUGCAUUAACUGAGUUUUCUAUGCAUUUAUGUGCAUAAUUCAAAUUGAACUACAUGCACAUGCUCCAGUGCAUAUAAAUUGGUUGAAAAAUCAAAUCCGUAUCCUUGGGUGCAUGCUUAGGUCCCAUGCAAGAAAUGGGAAAGAAUUUCAAACACCAGGGCACCGUUGAUUGCCGGCAAAACAUUGAGAUGCCUGGUUUGUAAAUUCAAGUAAAUCCAAAAUUCCGUUAACCAUUCACGUGACGCCACGUGUCUUGGUUUUAAUGGCUGCAGGAGGUGCCGUGCGGACAGCUGCUUGACCUUGACUGAACGGGAGGCGUGCGAGCUCCGUCCGGUGCGUAGGCUGACCGAGAGGCGUGUAAGCUGUCCUCGAGUGCGCAGGCUCACCGGGAAGCGUGCGAGCUGUACGCUGCGCAGACUCACUGGGAAGCGAGACCUUUGACUUCCAUGGCCGCCCGCCUUGCUCGCAUCCUCUCCAUUAAUGGCUCCCAAGCCGCAGUUUAAUUCGCUUUUUAAAUAUAAAACACUCAUCGCAAACGUUUUAGUUAGAACACUCGUAUGCAAACAUGCAGCUUCCUCAGGAAGCCAAGAGAAAAUGUGCCGAGCAGGAUUUCUGCAGCUCUUGAUUGCAAACGAUUUAGAUAGAACACCCGUAUGCAAAGUGAGAGCAGCGCAGGAUUUGUGCAUCCAUUCAACGCAAACGGUUGUUCUGGAUGACCCGUGUGCAACCACGUACAAACAAUUUGGUAAGAUUUGCAUCUGUAUAUUGGGUAUGUUGCCAUUUGUCAAACCGGAAAGAUUUACAUUUGUUGAUCUAGUAACGUUGCCAUUUGUCUCCUUGUAACACUGCGAUUUGUCAAAAUAUGCAGCUAGAAAUCAUUAGCACUAUGUAAUUUUUGCAACUAAAAUUCAGUAAUUAAGCAUAGAUUUCAUUCAUAGAUUAAGCAGUCGUUCUUAAUUUAUACAAACAGUUCAACUCGACAGCUGAACCGACCAAACUUCUCCCCAAUUGUUGCCAACCACGUACUGAAAUAGCUAGUUCAACUAUAUAUACUAGCUAAUUUUAAGUACGUUGUACAGUUCGACCACACAUCUAUAGUCAGAUGAACUUAACAAAAUAGCCCCUAAAUACUAUUACUACCACGGAGGGGCUUUGUGCUACUUCCGGCAGCCUCUCCUCUGCCGAGCGUGCUCAGUAAGAUUCUAAGGAGGAGGAGGAGCCUACCGACGAGCUGGACAAAUGCAAUACGGUGCCUGCCGCUGCUGCACGUUCAGCGAUGCUCGCCAGCUCGAACGCCCACUGCCGCUCCAGACGAUCCCUCUCGAAGCGGCCGGACUGCUCGUAGAUCUCCUGAUUCCUUGCCUCUGCGUCGGCGUGUGCUGCGGCCACGGCUGCGGUAAGGCUCUUUGCGUGCUCGACGAGCCGCUCCUCCUCCUCCCGCAGGAACUCGAUGUAGCGCGCAAGGUCGCUGAUGCACGUGCGAGCCUCCACCUCUGCCUCCCUCCUUCGGGCGGCGGUGGCGGAGUGGGUGAUGAUCCCGGCGGUCGACGGUGGGCUGGCGGCCACGACCAUCACCUCCCGCCUUCGGGCCGCGGUGGCGGAGCGGGUGAUGGCCACGGUGGCCGGUAGUGGGGUGGCGGCCACGACGGCCACCUCCCGCCUUCGGGCUGCGGCAGCGGAUUGGGAGAUGGCCCUGGCUAUCGACGGUGGUGUGGCGGCAACGGCGGCCGGCAACAGCUGCCGACGGGCAGCGGCGGCGGAGCGUGUGGUGGGUGUUCCGCGCACACCCAACAGGGACGCCACGCGCACUACACUACGCCGGGGACUGCGUCGCCGCCGCGGUGUAGCCUCCCAGCUGGAGCUGUCCUCUGAUGACGACAGAGUGGCUGAGCGACGACGAUGGACCGGUGCCAUUGGCGAUUAUGGGAGAAGCAGACGAGAUAAGCUACAGGGAGCGAGGGGAAAAUGCGACGCAGGACUCGCCGGCCGUCAGGGUUUUUAUAGCAGGCCGGUAAGCAUUGGGAUUUUGGGGGAUUUCACCGAGUCGGGCGGGAAGCUUGCGCGGGAACCUGCGAGGUUGCGUGGGAACGGGCUCACUGAUGAUUCAUUGGCGCCACCGUUUGGCUAAAAGAACGCCCCCGCGCGCUGCGCAAGAUUGCGCUGUAAGCCGUCUGCGGCAGCGGGGUGACAAGACGUGCGAGAGGAGGACGAGAGGACACGUACACAUACAGUUAAUAAAAAAAAAUGUUUGCAAUUUAAUUACCAACUAUACGCCUGUCCUGGUUUAUAAGUAGGAUUUAACUAAUAAAAUACGAAUGCAUGUCGCCAUAGAUUAUAUCGUUGGAGUCGUAUUUGAACAUAGUUUCUAGCUAUACAAUUUUUGUAACAUGCAUUAACACUUUUUUGGUUAAAUUUAAGUUAUACACCAGCACACAUUUGCCCGCAACACACACGGCUUAUAACAUCACAAACAGCUCUGAUGGAUCAACUGUCUGCCAUGUAUCACACACGCAACUCUAAUCUGAUUCGUGCUUGAUGUCUCCGACAUCGCUCACACAGUUCGUCUUAUUUGCCACGUAUCACUGUGCCGUCCUCUGCUCGCGUCCCUCGGCAAGCUCUGCUCGCCGUUAGGCACCACAACGCGCUGUGCUCGCCGUUAGGCACCGCGACACGCUCUGUCGCGUCCGUUGGCACGCUCUGCUCGCGUCCGUCGGCGCGCUCGGCUUGUGGAUAGCUUUUCCUUGAGGCGGCCACGGAGCACUCUGCUCGCGUCCCUCCGCUCUUGCUCUGCCAGUGGUGGGGCGUGCACACGAUCACGUCAGGGGCCCCAUAUGCAUGCGGUUGCGCCGCGCGCAUUGCCACGCGAUGCAGUUACCUGCGGCACAAUGGAGUUACGCGCUGCAAAUUAGAACUGCCAUCAGGGCCUGCCGAUAUUCCUGGCCGUCCGGCUUCCCCUUUAAUUCCCGCGGCCAUUAUAACCUUAGUCUCUUCAACCUUUCGAUCGCGCCCCACAACACAACAAGCACACCCACGACGACACAUAGAGAGGGGAUGGCCGGCGGCGCUCCAAUGGAGUUCGGCGAGCAUAGAGUGGAGACCCACGCGAGGGAGACAGAUCUCUCGGUGGUGUACACCAUCGACCCGGCCGUGGUGGACGACUACAUCAACAGCGUUGAGCAGUUGCUUGCUGGAGACAAGUACAAGGUGGUCGGCAUCGACCUUCGGUACACCGCCGGUCGUCUCGGCAUAGACCAGAAGGUUGCUGUCGCCCAGUUGUGCGUGCGCCAUCAUGUCCUCAUCUACCACUACUUCAUGGCCACAGAGCCUUGCGACCGUUUCAACAGGUUUGUCAACAGCACUGACUACAAGUUCGCCACGGUGGAUACCACCAACGAUUUUAAAAGCGCUCAGUGUUACGGGCUUGGCCUGCAAGAACCUUGUCAAAAUCCGUGACCACUACACGGUCUGGGGCAGCACGAAGAAGGACUCCCUGGUCGAACUCGCCUCGGCCAUCAUCGACCCCUACUACAAAAAGAUGAAGCAAGAUGCCCAGAGAACAAGUCCCGUAUCCUAGCAUGGGGCCUGGAUGCGGCAACUGGAUGAACUUCACCUCAGGUCUGAGGCCAAGAGCAUGUACACAUGCUACGAGAUGCACAGGCGGAUCGUUGACAUGAGGAAGUGCCUCGUUACCCAAAUCGACGAGCCCGGAUCGAGCCACAAGCAGAGCAAGCGUCACAAGAAGUAGAUGACGAUCAGAUGAUCGUUUAUGCUAGUUAAUCAUGCAUGUAAUAUAUAGUUUACUUUAUUGGUGUGUGGAAAUGUCAUGUGUGUAGUAGCCACCUAUGUAGUUAUGCAUGUAAUAGUUUACUUUGGUGUGUGCAAAUGCCAUGGUUGUAGUAGCCACCUAUGUAAGUGGAUGUUUAAUUUGGUUAUGCAAGCAUGUCCUUGUAACUGUGUAUAUAUAUAUGUUGUUGUUCUGUAUGCAAUCCCAUCGCACAACACACACGUCUUAUUAGCAGCAACCGUCUGUGUUAUCAUCGGUCUUCACACACAUUUCUGAUUACAGACCUGUUUGCCGCGUAUCACACACAUCUUGUUAAGUUGAACCGUUUCUGUUCUCAUGUCUGAACGCAAACAGUUCAUCCGAGUGAACCGCAUGCCAUAUAUCGCACACACCUUGAUCUGGCUGACCGUUUCUUUUGUGUUUCCUAAUCACAACCAGUUCAUCCGAGUGAACCGUAUGCUGUGUAUCGCACACGCCUUCAUCUGGAUGCCGUUUCUUUUGUUCCUCCUCAUCGCAAACAGUUAAUUGAACUGAACCGUAUGCCCUUCAUCGCACGCGCAACUAAAACCUGAACCGUGUUUGAUGCAUCCAUAAUCGCAAACGUUUUAUACAUUUCUGACGGUUUUCAUACAACACCGUUUGCGAUUAUUGCAUCGCACACAGUUUCUCGAAGGGUCUCUGAUCGUAGUGUCGCGUUAACAGCAUCCUGCAGUAGUGCUAGAUAUUUAAAUGAGCAUACAUAAAGCUUGCAAAUAGAAAGGAGUACAAAAGGGUACAACACAAAACGACUAAUUUUGCACUUGUCACGGGUGCUCAUAUUUUUUUGCCCAAAGAUGCAUACGGGUGCUCAUAUUUUGUGCUGACUUAGUAUAAUCAGCAUCUCAGAGGUGAUAACUGUUGGGGAUCGUUGCAGAAUUUUAAAAUUUUCUACGCAUCACCAAGAUCCAUCUAUGGAGUUUACUAGCAACGAGGGGAAAGGAGUGCAUCUACAUACCCUUGUAGAUCGCGAGCGGAAGCGUUCAAGUGAACGGGGUUGAUGGAGUCGUACUCGUCGUGAUCCAAAUCACCGAUGACCGAGCGCCGAACGCACGGCACCUCCGCGUUCAACACACGUACGGAGAAGCGACAUCUCCUCCUGCUUGAUCCAGCAAGGGGGAAGGAGAGGUUGAUGGAGAUCCAGCAGCACGACGGCGUGGUGGUGGAAGUAGCGGGGAUCCCGGCAGGGCUUCGCCAAGCGCAAGCAGGAGGGAGAGGUGUCACGGGGGAAGAGGGAGGCGCCAGGGACUAGGGUACCGCAGCCCUNNNNNNNNNNNNNNNNNNNNNNNNNNNNNNNNNNNNNNNNNNNNNNNNNNNNNNNNNNNNNNNNNNNNNNNNNNNNNNNNNNNNNNNNNNNNNNNNNNNNNNNNNNNNNNNNNNNNNNNNNNNNNNNNNNNNNNNNNNNNNNNNNNNNNNNNNNNNNNNNNNNNNNNNNNNNNNNNNNNNNNNNNNNNNNNNNNNNNNNNNNNNNNNNNNNNNNNNNNNNNNNNNNNNNNACCCCCAGGGUUUCCAACCCUAGGCGCAGGGGGAGGCCCAUGGGGGCGCACCAGCCCACUUGGGGCUGGUUCCUCUCCCACUUCAGCCCAUGGGGCCUUCCGGGAUAGGUGGCCCCACCCGGUGGACCCCCGGGACCCUUCCGGUGGUCCCGGUACAAUACCGAUAACCCCCGAAACUUUCCCGGUGGCCGAAACUCGACUUCCUAUAUAUAAUUCUUCACCUCCGGACCAUUCCGGAACUCCUCAUGACGUCCGGGAUAUCAUCUGGGACUCCGAACAACUUUCGGGUUUCCGCAUACUAAUAUCUCUACAACCUAGCGUCACCUAACCUUAAGUGUGUAGACCCUACGGGUUCGGCAGACAUGCAGACAUGACCGAGACGCCUCUCCGGUCAAUAACCAACAGCGAGAUCUGGAUACCCAUGUUGGCUCCCACAUGUUCCACGAUGAUCUCAUUGGAUGAACCACGAUGUCGAGGAUUCAAUCAAUCCCGUAUACAAUUCCCUUUGUCAAUCGGUACGUUACUUGCCCGAGAUUCGAUCGUCGGUAUCCCAAUACCUUGUUCAAUCUCGUUACCGGUAAGUCACUUUACUCGUACCGCAAUGCAUGAUCCCGUGGCUAACUCCUUAGUCACAUUGAGAUCAUUAUGAUGAUGCAUUACCAAGUGGGCCCAGAGAUACCUCUCCGUCAUACGGAGUGACAAAUCCCAGUCUCGAUCCGUGCCAACCCAACAGACACUUUCGUAGAUACCCGUAGUGUACCUUUAUAGUCACCCAGUUACGUUGUGACAUUUGGUACACCCAAAGCACUCCUACGGUAUCCGGGAGUUGCACGAUCUCAUGGUCUAAGGAAAUGAUACUUGACAUUGGAAAAGCUCUAGCAAACGAACUACACGAUCUUUUGUGCUAUGCUUAGGAUUGGGUCUUGUCCAUCACAUCAUUCUCCUAAUGAUGUGAUCCCGUUAUCAAUGACAUCCAAUGUCCAUAGUCAGGAAACCAUGACUAUCUGUUGAUCAACGAGCUAGUCAACUAGAGGCUUACUAGGGACACGUUGUGGUCUAUGUAUUCACACAUGUAUUACGAUUUCCGGAUAACACAAUUAUAGCAUGAACAAUAGACAAUUAUCAUGAACAAGGAAAUAUAAUAAUAACCAUUUAUUAUUGCCUCUAGGGCAUAUUUCCAACAGUCUCCCACUUGCACUAGAGUCAAUAAUCUAGUUACAUUGUGAUGAAUCGAACACCCAUACAGUUUUGGUGUUGAUCAUGUUUUGCUCUAGGGAGAGGUUUAGUCAACGGAUCUGCUACAUUCAGUUCCGUAUGUGCUUUACAAAUAUCCAUGUCUCCAUUUUGAACACUUUCACGAAUGGAAUUGAAGCAACGCUUGAUAUGCCUGGUCUUCCUGUGAAACCUAGGCUCCUUGGCAAGGGCAAUAGCUCCAGUGUUGUCACAGAAGAGAGUCAUCGGGCCCGACGCAUUGGGAAUCACCCCUAGGUCGGUAAUGAACUCCUUCAUCCAGAUUGCUUCUUGCGCUGCCUCUGAGGCUGCCAUGUACUCCGCUUCACAUGUAGAUCCCGCCACGACGCUUUGCUUGCAACUGCACCAACUUACUGCCCCUCCAUUCAAAAUAUACACGUAUCCGGUUUGUGAGUUCGAGUCAUCCAGAUCUGCGUUGAAGCUAGCGUCGACGUAACCCUUUACGACGAGCUCUUCGUCACCUCCAUAAACAAGAAAUAUAUCCUUAGUCCUUUUCAGGUACUUCAGGAUAUUCUUGACCGCUGUCCAGUGUUCCAUGCCGGGAUUACUUUGGUACCUUCCUACCAAACUUACGGCAAGGUUUACAUCAGGUCUGGUACACAACAUGGCAUACAUAAUAGACCCUAUGGCCAAGGCAUAGGAGAUGACACUCAUCUUUUCUCUAUCCUAUGCCGUGGUCGGGCAUUGAGCCGUGCUCAAUUGCACACCUUGCAAUACAGGCAAGAACCCCUUCUUGGACUGAUCCAUAUUGAACUUCUUCAAUAUCUUGUCAAGGUACGUACUCUGUGAAAGACCAAUGAGGCGUCUUGAUCUAUCUCUAUAGAUCUUGAUGCCUAAUAUAUAAGCAGCUUCUCCAAGGUCCUUCAUUGAAAAACACUUAUUCAAGUAGGCCUUUAUACUUUCCAAGAAUUCUAUAUCAUUUCCCAUCAAUAGUAUGUCAUCCACAUAUAAUAAGAGAAAUGCUACAGAGCUCCCAUUCACUUUCUUGUAAACACAGACUUCUCCAUAAGUCUGUGUAAACACAAAUGCUUUGAUCAUCUCAUCAAAUCGAAUGUUCCAACUCCGAGAUGCUUGCACCAGCCCAUAGAUGGAGCGCUGGAGCUUGCAUACCUUGUUAGCAUUCUUAGGAUCGACAAAACCUUCCGGCUGCAUCAUAUACAAUUCUUCCUUAAGAAAGCCGUUAAGGAAUGCCGUUUUGACGUCCAUUUGCCAUAUCUCAUAAUCAUAGAAUGCGGCAAUUGCUAACAUAAUUCGGACGGACUUCAGCUUCGCUAUGGGUGAGAAAGUCUCAUCGUAGUCAACCCCUUGAACUUGUCGAUAACCCUUAGCGACAAGUCGAGCCUUAUAGAUGGUCACAUUACCAUCUGCGGCUGUCUUCUUCAUAAAGAUCCAUUUAUUUUCUAUGGCUCGCCGAUCAUCGGGCAAGUCAGUCAAAGUCCAUACUUCGUUUUCAUACAUGGAUCCUAUCUCGGAUUUCAUGGCUUCUAGCCAUUUGUCAGAAUCCGGGCCCGUCAUCGCUUCUUCAUAGUUCGAAGGUUCACCGUUGUCUAACAACAUGAUUUCUAGGACAGGGUUGCCGUACCACUCUGGUGCGGAACGUGUCCUUGUGGACCUACGAAGUUCAGCAGUAACUUGAUCCGAAGCUUCAUGAUCAUCAUCAUUAACUUCCUCCCCAGUUGGUGUAGGCACCACAGGAACAUCUUCCCGCGCUGCGCUACUUUCCGGUUCGGAAGGGGUGACUAUCACCUCAUCAAGUUCCACUUUCCUCCCACUUAAUUCUUUCGAGAGAAACUCUUUCUCCAGAAAGGACCCGUUCUUGGCAACAAAGAUCUUGCCUUCGGAUCUGAGGUAGAAGGUAUACCCAAUGGUUUCCUUAGGGUAUCCUAUGAAGACGCAUUUUUCCGAUUUGGGUUCGAGCUUUUUAGGUUGAAGUUUCUUGACAUAAGCAUCGCAUCCCCAAACUUUUAGAAACGACAACUUAGGUUUCUUCCCAAACCAUAAUUCAUACGGUGUCGUCUCAACGGAUUUCGAUGGAGCCCUAUUUAAAGUGAAUGCGGCAGUCUCUAAAGCAUAGCCCGAAAAUGAGAGCGGUAAAUCGGUAAGAGACAUCAUAGAUCGCACCAUAUCCAAUAGAGUGCGAUUACGACGUUCGGACACACCAUUUCGCUGAGGUGUUCCAGGCGGCGUGAGUUGUGAAACGAUUCCACAUUUCCUUAAGUGUGUGCCAAAUUCGUGACUUAAAUAUUCCCCUCCACGAUCUGAUCGCAGGAACUUUAUUUUCCUGUCACGUUGAUUCUCAACCUCACUCUGAAAUUCCUUGAACUUUUCAAAGGUUUCAGACUUGUGUUUCAUUAGGUAGACAUACCCAUAUCUACUUAAAUCAUCAGUGAGAGUGAGAACAUAACGAUAGCCACCGCGAGCCUCAACACUCAUUGGACCGCACACAUCAGUAUGUAUGAUUUCCAAUAAGUUGGUUGCUCGCUCCACUGUUCCGGAGAACGGAGUCUUGGUCAUCUUACCCAUGAGGCAUGGUUCGCAUGUGUCAAAUGAUUCGUAAUCAAGAGACUCCAAAAGUCCAUCUGCAUGGAGCUUCUUCAUGCUUUUGACACCAAUGUGACCAAGGCGGCAGUGCCACAAGUAUGUGGGACUAUCGUUAUCAACUUUACAUCUUUUGGUAUUCACACUAUGAAUAUGUGUAACAUCACGUUCGAGAUUCAUCAAGAAUAAACCAUUGACCAGCGGGGCAUGACCAUAAAACAUAUCUCUCAUAUAAAUAGAACAACCAUUAUUCUCGGAUUUAAAUGAGUAGCCAUCUCGAAUUAAACGAGAUCCAGAUACAAUGUUCAUGCUCAAAGCUGGCACUAAAUAACAAUUAUUGAGGUUUAAAACUAAUCCCGUAGGUAAAUGUAGAGGCAGCGUGCCGACGGCGAUCACAUCGACCUUGGAACCAUUCCCGACGCGCAUCGUCACCUCGUCCUUCGCCAGUCUCCGCUUAUUCCGCAGCUCCUGUUUUGAGUUACAAAUAUGAGCAACCGCACCGGUAUCAAAUACCCAGGAGCUACUACGAGUACUGGUAAGGUACACAUCAAUUACAUGUAUAUCACAUAUACCUUUGGUGUUGCCGGCCUUCUUGUCCGCUAAGUAUUUGGGGCAGUUCUGCUUCCAGUGACCACUUCCCUUGCAAUAAAAGCACUCAGUCUCAGGCUUGGGUCCAUUCUUUGACUUCUUCCCGGCAACUGGCUUACCGGGCGCGGCAACUCCCUUGCCGUCCUUCUUGAAGUUCUUCUUACCCUUGCCUUUCUUGAACUUAGUGGUUUUAUUCACCAUCAACACUUGAUGUUCCUUUUUGAUCUCCACCUCCGCUGAUUUCAGCAUUGAAUAUACCUCAGGAAUGGUCUUUUCCAUCCCCUGCAUAUUGAAGUUCAUCACAAAGCUCUUGUAGCUUGGUGGAAGCGACUGAAGGAUUCUGUCAAUGACCGCGUCAUCCGGGAGAUUAACUCCCAGCUGAGACAAGCGGUUGUGUAACCCAGACAUUCUGAGUAUGUGCUCACUGACAGAACUAUUUUCCUCCAUUUUACAACUGAAGAACUUGUCGGAGACUUCAUAUCUCUCGACCCGGGCAUGAGCUUGGAAAACCAUUUUCAGCUCUUCGAACAUCUCAUAUGCUCCAUGUUUCUCAAAAUGCUUUUGGAGCCCCGGUUCUAAGCUGUAAAGCAUGCCGCACUGAACGAGGGAGUAAUCAUCAGCACGUGAUUGCCAAGCGUUCAUAACGUCUUGGUUCUCUAGGAUGGGUUCUUCACCUAGCGGUGCUUCUAGGACAUAAUCUUUCUUGGCAGCUAUGAGGAUGAUCCUCAGGUUCCGGACCCAGUCCGUAUAGUUGCUGCCAUCAUCUUUCAGCUUGAUUUUCUUUAGGAACGCGUUGAAGUUGAGGACAACGUGGGCCAUUUGAUCUACAAGACAUAUUGUAAAGAUUUUAGACUAAGUUCAUGAUAAUUAAGUUCAUCUAAUCAAAUUAUUCAAUGAACUCCCACUCAGAUAGACAUCCCUCUAGUCAUCUAAGUGAAACAUGAUCCGAGUUAACUAGGCCGUGUCCGAUCAUCACGUGAGACGGACUAGUCAAGAUUGGUGAACAUCUCCAUGUUGAUCGUAUCUUCUAUACGACUCAUGCUCGACCUUUCGGUCUUCCGUGUUCCGAGGCCAUGUCUGUACAUGCUAGGCUCGUCAAGUCAACCUAAGUGUAUCGCGUGUGUUCCGAGGCCAUGUCUGUACAUGCUAGGCUCGUCAACACCCGUUGUAUGCGAACGUUAGAAUCUAUCACACCCGAUCAUCACGUGAUGCUUCGAAACAACGAACCUUCGAACACUUUCUUGAAAUUAUUAUAAGGGAUCAUCUUACUUACUACCGUCGUUCUAAGAAAAUAAGAUGCAAAACAUGAUAAACAUCACAUGUAAUCAAAUAGUGACAUGAUAUGGCCAAUAUCAUUUUUCUCCUUUGAUCUCCAUCCUCGGGGCGCCAUGAUCAUCUUCUUCACCGGCAUGACACCAUGAUCUCCAUCAUCGUGUCUUCAUGAAGUUGUCACGCCAACGAUUACUUCUACUUCUAUGGCUAACGCGUUUAGCAAUAAAGUAAAGUAAUUUACAUGGCGUUAUUCAAUGACACGCAGGUCAUACAAAAAAAAUAAAGACAACUCCUAUGGAUCCUGCCGGUUGUCAUACUCAUCGACAUGCAAGUCGUGAUUCCUAUUACAAGAAUAUGAUCAAUCUCAUACAUCACAUAUAUCUCAUUCAUCACAUCCUUUUGGCCAUAUCACAUCACAAGGCAAAUGCUGCAAAAACAAGUUAGACGUCCUCUAAUUGUUGUUGCAAGUUUUUACGUGGCUUCUAGCAAGAACGUUUCUUACCUACGUAAAACCACCACGUGAUAUGCCAAUUUCUAUUUACCCUUCAUAAGGACCCUUUUCAUCGAAUCCGUUCCGACUAAAGUGGGAGAGACAGACACCCGCUAGCCACCUUAUGCAACUAGUGCAUGUCAGUCGGUGGAACCUGUCUCACGUAAGCGUACGUGUAAGGUCGUUCCGGGCCGCUUCAUCCCACAAUACCGCCGAAACAAGAUAAGACUAGUAGUGGCAAGAAAAAUUGACAACAUCUAAGCCCACAACUGCUUUGUGUUCUACUCGUGCAUAGUAACUACGCAUAGGCCUGGCUCAUGAUGCCACUGUUGGGGAUCGUUGCAGAAUUUUAAAAUUGUCUACGCAUCACCAAGAUCCAUCUAUGGAGUUUACUAGCAACGAGGGGAAAGGAGUGCAUCUACAUACCCUUGUAGAUCGCGAGCGGAAGCGUUCAAGUGAACGGGGUUGAUGGAGUCGUACUCGUCGUGAUCCAAAUCACCGAUGACCGAGCGCCGAACGGACGGCACCUCCGCGUUCAACACACGUACGGAGCAGCGUCGUCUCGUCCUUCUUGAUCUAGCAAGGGGGAAGGAGAGAUUGAUGGAGAUCCAGCAGCACGACGGUGUGGUGGUGGAAGUAGCGGGGAUCCCGGCAGGGCUUCGCCAAGCGCAAGCGGGAGGGAGAGGUGUCACGGGAGGGAGAGGGAGGCGCCAGGGGCUAGGGUACAGCAGCCCUCCCUCCCCCCUUUAUAUAGGCCCCCUGGGGGGCGCCAGCCCUGGGAUCCCAUCUAUGGGGGGGGGGGCGGCGGCCAAGGGGGGGAACUUCCCCCCCAAGUCAGGUGGGGCGCCCCCACCCCCAGGGUUUCCAACCCUAGGUGCAGGGGGAGGCCCAUGGGGGCGCACCAGCCCACUAGGGGCUGGUUCCCCUCCCACUUCAGCCCAUGGGGCCCUCCGGGAUAGGUGGCCCCACCCGGUGGACCCCCGGGACCCUUCCGGUGGUCCCGGUACAAUACCGAUAACCCCCGAAACUUUCCCGGUGGCCGAAACUGGACUUCCUAUAUAUAAUUCUUCACCUCCGGACCAUUCCGGAACUCCUCGUGACGUCCGGGAUCUCAUCCGGGACUCCGAACAACUUUCGGGUUUCCGCAUACUAAUAUCUCUACAACCCUAGCGUCACCGAACCUUAAGUGUGUAGACCCUACGGGUUCGGGAGACAUGCAGACAUGACCGAGACGCCUCUCCGGUCAAUAACCAACAGCGGGAUCUGGAUACCCAUGUUGGCUCCCACAUGUUCCACGAUGAUCUCAUCGGAUGAACCAUGAUGUCGAGGAUUCAAUCAAUCCCGUAUACAAUUCCCUUUGUCAAUCGGUACGUUACUUGCCCGAGAUUCGAUCGUCGGUAUCCCAAUACCUUGUUCAAUCUCGUUACCGGUAAGUCACUUUACUCGUACCGCAAUGCAUGAUCCCGUGGCUAACUCCUUAGUCACAUUGAGCUCAUUAUGAUGAUGCAUUACCGAGUGGGCCCAGAGAUACCUCUCCGUCAUACGGACUGACAAAUCCCAGUCUCGAUCCGUGCCAACCCAACAGACACUUUCGUAGAUACCCGUAGUGUACCUUUAUAGUCACCCAGUGUCACGACCGGAUUUUUGGGAUAAUAAUUUCCCAGAAAAAAAGGCCUUUGUGCUCACCAGCCCCAGGAUUACUGUUAGCUGAUGAGGCACCAACUUGAUACAAGAAUUCCAAGCAAGGUACAAAAAUAUGUAGUACAAGACCAUUGAGGCCUAGGAGUACAACACUUGGUUUCUAAUGGUUGAGGGCGGAAGCGGUUGGUACAUCUACGUCUAUGGGACUCCAUUUCCCACAAGAACAGCUGACCAGGAUAACUCCUAUCUUCGCAAGGCUGCUAUCGUCAACACGUAGGCUCCGAGGUUGUCAUCGCGAUGCUUAUCUCCAAGCAAGGGAUCUGGCCAAGACAAUAGCCAGGGACAAGCCAGUGAGUACGUUUGAAUGUACUCGCAAACAUUAAGAACACGGGUAUAAUAUAAUACGGGACAAUCAUACUCCGAAAUAAUUAUGAUCACACGUCUGCCGCGAAAGUCUGCGUUGUUCGCAUGCAGAGAUAAUAUGAACAUACAGUACGUGGGUGAGUACUAUGAAAGUACUCGCAAGAUAGCUCGAACAUAAGAUAUAACAAAAGUAAACACGAUGCAUGCAGAGAUAAUAUGAACAUACAGUACGUGGGUGAGUACUAUGAAAGUACUCGCAAGAUAGCUCGAACAUAAGAUAUAACAAAAGUAAACACGAUGCAUGAGAAAAGAUUUAACAAGUGCAAUCAGACAUAGAGGUAAUGAUGCAUGGGAAACAAAAGAGAAGUCGGGCGGUAGUCCUCCCGAAGUCCAAAAAUAAAAUACUGGGUGCCAAACGAGGGUCUAAAUGACUCCUCGAGAGGAAACUGCAGGGAUAAUAAUGCCGCAGUCGGGCGUCGGGGCGACACCACAUAAAGGGCUCAUAAGAGAUAAAUAAACAACAAGCAUGCCGCAGUCGGGCGUCUGAGCGACACCACAUAAAGGGCUUAUAAAAGAAUAAUCACAGUGAGUAACCAGGAGAUAGAACCAUCCCAGGGGUACUCAAUAAAAUACAUAAUGUAAAUGGUUAGUCCACAAUAAUAACAAAAUUUAAGUAUGAUCCUCAGAUGCCACAGGACAUAAACACAAAAUCUAGUUUAGCCGUUUCUCCAUCCGAAGACCGUCACUGAGUUCUAGCUAAUUCGUUCUCCAUCCAAAUACCGUUACUAUGAUCCAGUUAGCCGUGUCUCCAUCCGAAAACCGUUACUAAGUUUAACUCAGACUGUGGUCCUUACUCAAGAUCAUGGCUAUCCAACAGGAUAUAUCCUCUGCAGAGGGGGUACUGUUUUCCCACGAGUAACGGAUUUACUUAGUCCAUCGGGACUAACUCCGCCUACGGCCUUUUAAUUGAAAACACGCCUGACCUGCACACACCAGCUUAACUCACCGAUGUCUGGAAUCACCCACGACACCUGCCAAGCAAAACUCUAAGUGGGGAGGCUACAACCUCGACGUACCAUGGGAUCAAAUUUCUAUAUGCGCGCUCUAAGGGGUGCCCCCCUCUCGGUCCCAACCGGAAACACCCAGGCCCCCGGACCAAGUGGCAUGCCUACCGGAGGCCUCCGGUAUCUUCCACUAUGGCCUCUCUGUACGGUGUGUGCUUUGGUAAGGGGUUGACAACUUACUGAACCAUACCCCGUCUGCGACAGGGACAAGUGGUGGUACCAACAAAUAGGGAAGCUACUGACCAAGACUCGACCUACGACCGACUCAGGUGGUCCAAGUAUCCUCCAACAAUAUUACCAUUAGUGGAAUAAAUCACCACUCAACAAGCCUCUCCAUGCCGUACCGGACAUACUCGUCUCGACGAGGGACUAGGGACAAGCUCGUGUCUACCCAAGACCACGACUUUCCCGGCUUCCUUAAGGUAUGCAUGAGGAGCUUACGAGAAUGAUCCAAAUCACUAGUGUAUCCACUGCUGACCACAAAAAUAUCUCCAAAAAGCACUCAUGCACGAGACUUUAUCGUUACAUAAAGAUAACAUAUAAUCCAAGCCAGAAGGUGUUGUAAUUGUAUCAAAACACCACAACAAAAUAUUAUGCCAGAGUUCAGAAAUGCUUGCCUUCAAGAGUAUGCAAAGAAUACACUUUUUUAAAAGCCUUCCCUUCUCUCCAAAAUUCCUAUUUGAGAAAUAUCCAAAUAACAAAUAUUACCAACACAGUACAAAAAGUUGUCUCAAAUAUUUUUGAAAUAAAUCUUAAAAUAAACUAGGUGGAAUUUGAGAGAGGUAGGAAAAAGAAUCAACUCAUUUGGAGUUUAUUUUAAAAGUUAUAGCUGGUCAAAGUCUGGUCAAACUCUGUUUUUAAAUAAAACCAGAAAAAGGAAAACGCUUCGAGGGGAAUACGCUUUCGGGGUAGGGGAGACGUACUCCGUGGGUACACGCUUUCACUUAAACGGAGGAGAUGGCGCGCGGGUCACGGACAGUGGGUCCAGAGGGCCCACUGGUCAGGUUUGACCGUUCCUCCCCCUCCCUCCUCUUCCCUGCCCGACGGGGGCGGGACUCCGGCGAUCGCCGGCGACGAACGGCGGCUCCUCGAGGGCAUCUGAGGGCAGGGAUGGACUGGCCAGACCGAGGCGGUCCCCUUGGUGGUAGCUGGGUCGUCGGAGGUGGAAGGAAUCGCCGGCGGCGAGCUCCGCGACGGAGGGGGCUACGGUGGUGAAGUGGUUUUUGGGCUCCGGUGGUCUCCGAUCGAGGUUGGGUAGUUGGGCAGCUCCGCAAGGACGAGGGGAAGUUACUGGUGGCGUCGGUUGGGCGAAAGAGUGGCUGGCUGCGACGUAUUGCACCGGAGUUUGGCGGCGGUCGAACUGGUCGGAGUUGGGGAAGAUGGCCACUACGGGUCGAUCCACUGCUUGGGGAGCGCUAGGAGGAAAGUCUGAGGUCGCCUGGGGUCUUGAACGAGCUCGGGGCUCCCUUAAAUAGGUGCUCGAGGCUGGACCACGGCGGCUGGAUAAGAACGACGACGAGUCACCGUUUCUGUAGCUGCAGGGCGCCGUGGCGGCGACGAACGCGUGCCGACGAGCUUCGGGAUAAGAUCGAGCUAUUCACAGGGGCAGCUGGCGCGCUGGUGUGGUUUGGGCGGUGCCGAACAUGGCAGAGGCCGCUGCCGACGCCGGCGUGCCGCCAAGGGCGCUGCCAGCGGUGCUGCAGGGCGCCAGAGAUGGUGUGGAGAGGAGGCGAGCUAGUGCGUGGUUCAGCGAUGGAGCAGGGGCCAGGGACGGGUCGCGUCGAGUGUGGCAGUGCGGCGCGGCGGCUCAGUGCGCGCGCGUGCAAAACGUGCGCUCUGGGCGCGCCCAGAGCAUGCACGGAACCUGCUCGACGAAAUGCCAGGAUGGUCUAGAGCGCGAGGGUGGAGCUGGCAAUUAACAGGAUUAGGAUAGAGACAGCCAGGAGUUCAGUGGACAAGGUUGCUGGGUUAAUGGAGCAAGUUCAUAGUGCAAACAAAGAACUCAUGCCAAAACAGACUGUGCACACCAAGUGUUCGACAGAAUGCCAAAUGCACUUAGGCAACUCUUGGAGUGGCCAAAAUCUCCAGAUCAGGGUCUCUUUAGGUGCAGAAGAUGGUGGCAAGAUCAUAUGGGCAAAACCAGAAAGUUGUUAGUGCAAGUUUUGCAAAACUUCAGUUUUGGACAGAGAGAAAAAGGGUUUAUUGCAUGCACUUCAAAACCUCCAAUGAGUCCACUCUCCUGGACUUAAGGGUUUUGAAGGGAGGGCUACAAGUAGGAAAAAGGGUCAUGGGCACCAAAGCAAAAUAAAAUAGGGUUGCAGUUCAAAUCACCAAACUGGACCAGAAUGAAAAAGAGGUUGAUUCACUCAAUUUUCUCAAAGAACAUCACUGGGUUUUUGCAUGAAGAUGAAUUGUAUGCAUCCACUAACAUCUCCAAACACUUGGAAGAAUUUUUAAAGAAAUAUUUAAAUGGGUUGUAGUGCAAAAGUGCCUUCUGGACCAGAUUGGAAAAGUUGGUGUAGAGCUCAAAAUCUCCAAUGGCCAAAAGGUAUUUUAGCAUAAAAGUGAUGUGGAAACACCACAUGACAUCCCCAAAUUUUGGUGGAAAUUUUAAUUGCAUUUGUCAAAUGGUUGUAGUGCAAAACAGGCUCCAAAUGCAAAAGAAAUCAUUUUAAGAGAAUAAAGCUCUGAGAAAACAAAUCUUGCAAUUUAAAUCCACUGAUAAAUAAUUGUUUUAUUAAAGAGAGUAUUCAAGUCCAACAAUACUCUUUGAAGGUUUUUCCACUAGAGGCAAAAAUCCAAAAUCACAAAGGGUAAAUCUUGACAAAAUGGAAAAGUUUUAUUUCCUGGCAACAUUUUAAUAAACAAAACAAGGUCAAAAUUUUGGGUGUCACACCCAGUUACGUUGUGACGUUUGGUACACCCAAAGCACUCCUACGGUAUCCGGGAGUUGCACGAUCUCAUGGUCUAAGGAAAUGAUACUUGACAUUGGAAAAGCUCUAGCAAACGAACUACACGAUCUUUUGUGCUAUGCUUAGGAUUGGGUCUUGUCCAUCACAUCAUUCUCCUAAUGAUGUGAUCCCGUUAUCAAUGACAUCCAAUGUCCAUAGUCAGGAAACCAUGACUAUCUGUUGAUCAACGAGCUAGUCAACUAGAGGCUUACUAGGGACACGUUGUGGUCUAUGUAUUCACACAUGUAUUACGAUUUCCGGAUAACACAAUUAUAGCAUGAACAAUAGACAAUUAUCAUGAACAAGGAAAUAUAAUAAUAACCAUUUAUUAUUGCCUCUAGGGCAUAUUUCCAACAAUAACCAUACACAAAGCUCGGUUAUCACAAAGCUCGCAAAUACUUUCGUUGAUAGAGCAUCUAUUAUUUUAUGAAUACACAGAGCUUGCAAAAAAAUACAAUAAAGGUACAACACAAAACACAAGAAGAAAUAGAACAUUUUCACUAGACGAGCAGUAUUAUUUUGUGAAUAUGCAAAGCUUACAAAUAAAAGAGUAUAAGAAAGGCAACACAAAACGCAAAAAAGGCACAAAUAAGUAUGCUCCAAGGAGAGAGAUAUGGUAUGCUCAGCUCGGUCCAAACAAAGCAAAACAGAAUUAAACCCUUUUAGCCCAGACUCUAGCCAUGGAAGGUAAGGAGCCUCGAGAGUGCCUCGAGAUUGGCAAAUAGGCUGGAGGAUCCAUGAAAGACAAAGAGCAUUGAGACUACCUAGAGAUCAACAAGUAGACUGCACAUCAACAAGUAGGCUACAUAAGUUGCCAUCGAGAUUGCCUACAGAUCAAAGACAAAUGCCAUGAGGAAAGUGUCGGCGAAGUCAUACAUUGCACCCUAGAUGUCCAUGCCUUGAGAGGAAGCCUGAACCAACGUGACAUCCAAUAUCCCUAGAUCCAACGUGCAAACAAGACAACGCCUUCAAAAAAUAGAGUGAUGUGUCGCCAUCCUCUAUGUUCGGACCUAGGGUUCCCCCCUAUGCUUGAAGAGAGGCCCAGAUAAAUGACAUGGCAACACCUCCAAGAAGGGGAUGACAGUCGCGAGUGUCACCGAUGUCAGCAUCGGCAACCGAGUAAGGAUAUAUCUUUGGUAUGAGUCUAAGCAAUCUCAUAUCCAUAAAAAAGAUAGGAAAAAUAUCCAGAGACGAGGAAAUCACGUCGUUGUUCAGAACCGCCACCACAAGAAGGGGAGGUGCGCCUGUUGCCGCAAGGCUGCACUAGUGUUGGAAAUACGCCCUAGAGGCAAUAAUAAAGUGGUUAUUUUUAUAUUUCCUUGUUCAUCAUAAUCGUUUAUUAUCCAUGCUAUAAUUGUAUUGACCGGAAACUCAAAUACAUGUGUGGAUACAUAGAUAACAAAUUGUCCCUAGUAAGCCUCUAAAGGACUAGCUCGUUGAUCAAUGGCUAUGGUUUCCUAGUCAUAGACAUGAUUUGUCAUUUGAUAACGGGAUCAUAUCAUUAGGAGAAUGAUGUGAUGGACAAGACCCAAACUAUGAACGUAGCAUAUGAUCGUGUCAAGUUUAUUGCUAUCGUUUUCUGCAUGUCAAGUAUAUGUUCCAAUGACCAUGAGAUCGAACUCACUGACACCGGAGGAGUACCUUGUGAGUACCAAACGUCGCAACGUAACUGGGUGACUAUAAAGGAGCUCUACAGGUAUCUUCGAGGGUGUCUGUUGAGGUUGCAUGGAUCAAGACUGGGAUUUGUCACUCCGUAUGACGGAGAGGUAUCUCAGGGCCCACUCGGUAAUACAACAUCACAAUAAGCUUGCAAGCAAUGUGACUAAAGAGUUAGCCACGGGAUCUUGUAUUACGGAACGAGUAAAGAGACUUGUCAGUUACGAGAUGAACUAGGUAUGGAGAUACCGAAGAUCGAAUCUCGGGAAAGUAACAUACCAAUAGACAAAGGGAACUGCAUGAAGGAAAUAUGCCCUAGAGGCAAUAAUAAAGUUGUUAUUUUAUAUUUCCUUAUUCAUGAUAAAGGUCUAUUAUUCAUGCUAGAAUUGUAUUGAUCGGAAACCUAAAUACAUGUGUGAAUACAUAGGCAAACACCGUGUCCCUAGUGAGCCUCUACUUGACUAGCUCGUUGAUCAAACAUGGUUAAGGUCUCCUAACCAUGGACAUGAGUUGUCAUUUGAUAACGGGAUCACAUCAUUAGUAGAAUGAUGUGAUGGACAAGACCCAUCCGUUUGUUGGGAAACGUAGCAUGCAAUUUCAAAAAUUUCCUACGCUCACGCAAGAUCUAUCUAGCAGAUGCAUAGAAAUGAGAGGGGAGAGUGUCUCUACGUACCCUCGUAGACCGUUAAGCGGAAGCGUUUAUCACGCGGUUGAUGUAUUCAUACUCUUCACGAUCCGAUCACGGUCCAAACGUUCUAGUGCCGAACGGACGACACAUCCGAGCUUAGCACAUGUGUGGCUCGAUGAUGUCUCCUCCUUCUUGAUCUAGCAAGCGGGAGAGGAGAAGUAGAUGGGAUCACAACCAACACGACGGCAUGGUGGUGAUGGUCGUGGUGGAACACCGACAGCGCUUCGCUAAGCGUCACCGGGACGAGGCGGUGGAACUACGGAGUAACGGGAGAGAGAGGGGCACCAAGGGCUUGGUGUGUUCUCUUGGGGCACCCCCUCCCCUCUAUAUAUAGGUGGAGGGGCGUGGUAAACAUCCCCUCCAAGCCCUAGGGCGCAGCUAAGGGGGAGAGGACUUGGACUCCAAGUCCAAUCCUAUUCCUACUAGGACUCCUUCGUUUUUUGCAUUCCCUAGCCACAUGGGCUUGUGAGGACUUGGCGCGCUUAGCCCAAUAAGGCCAGGGCGCCUCCCCACAGCCCAUGCUAACCCUUGGGUCGUGGUGGAACCACUUGUGGACUUCCGGACCCCUCCAGAACCUUCUAGAAGCUUCCUGAUACAAUACCGAAAAAACUGCAUCUUUUUCCGAAACCCAAAAUAUGACUUCCCAUAUAUAAAUCUUUACCUCUCGGCCAUUCCGAGACUCCUCGUGACGUCCGGGGUCUCAUUCAGGACUCCGAACAGCAUUUGGUUACCACUCAUCAAAUAUCCCAAUACUACUCUAGCGUUAACGAACGUUAAGCGUGCGACCCUGCGGGUUCGGGAAUUAUGUAGUCAUGACCGAGACACUUCUCCGGUCAAUAACCAACUUCGGAACCUGGAUGCUCAUAUUGGCUCCUACAUAUUCUACGAAGAUCUUUAUCGGUCGAACCGUUAUGACAACAUAAGUUAUUCCCUUUGUCUAUCGGUAUGUUACUUGCCCGAGAUUCGAUUGUCGGUAUCUUCAUACCUAGUUCAAUCUCGUUACUGGCAAGUCUCUUUACUCGUUCUAUAAUACAUCAUCCCGCAACUAACUCAUUAGUCACAUUGCUUGCAAGGCUUAUUAUGAUGUGCAGUACCGAGAGGGCCCAGAGAUACCUCUCCGAUACUCGGAGUGACAAAUCCUAAUCUUGAUCUAUGCCAACCCAACAAACACCUUCCGAGAUACCUGUAGAGCAUCUUUAUAAUCACCCAGUUACGUUGUGACGUUUGAUAGCACACAAGGCAUUCCUCCGGUAUCCGGGAGUUGCAUAAUCUCAUAAUCGAAGGAAUAUGUAUUUGACAUGAAGAAAGCAAUAGCAAUAAACUGAACGAUCAUUAAGCUAAGCUAACGGAUGGGUCUUGUCCAUCACAUCAUUCUCCUAAUGAUGUGAUCCCGUUCAUCAAAUGACAACACAUGUCUAUGGUUAGGAAACUUAACCAUCUUUGAUUAACGAGCUAGUCUAGUAGAGGCUUACUAGGGACACAGUGUUUUGUCUAUGUAUCCACACAUGUAUCAAGUUCCGGGUUAAUACAAUUCUAGCAUGAAUAAUAAACAUUUAUCAUGAGAAAAAGAAAUAUAAAAUAACAACUUUAUUAUUGCCGCUAGGGCAUAUUUCCUUCAGUCUCCCACUUGCACUAGAGUCAAUAAUCUAGUUCACAUUGCCAUGUGAUUGAAAACCAAUAGUUCACAUCUUUAUGUGAUUAGCACCCAAAAAGUACUAAGGUGUGAUCAUGUUUUGCUUGUGAGAGAAGUUUAGUCAACAGGUGUGCCACAUUCAGAUCCGUAUGUAUUUUGCAAAUUUCUAUGUCUACAAUGCUCUGCAUGGAGCUACUCUAGCUAAUUGCUCCCACUUUCAACAUGUAUCCAGAUUGAGACUCAGAGUCAUCCGGAUCAGUGUCAAAGCUUGUAUCGACAUAACCCUUUACGACGAACUCUUUGUCACCUCCAUAACCGAGAAACAUUUCCUUAGUCCUCUUUAGUUACCUAAGGAUAAUUUUGAUCGAUGUCCAGUGAUCUACUCCUGGACCACUAUUGUAUCCCCUUGCUAAACUCAUGGUAAGGUACAUAAUAGGUCUGGUAUACAGCAUGGCAUACUUUAUAGAACCUAUGGUUGAGGCAUAGGGAAUGACUUUCAUUCUCUCUCUAUCUUCUUCCGUGGUCGAGUUUUGAGUCUUACUCAACUUAAUACCUUACAACUCAGGCAAGAACUUCUUCUUUGACUGAUCCAUUUUGAACUCCUUCAAAAUCUUACCAAGGUAUGUACUCGUUGAAAGUCUUAUCAAGCGUCUUGAUCUAUCUCUAUAGAUCUUGAUGCCCAAUAUGUAAAUAGCUUCACCGAGGUCUUUAUUUGAAAACUCAUUUCAAACACUCCUUUUUGCUUUCCAUAAAAUUCUACAUCAUUUCCGAUAAACAAUAUGUCAUUCACAUAUACUUAUAAGAAAGGCUGUAGUGCACCCACUCACUUUCUUGUAAAUACAGGCUUCACCGCAAGUCUGUAUAAAACUAUAUGCUUUGAUGAACUUAUCAAAGCGUAUAUUCCAAGUCCGAGAUGCUUGCACCAGUCCAUAGAUGGAUCGCUGGAGUUUGCACACUUUGUUAGCACCUUUAGGAUAGACAAAACAUUUUGGUUGCAUCAUAUACUGUUGGGAAACGCAGUAAUUUCAAAAAAAAAUCAUACAAUCACGCAAGAUCUAUCUAUGUGAUGCAUAGCAACGAGAGGGGAGAGUGUUGUCUACGUACCCUCAUAGACCGAAAGCGGAAGUGUUAUGACAACGCGGUUGAUGUAGUCGUACAUCUUCAUGAUCCGACCGAUCCUAGCACCAAAGGUACGGCACCUCCGCGAUCUGCACAUGUUCAGCUCAGUGACGUCCCACAAACUCUAGAUCCAGCUGAGGUCGAGGGAGAGUUUCGUCAGCACGACGGCGUGAUGACGGUGAUGAUGAAGUUACCAACGUAGGGCUUCACCUAAGCACUACAACGAUAUGACCGAGGUAGAAAUUUGUGGAGGGGGGCACCGCACACGGCUAAGACAACUGUCAACUUGUGUGUUCUAGGGUCCCCCUGCCCCCGUAUAUAAAGGAGCAAGGGGGAGGCCGGCCGGCCCUCAUGGGGCGCUCCCCAAGUAGGAUUCCUACUAGGAAUCCUAUUCCUAGUAGGUUUCCAACAAGGGAAGAGAGGGGGAAGGAAGGAGAGGGAGAGUGGGAGAAGGAAAGGGGGCGCCGCCCCCUUCCCUAGUCAAAUUCAGACCCAAGGGGGAGAGGGCGCGCGGCCUGCCCUAGCCGCCCCUCUCUCUCUCCACUAAGGCCCAUGUGGCCCAUUAGUUCCCCCGGGGGGUUCCGGUAACCCUUCGGCACUUCGGUUUUAUCCGAAACUUCUUCUGAACAUUUCUGGUGUCCGAAUAUAGUCCUCCAAUAUAUCAAUCUUUAUGUCUCGACCAUUUCGAGACUCCUCGUCAUGUCGGUGAUCACAUCCGGGACUCCGAACUACCUUCGGUACAUCAAAACACAUAAACUCAUAAUACCAAUCAUCACCGAACGUUAAGCGUGCGGACCCUACGGGUUCGAGAACUAUGUAGACAUGACCGAGACUCACUUCCGGUCAAUAACCAAUAGCGGAACCUGGAUGCUCAUAUUGGUUCCUACAUAUUCUACGAAGAUCUUUAUCGGUCAAACCGCAUAACAACAUACGUUGUUCCCUUUGUCAUCGGUAUGUUACUUGCUCGAGAUUCGAUCGUCGGUAUCUCAAUACCUAGUUCAAUCUCGUUACCGGCAAGUCUCUUUUCUCGUUCCGUAAUGCAUCAUCCCACAACUAACUCAUUAGUCACAUUGCUUGCAAGGCUUAUAGUGAUGUGCAUUACCGAGAGGGCCCAGAGAUACCUCUCCGUAACAUGGAGUGACAAAUCCUAAUCUCGAUCUAUGCCAACCCAACAAACACCAUCGAAGACACCUAUAGAGCAUCUUUAUAAUCAUCCAGUUACGUUGUGACGUUUGAUAGAACACUAAGUGUUCCUCCGGUAUUCGGGAGUUGCAUAAUCUCAUAGUCAUAGGAACAUGUAUAAGUUAUGAAGAAAGCUAUAACAAUAAACUAAACGAUCAUAGUGCUAAGCUAACGGAUGGGUCAAGUCAAUCACAUCAUUCUCUAAUGAUGUGAUCCCGUUCAUCAAAUGACAACACAUGUCUAUGGUUAGGAAACUUAACCAUCUUUGAUUAAUGAGCUAGUCAAAGUAGAGGCAUACUAGUGACACUCAGUUUGUCUAUGUAUUCACACAUGUACUAAGUUUCUGGUUAAUACAAUUCUAGCAUGAAUAAUAAACAUUUAUCAUGAUAUAAGGAAAUAUAAAUAACAACUUUAUUAUUGCCUCUAGGGCAUAUUUCCUUGAGUCUCCCACUUGCACUAGAGUCAAUAAUCUAGAUUACAUUGUAAUGAUUCUAACACCCAUGGAGUCUUGGUGCUGAUCAUGUUUUGCUCGUGAGAGAGGCUUAGUCAACGGGUCUGCAACAUUUAGAUCCGUAUUUAUCUUGCAAAUCUCUAUGUCCCCUUCCGACACCUGAUGACGGAUGGAAUUGAAGCGUCUCUUGAUGUGCUUGGUUCUCUUGUGAAAUCUGGAUUCCUUCGCGAAGGCAAUUGCUCCAGUAUUGUCACAAAAGAUUUUCAUUGGACCCGAUGCACUAGGUAUGACACCUAGAUCGGAUAUGAACUCCUUCAUCCAGACUCCUUCAUUUGCUGCUUCCGAAGCAGCUAUGUAUUCCGCUUCACACGUAGAUCCUGCCACGACGCUCUGCUUAGAACUGCACCAACUGACAGCUCAACCAUUCAAUAUAAACAUGUAUCCGGUUUGCGACUUAGAGUCAUCUAGAUCAGUGUCAAAGCUUGCAUCGACAUAACCAUUUACGACGAGCUCUUUGUCACUGUCGGUCUCAAAACCGACGGAUCUCGGGCAGGGGGUCCCGAACUGUGCGUCUAGGAUCGAUGGUAACAGGAGAUGGGGGACACGAUGUUUACCUAGGUUCAGGCCCUCUCUAUGGAGGUAAUACCCUACUUCCUGCUUGAUUGAUCUUGAUGAAUACGAGUAUUACAAGAUUUGAUCUACCACGAGAUCGUAAUGGCUAAACCCUAGAAGUCUAGCCUAUAUGAAUAUGGUAAUGAAUAUCCGUCCAUCCGGACUACUGCCUCCGGUUUAUAUAGACACCGGAGGGAUCUAGGGUUUACAUAGAGUCGGUUACAUAGGAGGGAAUCUUCAUAGUUGAUCGCCAAGCUUGCCUUCCACGCCAAGGAGAGUCCAAUCCGGACACGGGUAUAGUCUUCGGCCUUCAUAUCUUCACAACCCAUCAGUCCGGCCCAUAGAUAACAGGCCGGAUGCCCGAGGACCCCUUAGUCCAGGACUCCCUCAGUAGCCCCUGAACCUGGCUUCAAUGACGAGGAGUCCGGCGCGCAGAUUGUAUUCGGCAUUGCAAGGCGGGUUCCCCUUCUUCCGAACUCCAGGAUAGUCUUCGGAUGCGAUGAUUUGUAUCCGGACCCGUAUACACAAUUGUAGAGGAUAUAAUAUUUUGCGAGUCUCUUCUGCUCACCACUGUUUAUGACAUUGCAUUAUGCCUGCCCGGUCAUUACUUCCAUCCGCUGGCUAGCCCCUCGCCCCACGUCUCGGGGCACGGUUUUAUUGGCACGUCUUGUCAAAGCAGGGAUCGUGUCCCUUAUUCACAGAAUUUUCUAUAAUGUAGGCGUGGGUAACCCAACCGUCCCUCGGUACAACUCCUCGAGGAUAAGUAAGUUUCGAUACCCAGGAGGGGACGCUCAAUAUUCUGGGCCUUUAUAUAGGGACCCAGACUUGUCUUUUUCUUUUGCGCUUGCUUCUUCCUCAACCCCAGCCACCUCGAGUUCCAGCCCUCGGGUUCCAAUCACCACCAGGCCCAAUCACGUCCGGGUCUAGACGUUCAGGCCAGUGGGUGGCCUCUUCUGUCACAGGGGAGGACAUUGCGAAGCUCCGCCAGGCGAGGUAUCUGACCCCAGAAAUCCUUCAUCGGCUUCCCGCCGAGGGGUAGGUUAUUCCUACCCCCAAAUCUGGCGAGAGGGUAGUAUUUGUGUCCCACUUCCUCCAUGGGUUAGGGUUCGCGCUUAACGCCUUCGUCUGGGGGCUCAUGUUCUACUAUGGGCUAGAUUUUCACAAUCUGACCCCGGGCUCUAUUCUUCUCAUCUCAACAUUCAUCGUCACGUGUGAGGCCUUCCUCCGGACUCCCCCGCACUUUGGUUUGUGGCUCAAGACUUUUAAUGUGAGGCCGCGGGUGGCAGAGGAGGAACAGGCAGAGUGCGGCAGCGUCGCAAUAGGCAAGCUUGCCGACGCGGUUUGGUUUGAAGGGUCCUUCGCCGAGUCUUCCGAUAUGUGGCAGCAGGGGUGGUUUUAUAUCAAUGAGCCACGGGGCCCCAAGUGGGCGGCUACGCCUGCAUUUCAACGCGGCUCUCUGAUUCAGCUUGCUUCAUGGAUCAAUAAGGGAUUGGAUUGGGGAUCUGUCGAUGAAGUGCGGACUCUGCAAAGUCGCAUCCGGAGCCUCUCCGAGAAGGGCAUUGACCUUGUGAAUGUCGUUCAAGUAAUGCUAGUCCGCCGGACCCUGCCAUGUCAGCGGCGGCCUCUCCGUAUGUGGGAGUUUAAUCCAGAAGGGAGGCGGACUCUUCAGCACUCCUUCGGUGCUACGCACGAAGGAAUGUAGAAAUUAUAUUUCGGGGAGCGAGAGCAAUGGCCAGACACUACCGAAGACGUUGUCCUUGACUGCAAUCAUUCGGACACUUCGGUAAGUAUUCAAUCUUCGAACACCUUCCAUUCAAGCAUCUCUUGAUAAGAUACUGAACAAUCCGUCCCCAUACAGGACUGGAUAAAGAAAGCGGUGUUAAUCUGGUGUCCGGCGCCCCUUCCCGAAGAUUCUGCGACCGCCCUGCUGACGAGGAUGCUGACUCCGACACCGUACCAGGUGUCUGCAGAGGGGGGCGAGAGCAGGGAACUCAAAGGUGAUGCCUGCCCUGAGGAUGGUGUGUUCGGGGAAACUGAAACCCUUUUGCCCAGGGGGAAAGGUGUAGAGGGUGCCUUCCAUGGCAAGAAGAGGGCCGCUUCCGGAGGUCAGGAGGGGAAGCUUUCCAAGAGAGGAAAAACGCCAUCGUUGGGCGGCCCGGGCCGGGCAAGCGAUGUCGCCGCAGAGCUUUAUGAUGAGGGUAAACCUCUGGCCGAACCGUAAGUGAAACUGGGGCACUUUAAACAUACCUCGUCCUUUUCCUGUUUAGUGAAGUAAUCAUCCGCAUAUGUGCAUCCUCGCAGGAUAACGCCUGGUUUUUCUCAAUCGCCCUCCUCCUCGGGGGACCUUCUUCCGGAGAUGAUGGAGAGUGACAUGCCUUCUCCGGCCUCUUCGCCCAACAGGGCAGACGAUCUUGAGGUAUCGUCUCGGAGGGCUCCUCCCGAUCCACCAGUAGUGCCGGAAACGAAGAAGGCGUUUCCCGAAGGUGGGGCAUCUGUCACUCAGAGUUCUGGAAUGAAGAAUGAUGGCCCUGAGCCGUCCGGUUUGCAGCCGGAGGCGAUUCUAGAGGUGAGUAAACGGGUUCUUUCAAAGGAUUGCCGUACUUCGGCGGCGGUUUCCGAAGACCCCUGAGCGCCGGAAAUGCUGACGGACAUGCUGCGAUGAGCGUCCGUUUCAGAGGAGCACCGUGCCUUGAUGGCUACGGUGGUCGAAAAGGUUCUAUCCGCGAAGAGCGGGUUGAACGAGGCCUUUAUGAGCCUUCUCAGAGGUUUUGAGGUUUGUGAUGUAGUUUUGCCAACGGAACUUUAUUGGCAGAAUGCACCUGUUGUAUAUGCAGUAGCCCCUGAGACUCGGAUUGCCUUCCAAAGGAGGCGAUCGGAGGAUCGAAAAGAUAUGCUCAGGUACUAACCUUGAUUUAACAUUGACUGCAGGCUGCCUCCCCUUCAGCGGCUACACGGAAUACGGAAGUGGCCAAACUACAGCGAAAGCUGGUUAUUGCAGGGGAUGACAUUGCCUUGAUCAACAGGCGUCUUGACGACUCGCAAGGUAUAUAUUUCGAGCAUUCCUUACACCAAUGUGCUUACAAUUGAAGCUUGACUCUGAAAAGAGUUUUAUAUGUAAUGUGCAUGAAUGCAGAUGGUGCUACCGCCGUGGAGGCCCUUCGAGCGGAGCUAGCCCGGGCCAAGGAGCAGGCCUGGUUAAGUUAUGCGGCUGCCGAAAAGGCAUCGGCUGAGUUAAAAGCCGAACAAGUUGCACGACACCGAGACAAGGAGAAGAUGUCCACCAUGGCUCACUAAUUAGAGAAUGCGGCUAGCCGCUGUAAACUUCUUGAGAAGGAAAAUGAAGCCAAAACGGCUGAUCUUGACAAGGCCUUACGAGAGGCGAGAGAGGCACGAUCUAAAUCCAGAGCGGCCCAUGAGGAGAUCCGGCAAGCUGGGGAGAUUGCGGCUGGCAAGCCCUUUUUGCUACAGACUAAGUUCGGUGAUCCGAACUAUGCUCAGCUUAACCAAGUAUGGAGUUCUUCGGACAAAUUUUUUGACUUACCGAAGAGUUCUUCCGAUGCGGCGCAGUUUUACUGCGCACAAGAGGGGUAUGCCACGGAGAGGCUCUUCUGGUCGCAAUUUGGCGCGUCAAAGCGCCCUCUGUUGCUGAAUGAACAGAUGUCCCAGUGGGCCGAGCUUCAUAGGAUAUCCGGCGACGCCAUGAAGAACGUCGUAAUCCGGCUGUGGCCAAGUGAGCCUGUUCCGAGUAGUUAUUUUGUCCUGGUGCGGCGGCUUGUUGACGCAGUGCCACAUAUCGAUGCUGUGAAGCGAUGAGCAUGCAUUGAGGGUGCACGGAUGACGGCUGCCCGAGUCAAAACUUUUUGGGGAAAGAUGAAGGCCGUCGAUGUUGUGGCGAGGAGUCCACCCAAGGGCAAGGACCGUUAUGAGCCGGAGCACUAUUUUGAAGACGUCCUGGAAGCCGCCAGCCUGAUAGCGGGUCAAUGCUCGAAGAACAUAAUGUUUGAGUGAGGUGUAUUAGAAUUGUAAGAGACAAUUUUAUAAUUGAUCUAUUUUAUGUUUUUGCUCGAAAGCUUGAAUUCCUCCUGUGCGGCCGUUUUAAUAUGAUCUGAAAGUUUUCCAGUCGUCGGCUUCAGCCCCCUCAUAGGAAGUACGGGGGUGUUCGGAAAAGCAUUGAAUCACUCUUUAUCCAACGUCAUGGUCCAUGAAGGAGGUGAUAAUGCAGCGAACCAGGCAAUCGGACUAUAAGGCGUUAACACUUUCACUUAGCCAUAGGAGUUUUAUCAUGGGGUUACGACAUAGCCCCUGGUAUGUAUACGGUGCAUUGUAAUGUCGUGCCUUACAUAUUUUGAUCUAAAAAGAUCCUUCGUGUGACACGGAGAAUCACUAAAGAUUCGAGUAAGUCGUCAAGUGGUUGACCAGCUCUCGCCGCAUCAUGACAGUCAGUUUUCGGCUUUCUCUACUGAGGUGCUCAUCCGGUCUAGGCCAGGGCACAAUCGCAGUAGUUCUCCCUUUACUACCCUAGCCGAUAGAGCGGAACGUAGGGUAGCAAGCACGGGAGCCGGGCAACCCAACUAUUGACCAAAGACAAUGAUUCGGAGCUGAUGCAUAUAAGGCCAAACUUGCAACGCCGAAGUGCGUUAUAGAGCUGUUCGGACUUUUACUGGCGACACAUUUGUUCCCAUACCGGGCCCUUGGCGAGUUAUGUCGAGGUGCGUCUUGUAAGGCAGCCGUUACGACCGGACUCAUUGUAGAAAUAGCACGGAAGAUUAGUUCGGGUAAAGUUUACUGGGAACGGAGCAAUAUGCCAAUGAUGAAUGUAUAUAAAAAGUAGAAAACCACAACCCGGCUAUUUGACAUGCUCGGGGUUGGGAACGGAGGAAAAAAGGCAUAGUACAGGCUCAAAAUAACGAGUGCGGUCUACAAAAGCUUGUUUUGGACCUCCUGUCUCAUGUCUGCGCCGCCCAUCCUUGGGGAGGGGGAAUCCUUAACGGAAGUGACCCCUUGGGUGAGUGUAUGGAUACGAACUCCGGUGGAGUCCGAUGUAGGUACUGUCCUGAGGUCACCUGUUUUUAAGAGAUAAUAAAUAAAAGUAAGGAAAACAGAUAAAAACGUUACGGGAAUUCUUGCAGGGUUGUCCGUAUUGUGCUUCCGCCGAUGCCCAUGGUAUCUUGAGCGCGUAGUGAUGUAUGCGUGGUGUAAAUCCUGCCAAUAUAGUGGCUGGGCGGCGGAAGCCGGACUGCUAUUUCCGUUCCAGGAGUGGUCGAACUUCGGAGGGAAACUGUUUCUGGCCCCUGGUGUUCAGCUGGAGAGCCGCUCCGCUGUUUUUAUUGCCUGGUGGCCUCCUCCCCUCGUGCUUGGCAUUAAGCUUGCCUGCCUGCUUGAAGACCCAACAGUUUCUGUUGGUGUGAUUAGCUGGCUUAUCAGGAUGGCCGUGAAUUUGACAAGGUCGGUCCAAUAUCCUGUUGAGGGUGGAUGAUCCAUCCUGGUUUGCCUUAAAUGGCUUCUUCCGUUGACCGGGUUUCGGAUUGUUAAAUCCGGCGUUGACCGCUGUGUCGCCUAAUAUUUCAUGACUGUUGCGACUAUUGUGUUCGGUUCGUCGUGGCUUGCCGUUGCCGUCUCGGAUUUCGGAGGUGCCCGGGCCACUGGCGUUGUUGCUUUUAUGAGCGAGCCAGUUAUCUUCUCCCGCGCAAAAGCGGGUCAUUAGGGUGGUGAGGGCUGUCAUGGAUUUGGGUCCUUCCUGACCGAGGUGACGCGCUAGCCAUUCAUCCCGGACGCUAUGUUUGAAGGCCGCGAGGGCUUCUACGUCCGGACAAUCGACAAUUUGGUUCUUUUUAAGUAAGAACCUAGUCCAGAGCUCCCUGGCUAACUCGCCGGGCUCCUGGACAAUAUGACUUAAGUCAUCAGCAUCUGGUGGCCGGACAUAUGUUCCUUGGAAGUUGUCUUGAAAGGCCUCUUCCAGAUCUUCCCAGCUGCCAAUGGAAUUUUCUGGCAGACUGUUUAGCCAGUACCGAGCCGGCCCUUUAAGCUUUAGUGGUAAGUAUUUAAUGGCGUGAAGGUCGUCUCCGCGAGCCAUGUGAAUGUGGAGGAGGUAAUCCUCAAUCCAUACCGCAGGAUCUACUGUUCCAUCGUAUGAUUCGAUGUUAAUGGGUUUAAACCCGUCUGGAAAUUCAUGCUCCAUUACCUCGUCAGUGAAGCAGAGAGGGUGUGCGGCUCCUCUAUGUUGGGCCACACUAUGAAGCACUUCCGGCGGACGCUGUUUAGGGUGUUCGGACCGGGCGUGGUCGGCUCUGCUGUGUCCGAAUAGGUAACCCUCAUUGCCGGUCAGGGCAUGUCCGCGCAAUCUGUGUAUUGAUUUUGUGUGUCCUGUUCUACCUUCCAGGUCUUGUUGGAUGUCGCAACUGUUCCCCCUAGCUGGUUUAUUCUUGCUUUGCCGGCCGGAUGGGUUGGUAUGGUGUUCUGCUUGGGCUGCUGCUUUAUCUGGACCGAACUGUGAUCAUCCUACCGCAUUAUUUGAUGGUUGUAUGGGCUCCAACACCCUGCCAUCGUAUUGAGGGAGCCACUUGUACUUGGGGUGGCUUUUGUCUGGGCCGCGAAGGCUGAAUUCUUCGGCGGUCACGACCUUGGUCCAUCUAUCAUUGAGCAAAUCUUGACUUGCUUGAAGCUGCAGCCGACGUUUAAAGCGCUCCUGCUCAAGAGGUUCCUCGGGCAUGAUAAAAUCCUCGUUGCCAAGGCUCUCCUCAUCCUCGGAGGGUGGGAGAUAAUUACUAUCCUCCGAGUCUUCAUAUUUGGCCUGUCCAUUGAGGCUGUCUUGCCCGCUUUCCUGUUCCUCCUGUUCGGAUUCUACCUCAACAAGGUCUUCGUUGUUCGGAGUGUUGUAUUCUCUGGUGCUAGCAAUGAUUUUCCUUAGGCGGUGUGACUUGGAGCGGCGCCGUGGGCGCCGGUGUUCGGACUGUUUACCAGGAGGUUUGUCCUCGACUGGAUCCUCCUUGUGAUCGUCGAGUGCGUCGUCAGGUGUGUCUAUCAUACACACGUCAUACCAGGAAGUGGCAAUCCUGUGUUUGGCGGGUGGUAAGCUCUGUACCUGCACCUCAUCAUCGUCCAUACCGUCGAUGUCUUCGGAGUGAAGGUCAUGUUGGAAAUAUGCCCUAGAGGCAAUAAUAAAUGGUUAUUAUUAUAUUUCCUUGUUCAUGAUAAUUGUCUAUUGUUCAUGCUAUAAUUGUGUUAUCCGGAAAUCGUAAUACAUGUGUGAAUACAUAGACCACAACGUGUCCCUAGUAAGCCUCUAGUUGACUAGCUCGUUGAUCAACUGAUAGUCAUGGUUUCCUCACUAUGGACAUUGGAUGUCAUUGAUAACGGGAUCACAUCAUUAGGAGAAUGAUGUGAUGGACAAGACCCAAUCCUAAGCAUAGCACAAAAGAUCGUGUAGUUCAUUUGCUAGAGCUUUUCCAAUGUCAAGUAUCAUUUCCUUAGACCAUGAGAUCGUGCAACUCCCGGAUACCGUAGGAGUGCUUUGGGUGUACCAAACGUCACAACGUAACUGGGUGACUAUAAAGGUACACUACGGGUAUUUACGAAAAUGUCUGUUGGGUUGGCACGGAUCGAGACUGGGAUUUGUCACUCCGUAUGACGGAGAGGUAUCUCUGGGCCCACUCGGUAAUGCAUCAUCAUAAUGAGCUCAAUGUGACUAAGGAGUUAGCCACGGGAUGAUGCAUUACGGUACGAGUAAAGUGACUUACCGGUAACGAGAUUGAACAAGGUAUUGGGAUACCGACGAUCGAAUCUCGGGCAAGUAACGUACCGAUUGACAAAGGGAAUUGUAUACGGGAUUGAUUGAAUCCUCGACAUCGUGGUUCAUCCGAUGAGAUCAUCAUGGAACAUGUGGGAGCCAACAUGGGUAUCCAGAUCCCACUGUUGGUUAUUGACCGGAGAGGCGUCUCGGUCAUGUCUGCAUGUCUCCCGAACCCGUAGGGUCUACACACUUAAGGUUCGGUGACGCUAGGGUUGUAGAGAUAUUAGUAUGCGGAAACCCGAAAGUUGUUCGAAGUCCCGGAUGAGAUCCCGGACGUCACGAGGAGUUCCGGAAUGGUCCGGAGGUGAAGAAUUAUAUAUAGGAAGUCCAGUUUCGGCCACCGGGAAAGUUUCGGGGGUUAUCGGUAUUGUACCGGGACCACCGGAAGGGUCCCGGGGGUCCACCGGGUGGGGCCACCUAUCCCGGAGGGCCCCAUGGGCUGAAGUGGGAGGGGAACCAGCCCCUAGUGGGCUGGUGCGCCCCCCAUGGGCCUCCCCCUGCGCCUAGGGUUGGAAACCCUGGGGGUCGGGGGCGCCCCACCUGACUUGGGGGGGAAGUUCCCCCCCUUGGCCGCCGCCCCCCCCAUAGAUGGAUUCCAGGGCCGGCGCCCCCCAGGGGGCCUAUAUAAAGGGGGGAGGGAGGGCUGCUGUACCCUAUCCCCUGGCGCCUCCCUCUCCCUCCCGUGACACCUCUCCCUCCCGCUUGCGCUUGGCGAAGCCCUGCCGGGAUCCCCGCUACUUCCACCACCACGCCGUCGUGCUGCUGGAUCUCCAUCAACCUCUCCUUCCCCCUUGCUGGAAGAAGGAGGAGACGUCGCUGCUCCGUAUGUGUGUUGAACGCGGAGGUGCCGUCUGUUCGGCGCUCGGUCAUCGGUGAUUUGGAUCACGACGAGUACGACUCCAUCAACCCCGUUCACUUGAACGCUUCCGCUCGCGAUCUACAAGUGUAUGUAGAUGCACUCCUUUCCCCUCGUUGCUAGUAAACUCCAUAGAUGGAUCUUGGUGAUGCGUAGAAAAUUUUAAAAUUCUGCAACGAUCCCCAACAGUGGCAUCAUGAGCCAGGCCUAUGCGUAGUUACUAUGCACGAGUAGAACACAAAGCAGUUGUGGGCGUAGAUGUUGUCAAUUUUUCUUGCCACUACUAGUCUUAUCUUGUUUCGGCGGUAUUGUGGGAUGAAGCGGCCCGGACCGACCUUACACGUACGCUUACGUGAGACAGGUUCCACCGACUGACAUGCACUAGUUGCAUAAGGUGGCUAGCGGGUGUCUGUCUGUCCCACUUUAGUCAGAACGGAUUCGAUGAAAAGGGUCCUUAUGAAGGGUAAAUAGAAAUUGGCAUAUCACGUUGUGGUUUUACGUAGGUAAGAAACGUUCUUGCUAGAAAUCUAUAGAAGCCACGUAAAAACUUGCAACAACAAUUAGAGGACGUCUAACUUGUUUUUGCAGCAUGUGCCUUGUGACAUGAUAUGGCCAAAAGGAUGUGAUGAAUGAGAUAUAUGUGAUGUAUGAGAUUGAUCAUAUUCUUGUAAUAGGAAUCACGACUUGCAUGUCGAUGAGUAUGACAACCGGCAGGAGCCAUAGGAGUUGUCUUUAUUUUUUUGUAUGACCUGCGUGUCAUUGAAUAACGCCAUGUAAAUUACUUUACUUUAUUGCUAAACGCGUUAGCCAUAGAAGUAGAAGUAAUCAUUGGCGUGACAACUUCAUGAAGACACGAUGAUGGAGAUCAUGGUGUCAUGCCGGUGACGAAGAUGAUCAUGGCGCCCCGAAGAUGGAGAUCAAAGGAGCAAAAUGAUAUUGGCCAUAUCAUGUCACUAUUUGAUUACAUGUGAAACGAUACGAUUGUCUUUCUUCCAGCUGUGAAAGAGCAGGUUGAGGCUCUGAAAAAACUCCUGGUAGACUAUGCUGCGUCCAUUGGGUUACGACUCAAUUUUCAGAAAUCAACCCUGAUUCCGAUUAAUGUUACGCACGCGGAGGCACUGGAUUUUGCGGACAUGUUUGGUUGUGUUGUGGGGAAAAUGCCAUUCACAUAUUUAGGGCUCCCGCUUGGAACUACUAAACCCACAAUAAUGGAUUUCAUGCCUCUUGUGACAUCCGUUGAGAGAAGAGUCUCUAUGGCCGCUAACCUGCUAGACUACGGAUCGAAACUCACCUAUGUUAAUUCGGUGGUGUCAUCGCUUAUGGUGUAUGCCAUGUGUUCACUCAGAAUCCCUCCUAAGAUAGUGGAACACCUGGAUAAAAUCCGUAGGCAAUGCUUCUGGAGCAGGAAGACGGAGGAUGGGACAAAGAGCACCUCUCUUGCCUCUUGGGAGCUCGUCUGCCGCCCCAAGGCUGUAGGGGGACUUGGGAUUGUGGACCUUAAACUUCAGAAUCAAGGCCUUUUGCUCAAACAGUUAUACAAGUUUUACAAUAAACUAGAUGUGCCAUGGGUGAACCUGAUAUGGAGUGCAUACUACUCAGUCGUUGUACCGCAUGCCUCGGAACCAUGUGGCUCCUUCUGGUGGCGGGAUCUCAUGCAGUUAUCAGACAUCUUCAGAGGGGUGACUAAGAUCAAAGUUGGGGACGGUAGUACAGCCUUGUUCUGGAAGGAUCUUUGGAUUGAUCAACCACUAGAGACCGCAUGCCCGAGGGCGUUUUCAUUUGCGAGAGAAGAGGAUAUGUCAAUACAGACUUUGCUGAGAUCUAGCACCAUUGGAGAGGCUUUUCACAUACCAUUCUCUCCUCAGGCAAGAGCAGAAGUUGAAGAGAUUCAGGCUUUAACUGUGAGGAUUAAUCCCGACAGUGACACAAAUGACAAAUGGUGUUGUGUCUGGGAUGCUAGAGAGCUAGGAGCUUUCAAAUCAAGUGACUACUAUAAGUUCUGCUUUAAAGAUGUUAUUGUGGAUGCAGUUUUUCCUUGGAUCUGGGAAUCCAAAUGCACGAACAAAUGGAAAGUUUUUGCUUGGCUACUGUUUGCUGACCGUCUGAAUACUCGAAACAUGUUGAGGAGGAGGCAGUAUAAAUUGGAAGGUGAUGUGUACACCUGUCUGCUUUGUGGCACGCCCCCGGAGGAAACAGUGACCCACCUAUUCUUCAAAUGCCCAUUUGCAACUGAAUGUUGGUCUGCGAUUGGAAUGCACUGGCAUGAUUCCCAAUGCAGGCUGGAUCUCAUCCAUGAGGGAAGAAGAUCCUGGGGUGGUCCAUUAUUCAUGGAAAUCUUCAUCAUAGCAGCUUGGGGGUGUGGAAAGAGAAAUAAUAAACAUUUUAGGAAUGUGAUGCCAUCAAUGGAAUCCUAGAGAGGCAGGUUCAAAAAUGAUAUGUCCAUGAUGGUACACCGCACCAGAAACUCUCUCCACCCCUUCAUCAGAGGAUUGGUGGGCACUCUCUGAUCUCUACCACCCCCUAGUUUGCUUCUUUCUAGUAGGUUUUGACACCUCUUUGCUCUAACUAGUCUGUAUUGUACUACUCAUCUAUAUACCUUGUAACUAGGGGGCCACACCUCCCCUGAUCCUGGUGUUGCAUUAAUUUAAAAGUCAGUAGGAGCCUCUCCUACUGUCAGAGCUUUCAAAAAAAACAUGUGAUGUUUUUCAUGUUUUGCAUCUUAUUUGCUUAGAACGACGGUAGUAAGUAAGAUGAUCCCUUAUAAUAAUUUCAAGAAAGUGUUCCCCCUAACUGUGCACCGUUGCGAAAGUUCGUUGUUUCGAAGCACCACAUGAUGAUCGGGUGUGAUAGAUUCUAAUGUUCACAUACAACGGGUGUUGACGAGCCUAGCAUGUACAGACAUGGCCUCGGAACACAUGCAAUACACUUAGGUUGACUUGACAAGCCUAGCAUGUAUAGACAUGGCCUCGGAACACGGAAGACCGAAAGGUCGAGCAUGAGUCGUAUAGAAGAUACGAUCAACAUGGAGAUGUUCACCGAUCUUGACUAGUCCGUCUCACGUGAUGAUCGGACACGGCCUAGUUAACUCGGAUCAUGUUUCACUUAGAUGACUAGAGGGAUGUCUAUCUGAGUGGGAGUUCAUUGAAUAAUUUGAUUAGAUGAACUUAAUUAUUAUGAACUUAGUCUAAAAUCUUUACAAUAUGUCUUGUAGAUCAAAUGGCCCACAUUGUCCUCAACUUCAACGCGUUCCUAGAGAAAACCAAGCUGAAAGAUGAUGGCACCAACUAUACGGACUGGGUCCGGAACCUGAGGAUCAUCCUCAUAGCUGCCAAGAAAGAUUAUGUCCUAGAAGCACCGCUAGGUGAAGCACCCAUCCCAGAGAACCAAGACGUUAUGAACGCUUGGCAAUCACGUGCUGAUGAUUACUCCCUCGUUCAGUGCGGCAUGCUUUACAGCUUAGAACCGGGGCUCCAAAAGCGUUUUGAGAAACAUGGAGCAUAUGAGAUGUUCGAAGAGCUAAAAAUGGUUUUCCAAGCUCAUGCUCGGGUCGAGAGAUAUGAAGUCUCCGACAAGUUCUUCAGUUGCAAAAUGGAGGAAAAUAGUUCUGUCAGUGAGCACAUACUCAGAAUGUCUGGGUUACACAACCGCUUGUCUCAGCUGGGAGUUAAUCUCCCGGAUGACGCGGUCAUUGACAGAAUCCUUCAGUCGCUUCCACCAAGCUACAAGAGCUUUGUGAUGAACUUCAAUAUGCAGGGGAUGGAAAAGACCAUUCCUGAGGUAUAUUCAAUGCUGAAAUCAGCGGAGGUGGAGAUCAAAAAGGAACAUCAAGUGUUGAUGGUGAAUAAAACCACUAAGUUCAAGAAAGGCAAGGGUAAGAAGAACUUCAAGAAGGACGGCAAGGGAGUUGCCGCGCCCGGUAAGCCAGUUGCCGGGAAGAAGUCAAAGAAUGGACCCAAGCCUGAGACUGAGUGCUUUUAUUGCAAGGGAAGUGGUCACUGGAAGCGGAACUGCCCCAAAUACUUAGCGGACAAGAAGACCGGCAACACCAAAGGUAUAUGUGAUAUACAUGUAAUUGAUGUGUACCUUACCUGUACUCGUAGUAGCUCCUGGGUAUUUGAUACCGGUGCGGUUGCUCAUAUUUGUAACUCAAAACAGGAGCUGCGGAAUAAGCGGAGACUGGCGAAGGACGAGGUGACGAUGCGCGUCGGGAAUGGUUCCAAGGUCGAUGUGAUCGCCGUCGGCACGCUGCCUCUACAUUUACCUACGGGAUUAGUUUUAAACCUCAAUAAUUGUUAUUUAGUGCCAGCUUUGAGCAUGAACAUUGUAUCUGGAUCUCGUUUAAUUCGAGAUGGCUACUCAUUUAAAUCCGAGAAUAAUGGUUGUUCUAUUUAUAUGAGAGAUAUGUUUUAUGGUCAUGCCCCGCUGGUCAAUGGUUGAUUCUUGAUGAAUCUCGAACGUGAUGUUACACAUAUUCAUAGUGUGAAUACCAAAAGAUGUAAAGUUGAUAACGAUAGUCCCACAUACUUGUGGCACUGCCGCCUUGGUCACAUUGGUGUCGAACGCAUGAAGAAGCUCCAUGCAGAUGGACUUUUGGAGUCUCUUGAUUACGAAUCAUUUGACACGUGCGAACCAUGCCUCAUGGGUAAGAUGACCAAGACUCCGUUCUCCGGAAUAGUGGAGCGAGCAACCAACUUAUUGGAAAUCAUACAUACUAAUGUGUGCGGUCCAAUGAGUGUUGAGGCUCGCGGUGGCUAUCGUUAUGUUCUCACUCUCACUGAUGAUUUAAGUAGAUAUGGGUAUGUCUACCUAAUGAAACACAAGUCUGAAACCUUUGAAAAGUUCAAGGAAUUUCAGAGUGAGGUUGAGAAUCAACGUGACAGGAAAAUAAAGUUCCUGCGAUCAGAUCGUGGAGGGGAAUAUUUAAGUCACGAAUUUGGCACACACUUAAGGAAAUGUGGAAUCAUUUCACAACUCACGCCGCCUGGAACACCUCAGCGAAAUGGUGUGUCCGAACGUCGUAAUCGCACUCUAUUGGAUAUGGUGCGAUCUAUGAUGUCUCUUACCGAUCUACCGCUCUCAUUUUCGGGCUAUGCUUUAGAGACUGCUGCAUUCACUUUAAAUAGGGCUCCGUCGAAAUCCGUUGAGACGACACCAUAUGAAUUAUGGUUUGGGAAGAAACCUAAGCUGUCGUUUCUAAAAGUUUGGGGAUGCAAUGCUUAUGUCAAGAAAAUUCAACCUGAAAAGCUCGAACCCAAAUCGGAAAAAUGCGUCUUCAUAGGAUAUCCUAAGGAAACCAUUGGGUAUACCUUCUACCUCAGAUCCGAAGGCAAGAUCUUUGUUGCCAAGAACGGGUCCUUUCCGGAGAAAGAGUUUCUCUCGAAAGAAUUAAGUGGGAGGAAAGUGGAACUUAAUGAGGUGAUAGUCACCCCCUCCGAACCGGAAAGUAGCGCAGCGCGGGAAGAUGUUCCUGUGGUGCCUACACCAACUGGGGAGGAAGUUAAUGAUGAUGAUCAUGAAGCUUCGGAUCAAGUUACUGCUGAACUUCGUAGGUCCACAAGGACACGUUCCGCACCAGAGUGGUACGGCAACCCUGUCCUAGAAAUCAUGUUGUUAGACAACGGUGAACAUUCGAACUAUGAAGAAGCGAUGGCGGGCCCGGAUUCCGACAAAUGGCUAGAAGCCAUGAAAUCCGAGAUAGGAUCCAUGUAUGAAAACGACGUAUGGACUUUGACUAACUUGCCCGAUGAUCAGCGAGCCAUAGAAAAUAAAUGGAUCUUUAGGAAGAAGACAGACGCGGAUGGUAAUGUGACCAUCUAUAAGGCUCGACUUGUCGCUAAGGGUUAUCGACAAGUUCAAGGGGUUGACUACGAUGAGACUUUCUCACCCGUAGCGAAGCUGAAGUCCGUCCAAAUUAUGUUAGCAAUUGCCGCAUUCUAUGAUUAUGAGAUAUGGCAAAUGGACGUCAAAACGGCAUUCCUUAACGGCUUUCUUAAGGAAGAAUUGUAUAUGAUGCAGCCGGAAGGUUUUGUCGAUCCUAAGAAUGCUAACAAGGUAUGCAAGCUCCAGCGCUCCAUCUAUGGGCUGGUGCAAGCAUCUCGGAGUUGGAACAUUCGAUUUGAUGAGAUGAUCAAAGCGUUUGGGUUUACACAGACUUAUGGAGAAGCCUGUGUUUACAAGAAAGUGAGUGGGAGCUCUGUAGCAUUUCUCUUAUUAUAUGUGGAUGACAUACUAUUGAUGGAAAAUGAUAUAGAAUUCUUGGAAAGUAUAAAGGCCUACUUGAAUGUAGCAGAUCCGUUGACUAAACCUCUCCCUAGAGCAAAACAUGAUCAACACCAGAACUCUAUGGGUGUUCGAUUCAUCACAAUGUAACUAGAUUAUUGACUCUAGUGCAAGUGGGAGACUGUUGGAAAUAUGCCCUAGAGGCAAUAAUAAAUGGUUAUUAUUAUAUUUCCUUGUUCAUGAUAAUUGUCUAUUGUUCAUGCUAUAAUUGUGUUAUCCGGAAAUCGUAAUACAUGUGUGAAUACAUAGACCACAACGUGUCCCUAGUAAGCCUCUAGUUGACUAGCUCGUUGAUCAACAUAUAGUCAUGGUUUCCUGACUAUGGACAUUGGAUGUCAUUGAUAACGGGAUCACAUCAUUAGGAGAAUGAUGUGAUGGACAAGACCCAAUCCUAAGCAUAGCACAAAAGAUCGUGUAGUUCGUUUGCUAGAGCUUUUCCAAUGUCAAGUAUCAUUUCCUUAGACCAUGAGAUCGUGCAACUCCCGGAUACCGUAGGAGUGCUUUGGGUGUACCAAACAUCACAACGUAACUGGGUGACUAUAAAGGUACACUACGGGUAUCUACGAAAGUGUCUGUUGGGUUGGCACGGAUCGAGACUGGGAUUUGUCACUCCGUAUGACGGAGAGGUAUCUCUGGGCCCACUCGGUAAUGCAUCAACAUAAUGAGCUCAAUGUGACUAAGGAGUUAGCCACGGGAUCAUGCAUUGCGGUACGAGUAAAGCGACUUACCGGUAACGAGAUUGAACAAGGUAUUGGGAUACCGACGAUCGAAUCUCGGGCAAGUAACGUACCGAUUGACAAAGGGAAUUGUAUACGAGAUUGAUUGAAUCCUCGACAUCGUGGUUCAUCCGAUGAGAUCAUCAUGGAACAUGUGGGAGCCAACAUGGGUAUCCAGAUCCCACUGUUGGUUAUUGACCGGAGAGGCGUCUCGGUCAUGUCUGCAUGUCUCCCGAACCCGUAGGGUCUACACACUUAAGGUUCGGUGACGCUAGGGUUGUAGAGAUAUUAGUAUGCGGAAACCCGAAAGUUGUUCGGAGUCCCGGAUGAGAUCCCGGACGUCACGAGGAGUUCCGGAAUGGUCGGGAGGUGAAGAAUUAUAUAUAGGAAGUCCAGUUUCGGCCACCGGGAAAGUUUCGGGGGUUAUCGGUAUUGUACCGGGACCACCGGAAGGGUCCCGGGGGUCCACCGGGUGGGGCCACCUAUCCCGGAGGGCCCCAUGGGCUGAAGUGGGAGGGGAACCAGCCCCUAGUGGGCUGGUGCGCCCCCCAUGGGCCUCCCCCUGCGCCUAGGGUUGGAAACCCUGGGGGUCGGGGGCGCCCCACCUGACUUGGGGAGGAAGUUUCCCUCCCUUGGCCGCCGCCCCCCCAUAGAUGGGAUCCCAGGGCCGGCGCCCCCCAGGGGGCCUAUAUAAAGGGGGGAGGGAGGGCUGCUGUACCCUAGCCCCUGGCGCCUCCCUCUCCCUCCCGUGACACCUCUCCCUCCCGCUUGCGCUUGGCGAAGCCUUGCCGGGAUCCCCGCUACUUCCACCACCACGCUGUCGUGCUGCUGGAUCUCCAUCAACCUCUCCUUCCCCCUUGCUGGAUCAAGAAGGAGGAGACGACGCUGCUCCGUACGUGUGUUGAACGCGGAGGUGUCGUCCGUUCGGCGCUCGGUCAUCGGUGAUUUGGAUCACGACGAGUACGACUCCAUCAACCCCAUUCACUUGAACGCUUCCGCUCGUGAUCUACAAGGGUAUGUAGAUGCACUCCUUUCCCCUCGUUGCUAGCAAACUCCAUAGAUGGAUCUUGGUGAUGCGUAGAAAAUUUUAAAAUUCUGCAACGAUCCCCAACAGGUCAGACGUGUUGGUUGGGUCUUCAACGGUGGCUAUGAAGUGGGUGGCGGGUGGGAAGCAGAAUUCCCCAUCAUCCGCCGUGAGUUCGAACCAAACAUAGUUCGGCGAAGAGUCAUCUGUCAGGGAUAGAUUUUUAACGAGUUGAGUAAGUCGCCCAUGGGAGAGUGUUGGAAGACAUCUGCGGCGCUGAACUUGAAGAUCGAUAACCGAUCGAGUUCGGUGUCCGAGGGCUCGCAGGUUCCGGAACUCGGCACCGGAGACGAGCCCGGGGCUCCGUUGAUGCAGGUACCGUACGAAGUGGAAUCUGCAAGCGGCUCCAACGCCACCGAAUCAGUAGCCCCCGUGAUGGGGUUGAGCUUCCCAUCUUCGGGUGACUUGAUCUGCUCCGGAUCUAAGGCCAGAGUUGCUAUAGGAGCUAUCUCCUGGGUGUGACCCGAUGACCGGUUUAAGCCAUGUUCGUCGGAGCGGCAGGGAACGAUUGCCGCGGUCUCGAAUCCGUUGAAGAUCAAGUCUCCACGGAUGUCCACAACGUAGUUCAGGCUUCCAAAUCUGACCUGAUGGCCAGGGGCGUAGCUGUCGAUCUGCUCCAGACGGCCAAGCGAGUUGGCCCGCAGUGCGAAGCCGCCGAAUACGAAGAUCUGUCCGGGGAGAAAGGUUUCUCCCUGGACAACGUCAUCACUGACGAUCGAAGGGUCCAUCAAACCUUUCGUCGACGACACAGUGGAACUCUCAAUGAAAGCACCAAUGUCAGUGUCAAAACCGGCGGAUCUCGGGUAGGGGGUCCCGAACUGUGCGUCUAGGAUCGAUGGUGACAGGAGACAAGGGACACGAUGUUUACCUAGGUUCGGGCCCUCUCUAUGGAGGUAAUACCCUACUUCCUGCUUGAUUGAUCUUGAUGAAUAUGAGUAUUACAAGAGUUGAUCUACCACGAGAUCGUAAUGGCUAAACCCUAGAAGUCUAGCCUAUAUGAAUAUGGUAAUGAAUAUCCGUCCAUCCGGACUACUCCCUCCGGUUUAUAUAGACACCGGAGAGGUCUAGGGUUUACAUAGAGUCGGUUACAUAGGAGGGAAUCUUCAUAGUUGAUCGCCAAGCUUGCCUUCCACGCCAAGGAGAGUCCAAUCCGGACACGGGUAUAGUCUUCGGCCUUCAUAUCUUCACAGCCCAUCAGUCCGGCCCAUAGAUAACAGGCCGCACGCCCGAGGACCCCUUAGUCCAGGACUCCCUCAGUCACCUCCAUAAACGAGAAACAUAUCCUUAGUCCUUUUCAGGUAUUUCAGGAUGUUCUUGACCACUGUCCAGUGAUCCACUCCUGGAUUACUUUGGUACCUCCCCACUAUACUUAUAGCAAGGCACACAUCAGGUCUGGUACACAGCAUUGCAUACAUGAUAGAACCUAUGGCUGAAGCAUAGGGAAUGACUUUGAUUUUCUCUCUAUCUUGUGCAGUGGUCGGGCAUUGAGUCUCACUCAACUUCACACCUUGUAACACAGGCAAGAACCCUUUCUUUGACUGGUCCAUUUUGAACUUCUUCAAAAUCUUAUCAAGGUAUGUGCUAUGUGAAAGUCCAAUUAAGCGUCUUGAUCUAUCUCUAUAGAUCUUGAUGCCUAAUAUAUAAGCAGAUUCACCGAGGUCUUUCAUUGAAAAACUUUUAUUCAAGUAUCCUUUUAUGCUAUCCAGAAAUUCUAUAUCAUUUCCAAUCAACAGUAUGUCAUCCACAUAUAAUAUUAGAAAUGUUACAGAGCUCCCACUCACUUUAUUGUAAAUACAGGCUUCUCCAAAAGUAUGUAUAAAACCAUAUGCUUUGAUCACACUAUCAAAAUGUUUAUUCCAACUCCGAGAGACUUGCACCAGUCCAUAAAUGGAUUGCUGGAGCUUGCACACUUUGUUAGCAUCCUUUGGAUCGACAAAACCUUCUGGUUGCAUCAUAUACAACUCUUCUUCCAGAAACCCAUUCAGGAAUGCAGUUUUGACAUCCAUUUGCCAAAUUUCAUAAUCAUAAAAUGCAACAAUUGCUAACAUGAUUCGGACAGACUUAAGCAUCGCUACGGGCGAGAAAGUCUCGUCGUAGUCAACUCCUUGAACUUGUCGAAAACCUUUCGCAACAAGUCGGGCUUUGUAGACAGUAACAUUACCGUCAGCGUCAGUCUUCUUCUUGAAGAUCCAUUUAUUCUCGAUGGCUUGCCGAUCAUCGGGCAAGUCAACCAAAGUCCACACUUUGUUCUCAUACAUGGAUCCCAUCUCAGAUUUCAUGGCCUCAAGCCAUUUCACGGAAUCUGGGCUCAUCAUCGCUUCCUCAUAGUUCGUAGACUCGUUAUGGUCUAGUAACAUGAUGUCCAGAACAGGAUCACCGUACCACUCUAGUGCGGAUCUUACUCUGGUAGACCUACGAGGUUCAGUAGUAACUUGAUCUGAAGUUUCAUGAUCACUAUCAUUAGCUUCCUCACUAAUUGGUGUAGGAAUAACUGGAACUGAUUUCUGUGAUGAACUACUUUCCAAUUCGGGAGAAGGUACAAUUACCUCAUCAAGUUCUACUUUCCUCCCACUCACUUCUUUCGAGAGAAACUCCUUCUCUAGAAAGGAUCCAUUCUUAGCAACGAAUAUCUUGCCUUCGGAUCUGUGAUAGAAGGUGUACCCAACAGUCUCCUUUGGGUAUCCUAUGAAGACACAUUUCUCCGAUUUGGGUUCGAGCUUAUCAGGUUGAAGCUUUUUCACAUAAGCAUCGCAGCCCCAAACUUUUAGAAACGACAACUUGGGUUUCUUGCCAAACCACAGUUCAUAAGGUGUCGUCUCAACGGACUUAGAUGGUGCCCUAUUUAACGUGAAUGCAGCCAUCUCUAAAGCAUAACCCCAAAACGAUAGCAGUAAAUCAGUAAGAGACGUCAUAGAUCGCACCAUAUCUAAUAAAGUGCGGCUACGACGUUCGGACACACCAUUGCGCUGUGGUGUUCUAGGUGGCGUGAGUUGCGAAACUAUUCCACAUUGUUUCAAAUGAAGACCAAACUCGUUGUGACGCCCCCGAUUUGACCGUACACUAACCAUGCACACAAAUGUGUACGAUCAAGAUCCAGGACUCACGGGAAGAUACCACAACACAACUCUAAAACAUAAAUAAGUCAUACAAGCAUUAUAAUACAAGCCAGGGGCCUCGAGGGCUCGAAUACAAGUGCUCGAUCACAGACGAGUCAGCGGAAGCAACAAUAUCUGAGUACAGACAUAAGUUAAACAAGUUUGCCUUAAGAAGGCUAGCACAAACAGGGAUACAGAUCGAACGAGGCGCGUGCCUCCUACCUGGGAUCCUCCUAACUACUCCUGGUGGUCGUCAGCGGGCUGCACGUAGUAGUAGGCACCUCCAGUGUCGUAGGUGUCAUCGUCGACGGUGGCGUAUGGCUCCUGGACUCCAGCAUCUGGUUGCGACAACCAGAUAGAAAGGAAAAGGGGAAAAGAAGGAGAGAAGCAACCGUGAGUACUCAUCCAAAGUACUCGCAAGCAAUGAGCUAUACUACAUAUGCAUGGGUAUAUGUGUAAAGGGGCAUAUCAGUGGACUGAACUGCAGAAUGCCAGAAUAAAAGGGGGAUAGCUAGUCCUAUCGAAGACUACGCUUCUGGUCAUCUCCAUCUUGCAGCAUGUAGAAGAGAGUAGAUGGAAGUCCUCCAAGUAGCAUCGCAUAGCAUAAUCCUACCCGGCGAUCCCCUCCUCGUCGCCCUGUUAGAGAGCGAUCACCGGGUUGUAUCUGGCACUUGGAAGGGUGUAUUUUAUUCAGUAUCCAGUUCUAGUUGUCAUAAGGUCAAGGUACAACUCCGGGUCGUCCUUUUACCGAGGGACACGGCUAUUCGAAUAGAUAAACUUCCCUGCAGGGGUGCACCACAUAACCCAACACGCUCGAUCCCAUUUGGCCGGACACACUUUUCUGGGUGAUGCCCGGCCUCGUAAGAUCAACGCGUCGCAGCCCCACCUAGGCUCAACCGAGAGGUCAACACGCCGGUCUAACCCUAUGCGCGCAGGGGUCUGGGCCCAUCGCCCUAUGCACACCUGCACGUUGCGAGGGUGGCCAGAAGCAGACCUAGCCUAGUGGCGUUCCAGUCCAAUCCGGCGCGCGCCGCUCCGUUGCUGACGUCAAAAAGAGCUUCGGCUGAUACCACGACGCCGGGAUACCCAUAACUACUCCCGCGUAGAUGGUUAGUGCGUAUAGACCAAAUGGCCAGAUUCAGAUCAAAUACCAAGAUCUCGUUAAACGUGUUAAGUAUCCGCGAACGCCGACCAGGGCCAGGCCCACCUCUCACCUAGGCGGUCUCAACCUGCCCUGUCGCUCCGCCACAAAGAUCCACUUGCGGGUACUCCUACGAGCCGACCCGACUUUAGUCAUCACAUGUGUCAUGUAUAUAGUAUAGAAUCAUAUACCCGUGAUCACCGCCCAGGUGAUCACGGCCCGAUAGUAUAGCACAGCAGACGGACAAGAAUGUAGGGUCACUGAUGGAAAACUAGCAUCCUAUACUAAGCAUGUAGGAUUGCAGGUAAAGGUAACAACAGUAGUAGCAAGGAUAGGCUAUGCAUCAGAAUAGGAUAUCGGAAAGCAGUAACAUGCUACACUACUCUAAUGCAAGCAGUAUAGAGAAGAAUGGGCGAUAUCUGGUGAUCAAGGGGGGGCUUGCCUGGUUGCUCUGGCAAGUAGGAGGGGUCGUCAACUCCGUAGUCGAACUGGGCAGCAGCAGUGUCGGUCUCGUAGUCUACCGGAGAGAAGAGGGGGAAGAAACAGUAAAUACAAUGCAAACAUAAACAUGACGAUGCGUGACAUGACAAUGAGUAGUGCGAGGUGUGUCCUAACGCGACAGUAGGUGGUACCGGCGAAGGGGGGGAACAUCCGGGAAAGUAUUCCCGCUGUUUCGCGUUUCGGACAGACGGACCGGAGGGGAAAAGUUGCGAGUUCGAUAGGUUAGGGAGGUGUGGUGGACGAACGGACGGCGUAUCCGGAUGCGUCUCGUCGUUCUGAGCAACUUUCAUGUUGAAAAUAUUUUAAUCCGAGUUACGCAUUAAAAGAUAUGAUUUUCUAAAGAUUUUAUUAAUUUCUGGAAUUUAAUUAAUUAUUUAAUUUAAUUCGAAAAUGGAUUUAUGACAUCAGCAUGAUGUCAUGCUGACGUCAGCAGUCAACGUUGACCGUUGACCUGGUCAACCUGACAGGUGGGUCCCACCUGUCAGUGUCUGUUAGCUAAUUAACUACUGUUUAGUUAAAUUAAUUAACUAAUUAGAUUAGUUUAAACAGGAUUAAUUAACUUAAUUAAUUAAUUAAUUAAUUAAUUAUAAUUAAAAUUAUUUUUAUUUUCUUUAUUUAUUUAUUUUUAUUAAUUAAUUUAUUAUUUUUAUUAUUAUUAUUAUUUCUGUUUUUUAUUUUUAUUUUUAUUUUUAUUUUUAUUUUAUUUUAUUUUUAUUUUUUUAUUCGUUCUGUGCGUGGGCCCCGGCUGUCAUUGGGCCAGGGGGGUUCGGGCCCAGGGGCAGUGGCUCAGUGGGGGCGAGGCCCCACCUGGCAGUGGCCCAGGGGUCGUAGCAGGCACAGGGCGAUGCGGGUGCGGGUGCCCGUAGCCUGCCCAGGGCAGGGCGGGGCCGUGGCNNNNNNNNNNNNNNNNNNNNNNNNNNNNNNNNNNNNNNNNNNNNNNNNNNNNNNNNNNNNNNNNNNNNNNNNNNNNNNNNNNNNNNNNNNNNNNNNNNNNNNNNNNNNNNNNNNNNNNNNNNNNNNNNNNNNNNNNNNNNNNNNNNNNNNNNNNNNNNNNNNNNNNNNNNNNNNNNNNNNNNNNNNNNNNNNNNNNNNNNNNNNNNNNNNNNNNNNNNNNNNNNNNNNNNNNNNNNNNNNNNNNNNNNNNNNNNNNNNNNNNNNNNNNNNNNNNNNNNNNNNNNNNNNNNNNNNNNNNNNNNNNNNNNNNNNNNNNNNNNNNNNNNNNNNNNNNNNNNNNNNNNNNNNNNNNNNNNNNNNNNNNNNNNNNNNNNNNNNNNNNNNNNNNNNNNNNNNNNNNNNNNNNNNNNNNNNNNNNNNNNNNNNNNNNNNNNNNNNNNNNNNNNNNNNNNNNNNNNNNNNNNNNNNNNNNNNNNNNNNNNNNNNNNNNNNNNNNNNNNNNNNNNNNNNNNNNNNNNNNNNNNNNNNNNNNNNNNNNNNNNNNNNNNNNNNNNNNNNNNNNNNNNNNNNNNNNNNNNNNNNNNNNNNNNNNNNNNNNNNNNNNNNNNNNNNNNNNNNNNNNNNNNNNNNNNNNNNNNNNNNNNNNNNNNNNNNNNNNNNNNNNNNNNNNNNNNNNNNNNNNNNNNNNNNNNNNNNNNNNNNNNNNNNNNNNNNNNNNNNNNNNNNNNNNNNNNNNNNNNNNNNNNNNNNNNNNNNNNNNNNNNNNNNNNNNNNNNNNNNNNNNNNNNNNNNNNNNNNNNNNNNNNNNNNNNNNNNNNNNNNNNNNNNNNNNNNNNNNNNNNNNNNNNNNNNNNNNNNNNNNNNNNNNNNNNNNNNNNNNNNNNNNNNNNNNNNNNNNNNNNNNNNNNNNNNNNNNNNNNNNNNNNNNNNNNNNNNNNNNNNNNNNNNNNNNNNNNNNNNNNNNNNNNNNNNNNNNNNNNNNNNNNNNNNNNNNNNNNNNNNNNNNNNNNNNNNNNNNNNNNNNNNNNNNNNNNNNNNNNNNNNNNNNNNNNNNNNNNNNNNNNGAGCGCAACGGCGACGGUGGUCUCCUCCCGAUCCAGAUCGGGGGAGGCAGGGAAGGGAGGAUAUUUCGGGGGCGGGGAAGUGGGUGGAGGUGUCGGUGGUGAGGGGGGGGAAUGGAUAAGGUGGGGAGUGGGUGGGCCGGCCGGCUGGGCCUGGGGGUUGGCCCAGUCGGGCCAGGGUCCAGUGUGAGGGGGGGGCUCCUCCGUUUUUUUCUGUUUAUUUUCUCUGUUGCAUUUUCUUUUCUUUUUAUUUAUUUUAUUUUCUGUUUUACAUCAUUUUAAAAUAGUUAGGCAUUUUCUAAAAAUAUGUUUUCUCCACAAUAAUUAUCAGUGCAAUAUCUGGCACCCACCGAACAUUUUUGUUUAAAUUUUUGAAAACUUUCAUUAUUGACAUUAAUUUGAAUUUAAAUUUUGAAACGGUUUCGAAUCAUCGCGAGGUUAACAACAGUAACCGUGGUUGACGUGGCAUCAUUAGCGUGGGAUUACUGUAGCUUAAUUAUCCGGGCGUCACAAAUCUCCUCCACUACAAGAAAUCUCGUCCCGAGAUUUAGGAGGUAGAAGGAAAAAAUGCGGGGUAUUCUUCGCGCAGGCGAUCCUCUCGUUCCCAAGUGGCUUCAUCUUCAGAAUGGUGCGACCACUGGACUUUGAGGAACUUGAUCGCCUUCUGACGUGUGCGCCGUUCAGCUUGGUCGAGAAUGCGGACCGGAUGCUCCUUAUAGGAGAGGUCUUGCUGCAAUUCGAGCACUUCAUGAUCCACUGCUCGGAUUGGGUCCUUGAAGCAACGGCGGAGCUGUGACACAUGGAACACAUCGUGAACCUGAGAAAGGUUCGGCGGAAGCUCCAGUUGGUAUGCCACUUUUCCACGCCUUUCGAGAAUAGUGAAUGGGCCAAUAUAGCGAGGAGCUAGUUUGCCCUUGAUCCCGAAGCGGUGAGCACCCUUCAUAGGUGUGACUCGAAGAUAAGCCUUUUCGCCAGGUUGAUAGACCAUGUCUUUAUGAUGACGGUCAUACUGACUCUUCUGACGUGACUGAGCAGUCUUGAGAUUCUCGCGAAUAAUGCAGACUUGUUCUUCGGCAUGUUGGAUAAUAUCCGGACCGAAGAGUGGACGUUCCCCAGUUUCUGACCAGUUCAGAGGGGUUCGGCACUUUCGUCCAUAUAACACUUCGAAGGGGGCCAUCUUCAGACUAGCUUGAUAGCUAUUAUUAUAAGAGAACUCAACAUACGGGAGAGAUUCCUCCCAUUUCUUGCCGAAGGAAAUAACACAAGCUCGAAGCAUGUCUUCGAGAACUUGGUUGACGCAUUCAACCUGCCCUUGCGACUGAGGAUGAAAUGCAGUACUGAAUGACAGAUGAGUUCCCAUAGCUUCUUGGAAACUUGCCCAGAAUCUUGAAGUGAAUAAGCUACCACGGUCUGAGCUGAUAACCAAUGGAAUACCGUGGAGUGAAACAAUCCUGGACAUAUAGAGCGUUGCCAACUGACUAGCAGUGAUCGUUUCUUUGACCGCCAGAAAAUGUGCAACUUUGGAAAGCCGGUCAAUGACGACAAGAAUAGCAUCAUUACCUUUCUGUGAUUUGGGAAAACCAGUGACGAAGUCCAUCUCAACAUGGUCCCAUUUCCAUUCAGGAAUAGAGAUAGGUUGCAGAGUUCCAGCAGGCCUUUGAUGUUCUGCUUUGAUACGACGGCAAACGUCACACUCAGUGACAUAACGAGCAAUGUCUUGCUUCAUAUUAGACCACCAGAGUCUCUGACGGAUGUCUUGGUACAUCUUUGUACUACCAGGGUGGAUACAUAGAGGCGUAUCAUGAGCUUCUUUCAUAACUUCCUGUGUCAUAUCCAGGUUUUUCUCUGCACAUGGCACCACUAGGCGGCCCUUGAAGUAUAAGGUGCCAUCUUCAGCAAUAGUGAAGAAUGAGGGCUUUCCUUCUGCGAGGUAGCGCUUAAUCUUGUGGGCUUCAGAGUCAUACUUCUGUAGCCUUUUGAUGUUGUCCUCGAGAUCUGGUUUAGCAACUAGGGUAUUGAGGGAACCCUGGGUAACAACGUGGAGGUUCACCUUGCCAAACUCCUUAGGAGGGGGAGCGAGUGCACCCGGAGGAACAAUAUGGAGGUUCAGCUUCCUGAAUUCUUCAACAAGCGAGGGCUGAACUUUGUGAACCUGGAGGUGGUUGCAGUAAGACUUGCGGCUCAAGGCAUCAGCCAUUACAUUAGCCUUGCCUGGCGUAUAGGAAAUACCCAAGUCAAAGUCUGCAACAAGCUCCAUCCAUCUCUGCUGACGAAGGUUCAGGUCUAGCUGAGUAAAUAGAUACUUCAGACUUUGGUGGUCAGUGAAGAUCUCGCAACGAUUACCGAGAAGGUAAUGUCGCCACUGCUUCAGCGCAUGAAUGACAGUAGCAAGUUCGAGGUCGUGAACUGGGUAGUUCUCUUCGUGAGGGCGCAAUUGCCGAGAGGCAUAAGCAAUCACUUUGCGGUCUUGCAUUAGGACACAGCCUAAUCCUUGACGGGAAGCAUCGCAGUAAAUGACGAAGUCCUUCUUAGUAUCAGGUGGGGCUAGAACUGGGGCAGAAGUCAACUUGUCUUUGAGUGCCUGGAAACUUUCCUGACAUUUGUCUGUCCAUUGGAACUUGACGCCCUUAUGUAACAGGUUAGUCAGAGGCCUGGCGAUCUUAGAGAAAUUCUCGACAAAUCGACGGCAAUAGCUGGCGAGACCGAGAAAACUUCUGACUUGCUUAACGUUCUUGGGAGGAGUCCAAUCAAGAAUAGCCUGAACUCGCUCGGGGUUGACGGCAAUACCAUCCUUAGAGAUGACAUGCCCAAGAUAGGUUACUUCCGGUAGCCAGAAUUCACAUUUGGAGAACUUGGCAUAUAGUUGAUGCUCUCGUAGCUUUUCCAGUACAAGUCGAAGAUGUUCAGCAUGUUCUUCUUCGUUCUUGGAAAAUACCAGGAUAUCAUCCAGAUAAACCACGACGAACUUGUCGAGGUAAUCCAUGAAUAUAUAGUUCAUCAGACGAGAGAAGGUGGCUGGAGCAUUGGUUAAACCGAAAGACAUGACGGUGUACUCGUAUGAACCAUAGCGAGUCACGAAGGCGGUCUUUGGGAUAUCCUCUUCGCGAACACGGAUCUGGUGGUAGCCCAACCUCAAGUCGAGCUUAGAGAACACUGACGAACCCGCCAGUUGAUCAUACAGAUCAUUGAUCCGAGGAAGAGGGUAUUUAUUCUGAAUGGUAGCUUGGUUUAUAGGACGGUAGUCUUGAACUAACCGGUUUGUCCCAUCCUUCUUCUUGACAAAGAGAGAAGGUGCUCCCCAAGGAGAGCAACUUGGGCGAAUGAAUCCUUUGCGAAGAGAUUUGUCGAUUUCCUCCUUAAGCUCAAGGAGUUCAUGCGACAGCAUUUUGUAGGGUCGCUUGGCUAUAGGAGUGGUGCCUGGUUUCAAGUCGAUGAUGAAUUCGACAGCUCUAGCAGGGGGAAUCCCUGGAAGUUCUUCAGGGAAGACGUCGAGGAAUUCACUCACGACGGGAAUGUUUUCAAUGCCCUCGAGUGGUGCAGCAUUCUAUGCAUUCAAUGCAUAGAGCCUUGCCUCGGCAUUUUGCACCAGGUGGGCUUGGUAAGUAACUAUCUCAUCUGAAGGGUGUAGCAGAUGGACGGUCUUAGUGGUGCAAACGAUUGAAGCAGUAUGCGCUUUUAGGCAAUUCAUUCCUAGAAUGAGAUCAAUGCUACAGGACUUCAGUACGAUGGGAGAGACAAGAAAUUCCAGUCCUUUGAUUUCGACGGGGACGUCGUUGCAAAUCAUGGAGGUUCGACAUUGGCCCGCAGGGGUGUGUACUAAUAGUGAAGCAUUCAUGUCUUCGCCUUUAAUGCCAUGCAUGAAUGCAAAAUCUUCUGACAUGAAUGAAUGUGAUGCACCUGUAUCAAAUAAAACGGAUGCUGGUGCUGAAUUUACGAGGAGUGUACCCAUCACAGUAGCAGGCUGGUCUUGAGCUUCGUUGAGAUCAACGUGGUUGGCAUGAGCACGACCAUAAGACUUAGCAUUGUUGUUGCGGGGCUGGUUGUUACCACGGCCAGUUGCUGGAAGGGCCAGUUGAUUCUGGUUCUGGUUGCAUUCUCUAGCACGGUGUCCUGGUUGACCACACCUGAAGCACAAGCCAUUAUUGGGAGUGGGAACAGGGGCUUGGGAUGGUGGAGCUGGAAGUCUUGACUGCCUAGAUCGUGGUGGAGGCAGACGAGGGGCAGCAUAGGUCUGCCUUGGGGCAGAUGCAUUUGGACGGUACAUGCUGUUCGGGAUCCAUAUCUUACGCUUCUGUGAGGGCGAGCCCGAAGAUGAGCCCGUGUCACGGUUGCGCCUGUGAGAGCUCUGGUAUUCCUGCAGACCAGUUUCGACAUUGAUGGCCUUGUUCACCAAGGUGGCGAAAUCAGCAAAGUCAUGCACUAGAAGUGCGAGCUUGAUGUCAGCUUGAAGGCCAUCACGGAACUUCUCCUGUCUGCGUGCAUCAGUUGCAAUGUCCUCCUCAGCAUAGCGAGACAAAUCCAGAAACUCCCGUUGAUAAGAUUCAACAGUUUUGUUGCCUUGGGUGAGGUUGCGGAACUCACGCUUCUUCCGGUCCAUGACUCCUUGAGGAAUGAAGUGGGCACGGAAAGCAGCUUGGAAGUCUGGCCACGUGAUGAUUGUCCCAGCUGGCAGAGUACGCCUGUGGCUGUCCCACCAUUGAGCUGCGGGUCCCUUCAGAAAGAAGGAAGCAAAGUUGACAUAGCUGGCAGGGGCUACAUCGGCAGACUCCAUCUCAUAGGUGAUGUCACGGAGCCAGUCAUCAGCAUCCAGAGGCUGAGUUGAGCUGCGGUACACAGUUGGGUUCAGGCGCAUGAAAUCCUGCAGAGUUACUGGGGUUGGUUGCUGGUCCAUAUUGGGGUGAGGAAACUGAGCCAUCAUAUUUUCCAUGAAUUGGCGGUUCAGUUUGAACUGCCAGAUCAUACCAGCCAUGUACUCAGGUGGUGGUGGGGCAUCGCCACCACGACCAUGACCACCUGGUCUAACCAUCCUGCUAAUAUAUAACAGGGGUAGUUCAGCAUUGAGAAAGUUUGCAAAGACAAGAAUCAUUCAUGAUAAAACAUGCAUAAUGAAAGGAGCACGAUAGCUACUACAUAGUAGUCGGCAUAACUUACAAAAGGGGUCAUGCAUAGAGUUCAGCACAUAGAGUUCAGUACAUAGACUAAAACAUCAUAGGCGGCACACAGGCUCGCGGCGAAUGCAUCUAACUCUACAAGCAAGCCCACAUCAGUCCCAAGAGGUACUGUGGAGGUAAUCGUAGCCCGACAGCUGGUAGUGAGGCAACGGAUAGCCCUCCACGUCAGCAGACUGGGGGCCGCGGAUACUCAGGUGUAGAGCCCGACGCUCAGGUGGCAGAAGAGGACCAAGUGCGGGAGAGUAGCCUCCCACCUCUGGCCAACCGACACCGUGGGGCAUCACGGUCCUGGCUGGGUAGAUCGCAGUACGCGGUAGCUGUCCAGAUCGGACAAAGGGGUGCAGCAGCGUCAGAGCACGGUAAAGGUGCUGACGGGUAGUGUACAUCUCGUGGCGAAGAGCUCGGUUAGCUCGAUCCAGCCCAUCAGCAUGCAGAACCAGGUUCUGAUGGUAGAAGGGCUCUCGGGUGACAGUGGAGUAGGCAGCAGUAUAGUAUCCCUCCGCACCAACAUCAGAUGCGAUAGCAAUGUGCCUGAAGGGGGAGGUGUCCAACUCCCGAUACUCUCCACGAAGACGUGUCAGAGCAGCAUAGGCAGCAUCGUGGACAGCCAUAUCGAUGGUCACACCAACACCAUGUGCGGUGUGCAGCACAGUAGUGGAGUCAUACUCCCGCGAGUAGAGGUGGACGAUGGCACGAUACUGCUCCUGGUUAAAGUCCUGGUACUCCUCGUAGACGGUGUACUCAGGGUGCCAGCGAUAACCCAGAUAGGUCAUCAUCUCAGCUAGCAUAGCCGGUGAUCCCGAGGCACCAAUGGCCGUCGUGUGGCGCACGACCUGCCUCGUGGGUUCCAUCUGAAAGCAAAGACGUUUCAAAGGAGUCAAAUGACAGUGUGUGAAUUGUUCAAAAUACUAUUCUAAGAAACAACUAUGGCUUAUCCAACUUUGGGGUGAAUGCGGUCACGGGAUCCUAGUGUUAGAGUUAGUAAAUUCGUUUAACCCGAGUAGAAGAGAGUUCAGAGUCCUAGAGUAAGGGUCGAGGAGUAAAAGAUCCUAGUAUCACCCAAUCGCGACGUGGGCCCGUAAGACACACAACCAUGUUAGUAAAAGUUUUGUAAUGUCUAGACUCGACUUCGGCCAAGGAGUGUGGAAAGGGGGAUUCCUACAAGCAGUCGGCUCUGAUACCAACUUGUGACGCCCCCGAUUUGACCGUCCACUAAUCAUGCACGCAAAUGUGUACGAUCAAGAUCAAGGACUCACGGGAAGAUACCACAACACAACUCUAAAACAUAAAUAAGUCAUACAAGCAUUAUAAUACAAGCCAGGGGCCUCGAGCGCUCGAAUACAAGUGCUCGAUCACGGACGAGUCAGCGGAAGCAACAAUAUCUGAGUACAGACAUAAGUUAAACAAGUUUGCCUUAAGAAGGCUAGCACAAACAGGGAUACAGAUCGAACGAGGCGCAGGCCUCCUGCCUGGGAUCCUCCUAACUACUCCUGGUCGUAGGUGUCGUCGUCGACGGUGGCGUCUGGCUCCUGGACUCCAGCAUCUGGUUGCGACAACCAGAUAGAAAGGAAAGGGGAAAAGAGGGAUAUAAGCAACCGUGGUACUCAUCCAAAGUAAUCGCAAGCAAUGAGCUAUACUACAUAUGCAUGGGUAUAUGUGUAAAGGGGCAUAUCAGUGGACUGAACUGCAGAAUGCCAGAAUAAAAUGGGGAUAGCUAGCCCUGUCGAAGACUACGCUUCUGGUCAUCUCCAUCUUGCAGCAUGUAGAAGAGAGUAGAUGGAAGUCCUCCAAGUAGCAUCGCAUAGCAUAAUCCUACCCGGCGAUCCCCUCCUCGUCGCCCUGUUAGAGAGCGAUCACCGGGUUGUAUCUGGCACUUGGAAGGGUGUAUUUUAUUCAGUAUCCAGUUCUAGUUGUCAUAAGGUCAAGGUACAACUCCGGGUCAUCCUUUUACCGAGGGACACGGCUAUUCGAAUAGAUAAACUUCCCUGCAGGGGUGCACCACAUAACCCAACACGCUCGAUCCCAUUUGGCCGGACACACUUUUCUGGGUCAUGCCCGGCCUCGUAAGAUCAACGCGUCGCAGCCCCACCUAGUCUCAACCGAGAGGUCAACACGCCGGUCUAACCCUAUGCGCGCAGGGGUCUGGGCCCAUCGCCCUAUGCACACCUGCACGUUGCGAGGGCGGCCGGAAGCAGACCUAGCCUAGUGGCGUUCCAGUCCAAUCCGGCGCGCGCCGCUCCGUCGCUGACGUCAAAAAGAGCUUCGGCUGAUACCACGACGCCGGGAUACCCAUAACUACUCCCGCGUAGAUGGUUAGUGCGUAUAGACCAAAUGGCCAGACUCAGAUCAAAUACCAAGAUCUCGUUAAACGUGUUAAGUAUCCGCGAACGCCGACCAGGGCCAGGCCCACCUCUCAUCUAGGCGGUCUCAACCUGCCCUGUCGCUCCGCCACAAAGAUCCACUUGCGGGUACUCCUACGAGCCGACCCGACUUUAGUCAUCACAUGUGUCAUGUAUAUAGUAUAGAAGCAUAUACCCGUGAUCACCGCCCAGGUGAUCACGGCCCGAUAGUAUAGCAUAGCAGACGGACAAGAAUGUAGGGCCACUGAUGGAAAACUAGCAUCCUAUACUAAGCAUGUAGGAUUGCAGGUAAAGGUAACAACAGUAGUAGCAAGGAUAGGCUAUGCAUCAGAAUAGGAUAUCGGAAAGCAGUAACAUGCUACACUACUCUAAUUCAAGCAGUAUAGAGAAGAAUGGGCGAUAUCUAGUGAACAGGGGGGGCUUGCCUGGUUGCUCUGGCAAGUAGGAGGGGUCGUCAACUCCGUAGUCGAACUGGGCAGCAGCAGUGUCAGUCUCGUAGUCUACCGGAGGGAAGAGGGGGAAGAAACAGUAAAUACAAUGCAAACAUAAACAUGACGAUGCGUGACAUGACAAUGAGUAGUGCGAGGAGUGUCCUAACGCGACAGUAGGUGGUACCGGCGAAGGGGGGAACAUCCGGGAAAGUAUUCCCGCUGUUUCGCGUUUCACACAGACGGACCGGAGGGGGAAAGUUGCGAGUUCGAUAGGUUCGGGAGGUGUGGUGCACGAACGGACUGCGUUUCCGGAUUCGUCUCGUCGUUCUGAGCAACUUUCAUGUUGAAAAUAUUUUAAUCCGAGUUACGCAUUAAAAGAUAUGAUUUUCUAAAGAAUUUAUUAAUUUCUGGAAUUUAAUUAAUUAUUUAAUUUAAUUCGAAAAUGGAUUUAUGACAUCAGCAUGAUGUCAUGCUGACGUCAGCAGUCAACGUUGACCGUUGACCUGGUCAACCUGACAGGUGGGUCCCACCUGUCAGUGUCUGUUAGCCAAUUAACUACUGUUUAGUUAAAUUAAUUAACUAAUUAGAUUAGUUUAAACAAGAUUAAUUAACUUAAUUAAUUUAGUUAAUUAAUUAAUUAAAAUUAUUUUUAUUUUUGUUUUCUUUCUUUAUUUAUUUAUUAAUUAAGUUAUUAUUAUUAUUAUUUAUUAUUUAUUAUUUAUUUUUUUUUAUUUUAUUUUAUUUUAUUUUUUUAUUCGUUCUGUGCGUGGGCCCCGGCUGUCAUUGGGCCAGGGGGGUUCGAGCCCAGGGGGCAGUGGCUCAGGGGGGGCGAGGCCCCACCUGGCAGUGGCCCAGGGGCCGUAGCGGGCACAGGGCGAUGCGGGUGCGGGUGCCCAUAGCCUGCCCAGGGCAGGGCGGGGCCGUGGCCAUGGACGAGGCCGCCGGCGCCCACGACGCCGGCCAGGAGGGCGGCGGAGGGCCGCGGGCGGCGCGGGGGUGGAGGUAGUGGCGGGGCUGCGGACUAGAGGGGGCGCUGGCNNNNNNNNNNNNNNNNNNNNNNNNNNNNNNNNNNNNNNNNNNNNNNNNNNNNNNNNNNNNNNNNNNNNNNNNNNNNNNNNNNNNNNNNNNNNNNNNNNNNNNNNNNNNNNNNNNNNNNNNNNNNNNNNNNNNNNNNNNNNNNNNNNNNNNNNNNNNNNNNNNNNNNNNNNNNNNNNNNNNNNNNNNNNNNNNNNNNNNNNNNNNNNNNNNNNNNNNNNNNNNNNNNNNNNNNNNNNNNNNNNNNNNNNNNNNNNNNNNNNNNNNNNNNNNNNNNNNNNNNNNNNNNNNNNNNNNNNNNNNNNNNNNNNNNNNNNNNNNNNNNNNNNNNNNNNNNNNNNNNNNNNNNNNNNNNNNNNNNNNNNNNNNNNNNNNNNNNNNNNNNNNNNNNNNNNNNNNNNNNNNNNNNNNNNNNNNNNNNNNNNNNNNNNNNNNNNNNNNNNNNNNNNNNNNNNNNNNNNNNNNNNNNNNNNNNNNNNNNNNNNNNNNNNNNNNNNNNNNNNNNNNNNNNNNNNNNNNNNNNNNNNNNNNNNNNNNNNNNNNNNNNNNNNNNNNNNNNNNNNNNNNNNNNNNNNNNNNNNNNNNNNNNNNNNNNNNNNNNNNNNNNNNNNNNNNNNNNNNNNNNNNNNNNNNNNNNNNNNNNNNNNNNNNNNNNNNNNNNNNNNNNNNNNNNNNNNNNGACGGUGGUCUCCUCCCGAUCCAGAUCCGGGGAGGCAGGGGAGGGAGGAUAUUUCGGGGGGGAAGUGGGUGGAGGUGUCGGUGGUGAGGGGGGGGAUGGAUAAGGUGGGGAGUGGGUGGGCCGGCCGGCUGGGCCUGGGGGUUGGCCCAGUCGGGCCAGGGUCCAGUGUGGGAGGGGGCUCCUCCUUUUUUUUCUUUUCUGUUUGUUUUCUCUAUUGCAUUUUCUUUUCUUUUUAUUUAUUUUCUUUUCUGUUUUACAUCAUUUUAAAAUAGUUAGGCAUUUUCUAAAAAUAUGUUUUCUCCACAAUAAUUAUCAGUGCAAUAUCUGGCACCCACCGAACAUUUUUGUUUAAAUUUUUGAAAACUUUUAUUAUUGACAUUAAUUUGAAUUUAAAUUUUGAAACGGUUUCGAAUCAUCGCGAGGUUAACAACAGUAACCGUGGUGACGUGGCAUCAUUAGCGUGGGAUUACUGUAGCUUAAUUAUCCGGGCGUCACACUCGUAACUCAAAUAUUCUCCUUCACGAUCAGAUCGUAGAAACUUUAUUUUCUUGUUAUGAUGAUUUUCCACUUUACUCUGAAAUUCUUGGAACUUUUCAAAUGUUUCAGACUUAAGUUUCAGUAAGUAGAUAUACCCAUAUCUGCUCAAAUCAUCUGUGAAGGUCAGAAAAUAAUCAUACCCUCCACGAGCAUCAACACUCAUCCGACCGCAUACAUCGGUAUGUAUUGUUUCCAGCAAGUCUGUUGCUCGCUCCAUAGUUCCAGAGAACGGAGUCUUAGUCAUCUUGCCCAUGAGGCAUGGUUCGCAAGUAUCAAGUGAUUCAUAAUCAAGUGAUUCCAAAAGCCCAUCAGCAUGGAGUUUCUUCAUGCGCUUUACACCAAUAUGACCUAAACGGCAGUGCGACAAAUAAGUUGCACUAUCAUUAUUGAACUUAUAUCUUUUGGCUUCAAUACUAUGAAUAUGUGUAUCACUACUAUCGGCAUUCAACAAAAAUAGACCACUCAUCAAGGGUGCAUGACCAUAAAAGAUAUUACUCAUAUAAAUAGAACAACCAUUAUUCUCUGAUUUAAAUGAAUAACCGUCUCGCAUCAAACAAGAUCCAGAUAUAAUGUUCAUGCUCAACGCUGGCACCAAAUAACAAUUAUUUAGGUCUAAAACUAAUCCCGAAGGUAGAUGUGAGGUAGCGUGCCGACCGCGAUCACAUAAACUUUGGAACCAUUUCCCACGCGCAUCGUCACCUCGUGCUUAUCCAAUCUUCGCUUAAUCCGUAGCCCCUGUUUCGAGUUGCAAAUAUGAGCAACAGAACCAGUAUCAAAUACCCAGGCACUACUGCGAGCAUUAGUUAAGUACACAUCAAUAACAUGUAUAUUAAAUAUACCUUUCACUUUGCCAUCCUUCUUAUCCGCCAAAUACUUGGGGCAGUUCCGCUUCCAGUGACCAGUCCCUUUGCAGUAGAAGCACUCAGUCUCAGGCUUAUGUCCAGACUUGGGCUUCUUCACUCGAGUAGCAACUUGCUUGCCGUUCUUCUUGAAGUUCCCCUUCUUCCCUUUGCCCUUCUUCUUGAAACUGGUGGUCUUGUUGACCAUCAACACUUGAUGCUCCUUCUUGAUUUCUACCUCCGCAGCUUUUAGCAUCGCGAAGAGCUCGGGAAUUGUCUUAUCCAUCCCUUGCAUAUUAUAGUUCAUCACGAAGCUUUUGUAGCUUGGUCGCAGUGAUUGAAGAACUCUGUCAAUGACACUAUCAUCAGGAAGAUUAACUCCCAGUUGAGUCAAGUGGUUGUGGUACCCAGACAUUUUGAGUAUAUGUUCACUGACAGAACUAUUCUCCUCCAUCUUGCAGCUAUAGAACUUAUUGGAGACUUCAUAUCUCUCAAUCCGGGUAUUUUCUUGAAAUAUUAACUUCAACUCCUGGAACAUCCCAUAUGCUCCAUGACGUUAAAUGUCGUUGAAGUCCCGGUUCUAAGCCGUAAAGCAUGGCACACUGAACUAUCGAGUAGUCAUCAACACGCGUCUGCCGGGCAUUCACAAUGUCCGCAGUUGCUGGUGCGGGUGGUACACCUAGUGGUGCUUCGAGGACGUAAUUCUUCUGUGCAGCAAUGAGGAUAAUCCUCAAGUUACGGACCCAGUCCGUGUAAUUGCUACCAUCAUCUUUCAACUUAGCUUUCUCUAGGAACACAUUAAAAUUCAACGGAACAGUAGCACGGGCCAUUUAUCUACAACAACAUAGACAUGCAAAAUACUAUCAGGUACUAAGUUCAUGAUAAAUUAAAGUUCAAUUAAUCAUAUUACUUAAGAACUCCCACUUAGAUAGACAUCCCUCUAAUCAUCUAAGUGAUCACGUGAUCCAAAUCAACUAAACCAUGUCCGAUCAUCUCGUGAGAUGGAGUAGUUUUCAAUGGUGAACAUCACUAUGUUGAUCAUAUCUACUAUAUGAUUCACGCUUGACCUUUCGGUCUCAGUGUUCCGAGGCCAUAUCUGCAUAUUCUAGGUCGUCAAGUUUAACCCGAGUAUUUUGCGUGUGCAAAACUGGCUUGGACCCGUUGUAUGUGAACGUAGAGCUUAUCACACCCGAUCAUCACGUGGUGUCUUGGCACGAUGAACUGUCGCAACGGUGCAUACUCAGGGAGAACACUUAUACCUUGAAAUUUAGUGAGAGAUCAUCUUAUAAUGCUACAGCCGAACUAAGCAAAAUAAGAUGCAUAAAGGAUAAACAUCAUAUGCAAUCAAUAUAAGUGAUAUGAUAUGGCCAUCAUCAUCUUGUGCCUUUGAUCUCCAUCUCCAAAGCACCGUCAUGAUCACCAUCGUCACCAGCGCGACACCUUGAUCUCCAUCGUAGCAUCGUUAUCGGUGUCAGUGUCAAAACCGGCGGAUCUCGGGUAGGGGGUCCCGAACUGUGCGUCUAAGGUCGAUGGUUAAUAGGAGACGGGGGACACGAUGUUUACCCAGGUUCGGGCCCUCUCUAUGGAGGUAAUACCCUACUUCCUUCUUGAUUGAUCUUGAUGAAUAUGAGUAUUACAAGAGUUGAUCUACCACCAGAUCAUAAUGGCUAAACCCUAGAAGUCUAGCCUAUAUGACUAUGGUAAUGAGUGUAUCCUUUCCGGACUAUUCCCUCCGGUUUAUAUAGACACCGGGGGGAUCUAGGGUUACAUAAGAAGGAAUCUUCAUAGUUGGUCGCCAAGCUUGCCUUCCACGCCAAGGAGAGUCCAAUCCAAACAUGGGUAUAGUCUUCGGCCUUCAUGUCUUCACAGCCCAUAAGUCCGGCCCACUGAUAAUAGGUCGGACGCCCGAGGACCCCUUAGUCCAGGACUCCCUCAGUAGCCCCAGAACCUGGCUUCAAUGACGAGGAGUCCGGCGCGCAGAUUGUCUUCGGCAUUGCAAGGCGGGUUCCCUUUUUCCGAACUCCAAGAUAGUAUUCAGACGCGUUGAUAGUAUCCGGACCUGUCACACACACCAUACACAACCACAGAGGGAAUUUAACUUUACACAAGUCCAAUCUGCUGACAAAUUUUUGUAGCAUGCCAUCACGUCCGACCGGUCAUAAUUCUGAACCGUUUUAUGCCCGACGCCCCACGUCCCGAGAGGCGGUUGCUAUUGGCACGUCCUGUCAAAGCAGAGAUCGUGUCCCCUUAUCGUGGGAUUCUCAUUAAUGCGGGCAUGGGUAACCCAACCGUGCCGUUUACACAGGCCUUGGGAAUAGGUGUAUUCUAAGGCGAGUGGGGAGGCGUUCAAUAUUUACUACCUUUAUGAGGGGAUAAGGACUCCCUCUUCUUCUCCCAUGCCUUCUCUCUAUCUCUGCGCUUCCAAUCUCGAGCUCCAGCGCCCAAGUUCUCAUCUCCUUUCCACUCGAGCUAGCACUCAACCAUGUCCGGAUCUGGAGGUCAGGGCAAGUGGAUGAUCUCCUCCGUCAAGGAGGAGGACAUUACCGAGCUUCGGGUGGCCCGAUACUUGGCGAAGGAAAUCGCCCACCGUCUGCCGGCCGAGGGACAAGUCCUCCCGAUGCCGGAGCCCAACGAGAGGGUGGUAUUCAUCCCUCAUUUCUUCCACUGACUGGGUUUCCCGCUCCACCCUUUCGUCUGCGGGCUGAUGUAUUACUAUGGGAUAGAUUUCCACGAUCUGUCCCCAAACUCCUUCCUCAACAUCUCGGCGUUUAUCGUCGUGUGCGAGGCCAUCCUCCGCAUCCAACCCCACUUCGGGCUGUGGCUCAAAGUUUUCAACGUGAAGCCGAAGGUGGUGGAUGGCCAGCACGCGGAGUGCGGAGGAGCUAUGGUGAGUAAGUUGUCCAAUGUCUCCUGGCCGAAAGGCACUUUUGUGGAGACAGUAAAGGAGUGGCAGAAACAAUGGUUCUACAUCACGGAACCCCGCGGCACCACUAGAGCCGCAGCUGUCGAAUUCCGCUCCGACGCUCCCAUGUGACUCACCUCCUGGGUAGAGAAGAGUCCGGACUGGUGUUCGCCCGAUGACCUGAUUGCGCUCCAGACGCGCAUUCAGAGCAUGAUAGCCAAGAACGUCAAGCUUGUCGAUGUAAUUCAGGUGAUGCUGGUUCGCUGGAUCCUUCCGUGCCAAUGCAGAAGUCGUCCUCUGUGGGAUUUUAACCCGAAGAAGCGCCAAACCCUGGUGAGGCUCUUUGAAACUACUCACGAGCGUGCCUGGAAGUUGCUCUUCAAGGGCAACGAGAAACCGCAGGCCACGGAUUCGGACCGUGGGCACGACAUUAAGCACCUCGCCAGCGAGGUAUACUAUUUUUAACGUAUCCUCUACUUGCUUGUUUCGAGGAUGAUGUCUGAGCUUUUAUCAUUGCUGUUUCAGGAUUGGACGGAGAAGGCGAAGCGGAUCCAGUGUCCGGCUCCGCUGCCGGAAGAACCGGUCAUCCCGCGUCUAGCGAUGAUGCUGGUGCCGACGCCAUAUAAGGCGCCGGAGAAGAAGGCCAAGGGGGCCAAAGUUGGCCCCCGUCGCAAAGGCGCUUCGGAUGUGACGUCCGAAGACGAAGAAGCCCAUUCCUCCGUCCCUGAGGACAAUGACGAGGAAGAGGAGGAGGAGGAGGAGGAGGAGAAGAACCUUCCUCCUAAGGAGGGAAAGAAGAAAAGGGGGGCCUCCACGAAUCUGGAGGCGGGAACGCCCAAGAAGGGGAAGGGCGCCCCUGCGGUCAACACCGUGUGGGACGUUGACAGCAGUUCGGAGCGACGCCUUCGCACUAAGCCUCGGGACGCAUUGUAAGUGCUAUGACUCACAUAUACAUGUGUACCCGGCCUCUCAUUCUUAUUGUUUUAACGUGGUUAAUUGUGCUAUUGCAGUCCGGCCCGUGACAGCAUCCAGUGAUCCUCAUCCGGAGGUUCGUUGGAUCCAACGGAAAUGGCCAGCAUGUCGCCACCGCCCGCUUAUUCUCCCGAGGUCAAAGAUGACACCGAAGUGUUGUCUCGGAGGACUGCUCCAAGCCGGGGAAGGGCCCAGGACAAUAACCCGGAGGCGCCGCAAGGCGAGACCUCCGCUGCCGAACAUGAUUCCCCUGAAGACUGGCGAGGAGGGACGUAUUCAGUUCGGCCCUCAGCCGAACAUGAUUCCGGGGACCAAUAAGGCCUCGGAAUCCGGCUAGCGCCCUCCUUCAAAGGAGGGAGGUGCGCCAAUUCUAUCGGUGGCCCCUGUCCAACCAGGGGCGCCGAAUAACCCGAUGGAGGCGCUGCAAGGCGCCUGCAUUAUGGACGAGCAUCGUGUCCUUAUUGGUAUGGUGAUCGAGAAGGUUCAGUCUGCCAAAAGCGGACUAAACGAGGCCUGAGCAACCUGUUAACAGGUUUUGAGGUAAGUUGCGUAGAAAGAGAACAACCCCAUGCAGAUAGUAGCCCCUGAGACACUGUCCGGUGUUCGAAAAGAAAGGCCGGACAGAGGAUCAACCCUUUGUAGGAGACUAACUUGAUAUGCGCAAAUGAGCAGGCGUCGCUAUUGGCCGCGACCUCUCAUGCUGCCAAAGUCUCUGAUCUGAGGCAGAGACUGGAGCGGGCCGAGAACGAGCUCAGUGAGGCGAAGAUUCAGCUCCAGGAGAGGCAAGGUGAGCGACGACUUGUUGUGUAUUCGGAAAGAAUAAGCGGGGAGUAUUGACCGCAGUGUCAUACUAUGUGUAGGGGCGGCGACCGAGGUCAAGGCCCUGAAAAAUGCCCUGGCCGAAGCCGAGGGGAAGGCUGUCCAGCAGCAAGCCGCCCAUAAGAAGCUCAAGGCCCGGGUCAGCGAGGUCCAGCAGGAGCUCCAGGACGCGGUGAAGAAGUGCGAAGUCUUGGAGCGCGAGGCGUCGGUUCAAGAGGCCAAAUUUACCAAGGCUCGCCAGAGCGCGGAUACUGCACGGAAUGAGGCCCGGGACGCUCUCCAUGAGAUACAGGAGGCCAAGAAGGUCGCAGCGGGUAAGGCCUUUAACAUGCAAAGCAAGUAUGUGGAGAGGAAGUACCUUUUACUAACCCGGAUUCGGAGUUGUCCAGGGGCCUUUGCGGAUCUACCAUGCAACGUGUCCAAUUAUGCGGAGUUCUUCCGAGCCAGAGAAGGGAGCUCCACGGAGAAGCUGUUCUGGUCGCAGUAUGCUGUGCCAGAACAUCCGGUGCGCUUUGUCGAUCAACUGAAGCAGUUGGUCGAGCUGCAUAGAGUGGCCGAACUGGCCAUGAAGGAUUUAAUAAUCCGGCUGUGGCCAGCCGAAGCUAUGCCUAGCAGCUAUUUUGGCCUUGUGCAGCGGGUGGUAGAAGCCUGUCCGCGGCUAGACAUCGUCAAGCAAUCAGUCUGCAUCGAAGGUGCCCGCAUGGCCUUCGCCCAUUGCAAGAUGUGAUGGGCAAAGAUGGACGCCGUCGAGGUGGCCAGGGGGCCGCCAGAGGGCAAGGAGCACCGCACACCCGAGCGAUAUUUUGCGGAUGUCCUAGAAGGGUUUCGACUUGCAGCAGCGCAGUGCGGGCAGGACAUUGUUUUUGAAUGAAUACACUUGUGUUUUGUCCUUGCCUUGUAUGAUAAAAACGAAGCCGGUUUGUAAUACAAUGUUUGUUAUGUUUUAAUUGUUUCUUCCUAUGCGGCUGUGUUGUAUGAAAUCUGAGGGUUGGCCAGUCGUCGGCUUCCGCCCUCACGUAGGUAGUAUGGAGGUGUUCGGGAUGGAAUCUAAACAAUCUUUAUCCAAUUAUAUGGUCCUUAAAGGAGUUGUUUAGCGCAACGAACCAGGCAAUCAGACUAUGCAUCUUAAACACCCUCAUUUAGCCAUAGGAGUUUUAUAAUAAAACAUGGGCGCAGCCCCUGGUAUACGAACCAGAGUGCUGUCAGCGCCUGAUCGGGAAGUACCGAUCCUUCGCAUAACGCGGAAAAAAUCUCCGGCGAUUUUCAACCUCUCGAACAGCUGACCGGCUCUCGCCGCAUCAUGACAGUAAGUUUUUGGCUUUCUCUACUGAGGUGCUCAUCUGGGUAAACCAGGGCACAAUCGCAGUAGUUCUCCCUUUACUACCCUAGCCGAUGUAGCGGAACGUAGGGUAGCAAGCACAGGAGCCGGGCAACCCAACUAUUGACCAAAGACAUGAUUCGGAGCCAAUGCAUAUAAUGCUAAAUUCGGGGUGCCGAACAUAUCUAUAAGAAGUGUUCGGACUUUGUUGCUGUAUUAUGGGGCGGUGAGGAGCCCCUGGCAAAUAUGAAACAUACCAAAGUGUACGGGUGCUAGAAUGCAAGUAAUUAAUGGCAAAGGAAAACAGAAAAAGAGCAGAGGUAAUAUCUGUGGCCCUUGAACCUGGGCCAUGAACUGUUUCCAUUAUAAUUGGAUUGAUGUGUUAAAGCGCAUCGACACAAAUAGUGCGAUCAACACCCGGCUAUUUAACAUGCUGCCACCGAAGGCGAGCUGCGUGUGAGUCCUGAAAACAGGUAGAGUAAUUGUUAAAUUGACCUCUAGAGUUUCUCUUGUCCGCCUGUGCUUCGCGCCGCUCUGGUGUAUUUAUCCUUGGACUGGGCCAGCAAUCAGGCCCUCGAAGGAGGCAUGUGUAAAACCUGAGAAGGGAAGAGGAAAUAGUUAAGGUGUAUGUGAGUCCGGGAUCGGUCUAGCCGAACUAUGGAUCACAAGCUAGUUGUGCCUCCGUCGACGCCCAUGGAAUUUUGAGUGCGUAAUUAUGUACGUAUGGCACGAAUGCCACUGCCUCAUCGGGACUGGGACGGAGGCCGAAUUGCUAAUCGAGCUCUUGACGAGCCGAGCUAUCCUGUUGCAGUGUAGUCCGGACCCUCUUAAUGAUGUCCAGGGGCUCGGCAGCCGGAUUAUGGUGCUUCUUGAGAAGGCCGCUCUAUACCUUUGCUGCCAGGGCGGCGGUGUGCUCUUCUGUACAGAGGGAGCGUUCCGUGUUUCCAUUGACUGUUAUGACGCCGCAUGGACCAGGCAUCUUGGGCUUGAGAUAAGCAUAGCGUGGUACCGCGCUGAAUCUUGCAAACGCGGUUCGUCCGAGCAGUGCAUGAUAGCCGCUGCGGAAGGGGACGAUAUCGAAGAUGAUCCCUUCGCUUCGGAAGUUAUCCGGGGAACCGAAGACCACUUCCAGCAUGAUUGAGCCCGUACAACGGGCCUCUACGCCUGGUAUGACUCCUUUAAAGGUAGUCUUUGUGGGUUUGAUUCGUGAGGGGUUGACGCCCAUUUUGCGCACUAUAUCCUGAUAGAGCAGGUUGAGGCUGCUACCCCCGUCCAUUAGGACUCGUGUUAGGUGAAAUUCGUCGAUGAUUGGGUCGAGGACCAGUGCAGCCGAACCGCCAUGGCGAAUACUAGUUGGAUGAUGUCGACGACCGAAGGUGAUCGGGAAUGAUGACCACGGGUUUAAUUUUGGGGCGACUGGCUCUACUGCGUAGACGUCCCUGAGUGCGCGCUUGCGCUCCCUUUUGGGGAUGUGUGUGGCGUAUAUCAUGUUCACCGUUUUGAGUUGAGGGGGAAAUUUCUUCUGCCCCCCAGUGUUCGGCUGCCGGGGCUCUUCGUCAUCGUCCUUACUUUGUGAUCCCUUUUCCUUGUUCUCGGCAUUUAACUUGCCGGCCUUUUUAAAAACCCAACAAUCUCUGUUGGUAUGAUUGGCUUGUUUGUCUGGGGUGCCAUGUAUUUGGCACGGACGGUCGAGUAUGCGGUCCAAGCUGGAUGGUCCUUCACUGUUCCUUUUGUAGGGCUUCUUCCGCUGACCGGACUUGGAGCCGCUGAAUCCGGCGUGAACCACAGUGUCAUCGGUGUUAUCGCCAUUGCUUCAGCGUUUGUGUCUAUUGCGCCGGAGCUUGCCGGUGCUGUUUUUGGCUUCGGAGGGGCCUGCCUCGUUGGCUGUGUUUUUGCUACGAGCCAGCCAGCUGUCCUCACCCGCACAAAAGCGGGUCAUGAGUGCCGUGAGGGCUGCCAUAGAUUUCGGCUUUUCUUGGCCGAGGUGGCGGGCGAGCCAUUCGUCACGGAUGCUGUGUUUGAAGGCCGCUAGGGCUUCGGCAUCCGGACAGUCAACGAUCUGGUUCUUUUUGGUUAGGAACCUAGUCCAGAAUUUCCUUGCGGACUCUCCAGGUUGUUGAACUAUAUGACUUAAGUCAUCAGCGUCUGGUGGCCGAACAUAAGUGCCUUGGAAGUUGUCAAGGAAAGCUUCUUCCAAGUCCUCCCAGUUGCCGAUGGAAUUUUUGGGCAAGCUAUUUAACCAGUGUCUAGCUGGUCCAUUUAGCUUUAGUGGGAGGUAUUUGAUGGCGUGGAGAUCGUCUCCUCAGGCCAUAUGGAUGUGGAGAAUAAAAUCUUUGAUCCAUACUGCGGGAUCAGUUGUUCCAUCGUAUGACUCAAUAUUGACGGGCUUGAACCCCUCAGGGAAUUCAUGAUCCAGCACUUCAUCUGUGAAGCAAAGAGGGUGUGCGGUGCCUCUAUAUCGGGAAGUGGCGCGGCGCACCUCUGAUGAAGUCUGCCCGCGGUUAUCGGCCUGGGCGUGACUAGGUUUGUCACGUCCGAAUAGGUAGCCGUCAUCCCGAGUCGGAAGGCGUCCUCGCGAUCCGUAGAUUGAUUUGGUGUGUCCUGCUUUACUGUCCAGUUCCUGCCGAAGGUCGUAUGUAUAGUCCCGAGCUAUUUUGUCUUUGUUUUUGCGAGGCGGUGGGGCGGGCUGCUGGUUGGCAUGAGUUGUCGCUUUUUCCCGACGGCGGGGUGGUCGGUCCACCGCACUGUCCCGCUCGCGCGGUGGUCGUUCCGCAUUGCGCGAGGGAGGUAUGGGCUCCGGUGCCUCCUCAUCAAACUGAGGUAGCAGUCUGCGCUUCUGGUAACUCUUGGCUGGACGCUUGAGGCCGUAUUCUUCGGCUGCCAGGACAUCAGUCCAUCUGUCAAUGAGUAGGUCUUGAUCAGCUUGAAGCUGCUGCUGCUUUUUCUUCAAGCUUCUUGCAGUGGCAAUUAGCUGUUGCUUGAAGCGCUCCUGCUCGAGGGGUGCCUCAGGCACGAUGAAGUCCUCGUUGCCGAGGCUCUCCUCAUCCUCGGAGAGCGGAUGAUAACUAUCGUCAUCCGGGUCGUUGGGCAUGGCCUGUUUAUCAGGGUUAACUUGCCCGUUGUCUUGUUCCUCCUGUUCGGAUGUUGCUCCAACAGUGUCUUCGUUGUUUUCGGCGUCAUCCGGAGUAUUAUUUUCUCCGGUGCAAGUGUUGCCGUCUUUUGAGCGACGUGGCUUAGAACGGCGUUUAGGGCGCCGACGCUUGGACUGUGUCUCAGGAGGUUUAUUCUCAACUGGAUCUUCUUUGUCAUCGUCGCUAGCCUUUUUAGGUGUGUCGACGUACACAUCGUACGAAGAGGUAGCCGUCCAACAUCCAGUGAAUGGCAGGUUUUGACCCUGCUCCUCCUCGUCAUCAUCGUCUAUGUCGUCGAUGUAUUCGGAGCCGUAAUCAAGCGUGUCGGUUAAGUCAUCGAGAGUGGCUAUGAAGUGGGUGGCGGGUGGGAAGCAAAAUUCUCCGUCGUCAGCCCCUAGUUCGAACCGGACAUAGUUCGGCUGUGAGUCCCCCGCCAAGGAUAGGUUAUUUAACGAGUUUAGCAUGUCACCCAGGGGCGAGUGUUGGAAGAUGUCUGCGGCGUCGAAUUCGAAAAUCGAUAAUUGAUCCAGCUCAGUGUCCGCAGGCGUACGUGGUUCGGAACUUAUAGUCGGAGACGAGUCCGGAGUUCCGUUGACGCAAAUAUUGCAAGGUGUCGAGUCUGUGUGCGGCUCCAACGCCGCGGACUCUGUGGCCUCGGAUGGCGCAAUCUACUCCGGAUUAAUGGCCGUUGCAGAUACAGGAACCAUCUCCUGGAUGUGAUCCAAUGACAGAUUUAAGUCAUGUUGAUCGGAGCGAGGGGGAGCGAUCGCCGCGGUCUCGAAUCCGUUGAAGAUCAGGUCUCCACGGAUGUCCGCGACGUAGAUCAAGCUUCUAGAUCUGGCUCGAUGGCCAGGGGCGUAGCUGUUGAUCUGCUCCACAUGGCCAAGCGAGUUGGCCCGCAGUACGAAGCCGCCGAAUACGAAGAUCUGUCCGGGGAGGAAGGUUUCUCCCUGGACAGCGUCCCUAUCGACGAUUGAAGGGGCCAUUGAACCUUUCGUCGACGACACAAUGGAACUCUCAAUGAAAGCACCAAUGUCGGUGUCAAAACCGGCGGAUCUCGGGUAGGGGGUCCCGAACUGUGCGUCUAAGGUCGAUGGUUAACAGGAGACGGGGACACGAUGUUUACCCAGGUUCGGGCCCUCUCUAUGGAGGUAAUACUCUACUUCCUGCUUGAUUGAUCCUGACGAAUAUGAGUAUUACAAGAGUUGAUCUACCACGAGAUCGUAAUGGUUAAACCCUAGAAGUCUAGCCUGUAUGACAAUGGUAAUGAGUGUAUCCUUUCCGGACUACUCCCUCCGGUUUAUAUAGACACCGGGGGGAUCUAGGGUUACAUAGAGUCGGUUACAUAAGAAGGAAUCUUCAUAGUUGGUCGCCAAGCUUGCCUUCCACGCCAAGGAGAGUCCAAUCCGGACACGGGUAUAGUCUUCGGCCUUCAUGUCUUCACAGCCCAUAAGUCCGGCCCACUGAUAAUAGGUCGGACACCCGAGGACCCCUUAGUCCAGGACUCCCUCAGUCGUCUCACCAACUAUUGCUUCUACGACUAACGCUACCGCUUAGUGAUAAAGUAAAAACAAUUACAUGGCGAUUGCAUUGCAUACAAUAAAGCGACAACCAUAUGGCUCCUGCCAGUUGCCGAUAACUCUGUUACAAAAUAUGAUCAUCUCAUACAAUAAAAUAUAGCAUCAUGUCUUGACCAUAUCACAUCACAACAUGCCCUGCAAAAACAAGUUAGACGUCCUCUACUUUGUUGUUGCAAGUUUUACGUGGCUGCUACAGGCUUAGCAAGAACCGUUCUUAUCUACACAUCAAAAAAACCACAACGAUUUUUCGUCAAGUGUGUUGUUUUAACCUUCAACAAGGACCGGGCGUAGCCACACUCGAUUCAACUAAAGUUGGAGAAACAGACACCCACUGGACACCUGUGUGCGAAGCACGUCGGUAGAACCAGUCUCGCGUAAGCGUACGCAUAAUAUCGGUCUGGGCCGCUUCAUCCAACAAUACCGCUGAAUCAAAGUAUGACAUGCUGGUCAGCAGUAUGACUAUUAUCGCCCACAAUUCUUUGUGUUCUACUCGUGCAUAUAACAUCUACGCAUAGACCUGGCUCGGAUGCCACUGCUGGGAAACGCAGUAAUUUCAAAAAAAUUCCUACGAACACGCAAGAUCUAUCUAUGUGAUGCAUAGCAACGAGAGGGGAGAGUUUUGUCUACGUACCCUCGUAGACCGAAAGCGGAAGCGUUAUGACAACGCGGUUGAUGUAGUCGUACGUCUUCACGAUCCGAUCGAUCCUAGCACCGAAGGUACGGCACCUCCGCGAUCUGCACACGUUCAGCUCGGUGACGUCCCACGAACUCUAGAUCCAGCUGAGGUCGAGGGAGAGUUUCGUCAGCACGACGGCGUGAUGACGGUGAUGAUGAAGUUACCAACGUAGGGCUUCACCUAAGCACUACAACGACAUGACCGAGGUGGAAAUCUGUGGAGGGGGGCACCGCACACGGCUAAGACAACUGUCAACUUGUGUGUUCUAGGGUCCCCCUGCCCCCGUAUAUAAAGGAGCAAGGGGGAGGCCGGUCGGCCCUCAUGGGGCGCUCCCCAAGUAGGAUUCCUACUAGGAAUCCUAUUCCUAGUAGGUUUCCAACAAGGGAAGAGAGGGGGAAGGAAGGAGAGGGAGAGUGGGAGAAGGAAAGGGGGCGCCGCCCCCUUCCCUAGUCAAAUUCAGACCCAAGGGGGAGGGGGGGCGCGGCCUGCCCUAGCCGCCCCUCUCUCUCUCUCUCUCCACUAAGGCUCAUGUGGCCCAUUAGUUCCCCCGGGGGGUUCCGGUAACCCUUUGGCACUCCAGUUUCAUCCGAAAUUUCUCUGGAACAUUUCCGGUGUCUGAAUAUAGUCGUCCAAUAUAUCAAUCUUUAUGUCUCGACCAUUUCAAGACUCCUCGUCAUGUCUGUGAUCACAUCCCGGACUCCGAACUACCUUCGGUACAUCAGAACGCAUAAACUCAUAAUACCGAUCGUCACUGAACGUUAAGCGUGCGGACCCUACGGGUUCGAGAACUAUGUAGACAUGACCGAGACUCACUUCCGUUCAAUAACCAAUAGCGGAACCUGGAUGCUCAUAUUGGUUCCUACAUAUUCUACGAAGAUCUUUAUCAGUCAAACCGCAUAACAACAUACGUUGUUCCCUUUGUCAUCGGUAUGUUACUUGCCCGAGAUUCGAUCGUCGGUAUCUCAAUACCUAGUUCAAUCUCAUUACCGGCAAGUCUCUUUACUCGUUCCGUAAUGCAUCAUCCCGCAACUAACUCAUUAGUCGCAUUGCUUGCAAGGCUUAUAGUGAUGUGCAUUACCGAGAGGGCCCAGAGAUACCUCUCCGUAAAAUGGAGUGACAAAUCCUAAUCUCGAUCUAUGCCAACCCAACAAACACCAUCGAAGACACCUGUAGAGCAUCUUCAUAAUCACCCAGUUACGUUGUGACAUUUGAUAGCACACUAAGUGUUCCUCCGGUACUCAGGAGUUGCAUAAUCUCGUAGUCACAGGAACAUGUAUAAGUUAUGAAGAAAGCUAUAGCAAUAAACUAAACGAUCAUAGUGCUAAGCUAACGGAUGGGUCAAGUCAAUCACAUCAUUCUCUAAUGAUGUGAUCCCGUUCAUCAAAUGACAACACAUGUCUAUGAUUAGGAAACUUAACCAUCUUUGAUUAACAAGCUAAUCAAAGUAGAGGCAUACUAGUGACACUCAGUUUGUCUAUGUAUUCACACAUGUACUAAGUUUCCGGUUAAUACAAUUAUAGCAUGAAUAAUAAACAUUUAUCAUGAUAUAAGGAAAUAUAAAGGCUUGCCGAUCAUUGGGCAAGUCCACCAAAGUCCAUACUUUGUUCUCAUACAUGGAAGCUUUUCCUCUGCAGGGGCCUUGUGUAGUAAACCCCAUGUCGUAGGGGUGGGUAGGCCAAUAGAAGACUAGGGAACUUAGCCUAGCCACUCAGUUCUGCCCCGAGCCAAGCUAUCUCAGAUUUCAUGGCCUCAAGCCAUUUUGCGGAAUCUGGGCUCAUCAUCGCUUCCUGAAAGUUCGUAGGUUCAUCAUGGUCUAGUAAUAUGACUUCCAGAACAGGAUUACCGUACCACUCUGGUGCGGAACGUGCUCUGGUUUACCUACAAGGUUCGGUAGUAACUCGAGCUUAUCAGGCUGAAGCCUUUUGACAUAUGUGUCACAACCUCAAACUUUAAGAAACGACAGCUUAGGUUUCUUGCCAAACCACAGUUCAUACGGUGUCGUCUCAACGGAUUUAGACGGUGCCCUAUUUAACGUGAAUGCAGCUAUCUCUAAUGCAUAAACCCAAAACGAUAGUGGUAAAUCGAUAAGAGACAUCAUAGAUCGCACCAUAUCUAAUAAAGUACGGUUACGAUGUUCGGAGACACCAUUACGCUGUGGUGUUCAAAGUGGCGUGGGUUGUGAAACUAUUCCACAUUGUUUUAAAUGAAGGACAAACUCAUAACUCAAAUAUUAACCUCCGCGAUCAGAUUGUAGAAACUUUAUUUUCUUGUCACGAUGAUUCUCCACUCGACUCUGAAAUUCCUUGAACUUUUCAAAUGUUUCAGAUUUGUGUUUCAUUAAGUAGAUAUACCCAUAUCUGCUCAAAUCAUCUGUGAAGGUCAGAAAAUAACGAUACCUGCCGCGUGCCUCAACACUCAUCGGACCGCAUACAUCGGUAUGUAUUAUUUCGAAUAAGUCAAUUGGCUCGCUCCAUUGUUCCGGAGAACGGAGUUUUAGUCAUCAUGCCCAUGAGGCAUGGUUCGCAAGUAUCAAAUGAUUCAUAAUCAAGUGAUUCCAAAAAUCCAUCCGUAUGGAGUUUCUUCAUGCGCUUCACACCAAUAUGACCUAAACGGCAGUGCCACAAGUAUGUUGCACUAUCAUCAUCAACUUUGCAUCUUUUGGCAUCAAUAUUAUGAAUAUGUGUAUUACUACGAUCGAGAUUCAAUAAACCAUUUACGUUGGGUGUAUGACCAUAGAAGGUUUUAUUCAUGUAAACAGAACAACAAUUAUUCUCUGACUUCAAUGAAUAACGUAUUGCAAUAAACAUGAUCCAAUCAUAUUCAUGCUCAAUGCAAACACCAAAUAACAUUUAUUUAGGUUCAACACUAACCCCGAAGGUAGAAGGAGUAUGCGAUGGUGAUCUUAUCAACCUUGGAAUCACUUCCAACACACAUCAUUACCUUGCCCUUAACUAGUCUUUGUUCAUUUUGCAACUCCCGUUUCGAGUUACUAAUCUUAGCAAAUGAACCGGCAUCAAAUACUCUAGGGUUACUAUGAACACUAGUAAAUUACACAUCAAUAACAUGUAUAUCAAAUAUACCUUUGUUCACUUUGCCAUCCUUCUUAUUCGCCAAUUAUUUGGGGUAGUUCCGCUUCCAGUGACCAUUCUCUUUGCAGUAGAAGCACUCAAUUUCAGGCUUAGGUCUAGCUUUGGGCUUCUUCACGGGAGUGUCAACUUGCUUGUCAUUCUUCUUAAAGUUCCCUUUCUUUUCCUUUGCCCUUUUUCUUGAAACUAGUGGUCUUGUUAACCAUCAACACUUGAUGCUCUUUCUUGAUUUCUACCUUCACCGAUUUUAGCAUCGCGACGAGCUCAGGGAUCGUUUUCGUCAUCCCUUGCGUAUUAUAGUUCAUCACGAAGUUCUAUUAACUUUGGUGAUAGUGACUAGAGAACUUUGUCAAUCACUAUCUUAUCUGGAAGAUUAACUCCCACUUGAUUCAAGCGAUUGUAGUACUUAGACAUUCUGAGCAUAUGCUCACUGGUUGAGCUAUUCUCCACCAUCUUGUAGGCAAAGUACUUGUCAGAGGUCUCAUACCUCUUGACUCAGGCAUGAGUCCGAAAUACCAAUUUCAGCUCUUGGAACAUCUUAUAUGCUCCGUGGCGUUCAAAACAAUUUCAUAACGUCUGCAUCUGCUCCUGCAAUAGGUCCGUCACCUAGCGGUGCCUCAAGGACAUAAUUCUUAUGUGCAGCAAUGAGGAUAAUCCUCAGAUCACGGACCCAGUCCGCAUCAUUGCUACUAUCAUCUUUAAACUUAUUUUUCUCUAGGAACAUAUCAAAAAUAAAGAAGGAGCUACAUCGCAAGCUAUUGAUCUACAACAUAGAUAUGCAAAUACUAUCAGGACUAAGUUCAUGAUAAAUUAAGUUCAAUUAAUCAUAUUACUUAAGAACUCCCACUUAGAUAGACAUCCCUCGAGUCAUCUAAAUGAUCACGUGAUCCAAAUCAACUAAACCAUGUCCGAUCAUCACGUGAGAUGGAGUAGUCUUCAAUGGUGAACAUCUCUAUGUUGAUCAUAUCUACUAUAUGAUUCAUGUUCGACCUUUCGGUCUCCAGUGUUCCGAGGCCAUGUCUGUACAUGCUAGGCUCGUCAAGUUUAACCCGAGUAUUCCGCAUGUGCAAAACUGUCUUGCACCCAUUGUAUGUGAACGUAGAGCCUAUCACACCCGAUCAUCACGUGGUGUCUCAGCACGAAGAACUUUCGCAACGGUGCAUACUAAGGGAGAACACUUAUACCUUGAAAUUUAGUUAAGGGAUCAUCUUAUAAUGCUACCGAAGUACUAAGCAAAAUAAGAUGCAUAAAAGAUAAACAUCACAUGCAAUCAACAUAUGUGACAUGAUAUGGCCAUCAUCAUCUUGUGCCUUUGAUCUCCAUCUCGAAAGCAUUGUCAUGAUCUCCAUCGUCACUGGCUUGACACCUUGAUCUCCAUCAUAGCGUCGUGGUCGUCUCGCCAACUAUUGCUUCUACAACUAUUGCUAACGCAUAGUGAUAAAGUAAAGCAAUUACAUGGCGUUUGCAUUUCAUACAACAAAGCGACAACCAUAAGGCUCCUGCCAGUUGCCGAUAACUUUUACAAAACUUGAUCAUCUCAUAUAGCAACGUAUAUCACGUCAUGUCUUGACCAUAUCACAUCACAACAUGCCCUGCAAAAACAAGUUAGACGUCCUCUACUUUGUUGUUGCAAGUUUUAAGUGGCUGCUAUGGGCUUCUAGCAAGAAUCGUUCUUACCUACGCAUCAAAACCACAAUGGUGAUUUAUCAAGUUUGCUGUUUUAACCUUCAACAAGGACCGGCCGCAGUCAAAUUCGAAUCAACUAUAGUAGGAGAAACAGACACCCGCCAGCCACCUUUAUGCAAAACUAGUUGCAUGUUUGUCGGUGGAACCAGUCUCAUUAACGUGGUCAUGUAAGGUUGGUCUGGGCCGCUUCAUCCAACAAUACCGCCGAAUCAAAAUAAGACAUUGGUGGUAAGCAGUAUGAUGAUCACCGCCCACAACUCUUUAUGUUCUACUCGUGCAUAUCAUCUACGCAUAGACCUGGCUCCGAUGCCACUGUUGGGAAACGUAUCAUGCAAUUUCAAAAAUUUCCUACGCUCACGCAAGACCUAUCUAGGAGAUGCAUAGCAACGAGAGGGGAGAGUGUGUCUAUGUACCCUCGUAGACCGUUAAGCGGAAGCGUUUAUCACGCGGUUGAUGUAGUCAUACUCUUCAUGAUCCGAUCACGGUCCAAACGAUCUAGUGCCGAACGGACGGCACCUCCGAGUUUAGCACACGUGUGGCUCGAUGACGUCUCCUCCUUCUUGAUCCAGCAAGCAGGAGAGGAGAAGUAGAUGGGAUCACAACCAACACGAUGGCAUGGUGGUGAUGGUGGUGGUGGAACACCGACAGCGCUUUGCUAAGCGUCGCCGGGACGAGGCGGUGGAACUACGGAGUAACGGGAGAGAGAGGGGCGCCAAGGGCUUGGUGUAUUCUCCAGGGGCACCCCUCCCCUAUAUAUAUAGGUGGAGGGGCAUGGUAAAUAGCCCCUCCAAGCCCUAGGUCGCAGCUAAGGGGGAGAGGACUUGGACUCCAAGUCCAAUCCUAUUCCUACUAGGACUCCUUCCUUUUUUGCCUUCCCUAGCCACAUGAGCUUUUGAGGACUUGGUGUGCUUAGCCCAAUAACGCCAGGGCGCCUCCCCACAGCCCAUGCUAGCCCUUGGGUCGUGGUGGAACCACUUGUGGACUUCCGGAACCCUCCGGAAUCCUUUGGAACCUUCUAGAAGCUUCCUGGUACAAUACCGAAAAAACUGCUUCUUUUUCAGGAACGAAAAAUAUGACUUCCCAUAUAUAAAGCUUUACCUCUCGACCAUUCCGAGACUCCUCGUGACGUCCGGGAUCUCAUCCAGGACUCCGAACAACAUUUGAUUACCACUCAUCAAAUAUCCCAAUACUACUCUAGCGUCAACGAACGUUAAGCGUGCGACCCUGCGGGUUCGGGAAUUAUGUAGUCAUGAAUGAGACACUUCUCCGGUCAAUAACCAACAGCGGAACCUGGAUGCUCAUAUUGGCUCCUACGUAUUCUACGAAGAUCUUUAUCGGUCGAACCGUUAUGACAACAUAAGUUAUUCCCUUUGUCUAUCGGUAUGUUACUUGCCCGAGAUUCGAUCGUCGAUAUCUUCAUACCUAGUUAUAUCUCGUUACCGGCAAGUCUCUUUACUCGUUCUGUAAUACAUCAUCCCGCAACUAACUCAUUAGUCACAUUGCCUGCAAGGCUUAUUAUGAUGUGCAUUACCGAGAGGGCCCAGAGAUACCUCUUCGAUACUCGGAGUGACAAAUCCUAAUCUUGAUCUAUGCCAACCCAACAAACACCUUCCGAGAUACCUAUAGAGCAUCUUUAUAAUCACCCAGUUACAUUGUGACGUUUGAUAGCACACAAGGCAUUCGUCCGGUAUCCGGGAGUUGCAUAAUCUCAUAGUCGAAGGAAUAUGUAUUUGACAUGAAGAAAGCAAUAUCAAUAAACUGAACGAUCAUUAUGCUAAGCUAAUGGAUGGGUCUUGUCCAUCACAUCAUUCUCCUAAUGAUGUGAUCCCGUUUAUCAAAUGACAACACAUGUAUGUGGUUAGGAAACUUAACCAUCUUUGAAUAACGAGCUAGUCUAGUAGAGGCUUACUAGGGACACGUUGUUUUGUCUAUGUAUCCACACAUGUAUCAAGUUUCCGGUUAAUACAAUUCUAGCAUGAAUAAUAAACAUUUAUCAUGAUAAAAGGAAAUAUAAAAUAACAACUUUAUUAUUGCCUCUAGGGCAUAUUUCCUUCGUCGUUAGCUUAGCAUAAUGAUCAUUCCGUUUUAUUGCUAUUGCUUUCUUCAUGUCAAAUACAUAUUCCUUCGACUAUGAGAUUAUGCAACUCCCGGAUACCGGAGGAAUGCCUUGUGUGCUAUCAAACGUCACAAUGUAACUGGGUGAUUAUAAAGAUGCUCUACAUGUAUCUCCGAAGGUGUUUUUUGAGUUGGCAUAGAUCGAGAUUAGGAUUUGUUACUCCGAGUAUCGAAGAGGUAUCUCUGGGCCCUCUCGGUAAUACACAUCAUAAGCUUGCAAGCAAACGACUAAGGAGUUGGUCACGAGGUGAUGUAUUAUGGAUUGAGUAAAGAGACUUGCCGGUAACGAGAUUGAACUAGGUAUGAAGAUACCGACAAUCGAAUCUCGGGCAAGUAACAUACCGAUAGACAAAGGGAAUUACGUAUGGUGUCAUAACGGUUCGACUGAUAUAGAUCUACGUAGAAUAUGUAGGAGCCAAUAUGGGCAUCUAGGUUCCGCUAUUGGUUAUUGACCGAGGAGGUGUCUCGGUCAUGUCUACAUAGUUCUCGAACCCGUAGGGUCCGCACGCUUAACGUUCGUUGACGAUAUAGUAUUAUAUGAGUUAUGUGAUUUGGUGACCGAAUAUUGUUCGGAGUCCCGGAUGAGAUCACGGAAAUGACGAGGAGUCUCUAAAUGGUCGAGAGGUAAAGAUUGAUAUAUAGGACGAUGGUAUUCGGACACUGGAAGUGUUCUAGAGGGUACCGGGUACUUAUCGGAUCACCGGAAAGGAGUUUCGGGCACCCCCGGCAAAAAUAUGGGCCUUAUGGGCCAAGUGAGGGAACACACCAGCCCUGGUGCGCCCCUAUAGAGGCCCGCCCGAUGAGGAGGAGAAGGAAAGAGGGGAGGGCAAGGAAAGUAUGGAUUGGGAUUCCUACUUCCUUCCCUCUCCCCCCGUCUUUCCUUCCCCCUCGGUUAUAUAUGACAGGGGGCGGCUUGGGAGGGACUCCAAGUAGGAUUCCUCCUACUUGGGCGCCUCCUAUGGCUGCUCCUCCCUCCCUCCCACCUAUAUAUAUGAGGAGGGGGCGCCUAGCACACAACAGACAAUUGCCUAGCCGUGUGCGGCGCCCCCCUCCAUAAUUUACACCCCCGGUCAUAUUCUUGCAGUGCCUAGGCGAAGCCCUGCGAGGAUCACUUCACCAUCACCGUCACCACACCAUCGUGCUGACGGAACUCAUCUACUACCUCGACGUCUUGCUGGAUCAAGAAGACGAGGGACGUUACCAAGCUGAACGUGUGCAGAACUCGGAGGUGUCGUACGUUCGGUACUCGAUCGAUGAACCGCGUUGUGAAACGCUUCCACUUACGGUCUACGACUGUACGUAGACACACUCUCCCCCUCGUUGCUAUGCAUCUCCAUGGAUAGAUCAUUGCGUGUGCGUAGAAUUUUUUUUGUUUUCCAUGCAACAAUUCCCAACAGUGGCAUCAUGAGCCAGGUCUAUGCGUAGAUGAUAUGCACGGGUAGAACACAAAGAGUUCUGGGCGGUGAUAGUCAUACUGCUUACCACCAAUAUCUUAUUUUGAUUCGGCGGUAUUGUGGGAUGAAGCGGUCCGGACCAACAUUACAUGUCCACGCACAUGAGACCGGUUCCACCGACUACAUGCAACUAGUUUUGCAUAAAGGUGGCUGGCGGGUGACUGUUUCUCCUACUUUAGUUGAAUGAGGCGGCAACGAUCGGUGAUGUCGAAGAGCCCAGAACUAGAGUUAAUGUAGAUUCGGGCCAUCAGGGCCAAAGGCACCAGGACGCCGACAAGCCGAAGAUGCUAGAGAGGACGCAACCUUCGGAACGAUUGUGAUAGAGCCACGGCAGCAGAGAAUGACGGCGAGCCAUGGACGCUGGAGAACACAUGCCCAGGGCAGUCGGGGCUGGAGUCGCACUGGCAAGAGGCCUGCCGCGAAGCCUCAUGCGUCCAGCCGCCAAAGGCGACCACAACUAGGGAAUCACCAUGGGGAACCCACCAUAGUCCAGCCCAUAGCCAUGGUUGCAACUCGGAGGGGGGAAACACCACUUCGGCGCCAUCAGAGGGCGGCCCAAGCCAAUCAAGGAGCCAUGCGAAAUCCUAGGAGUUAGUGCGGGCUUCAACGACUACGUCUCUGGUGGCGGCGAGAUGAGGAGGAGGGAGGGGGUAGGUGGUGGCGCAAUUUAGGUUUCCCCUAAUGCCGCCCCUAGAUAAGUACCUAUUGAUAUCCCGACAUUUUGGUAUUGCACUUGGUCUUGAACCUGGGACAUCACUCGUGUGUGUCAUCUACUAUGAUAGCUUUCUUCUUGAUGUCAUAUUGCAGGCUAUCUUGCACUGAGCUUCCCCUUCGCAUGGAAUUCAAAGUAAGUGAACAUUGCUGUACUCUACUCUCCCAAAUAUAGUAAGAAGUGACAUUUAUCUUAGCUCUUUCAAAAAAUGUAUAGAUCUCUCACCAUCUUCUUUGAUAGAAAUGCUAUUCUUUCUUUUACACCCAUUUACUUUUUCAUGAAAAUAAGCAAGGUCUCUAACUCUCUAUACAAGCCACUCUACUCUUCGCCUCAUCUUUUAUGCUCAUAUAACUCUUUUAUUUCACAAAUUUGGGCGAGUAAAGUAUGCAAGCGUUAUCUGAAAUGAAUGAACACAAAUUGUUUGUAGGUGGCUUUUCAAGCCCGCCGUCAAAUCCUAGGGCACUUACUCGAAGCCUCGAAUUAGAGCAAAAAGGGGAUAUGCAACAAAAAUAGCUUUUCUUUCAAUAAUUUGCCCUAGUUACCAUCGACAACUUGGGCUAAGCCAUAGGUCAACACAUCCUCCGAUAGAAAUGGAAGUCGUUGGAUAAUGAGAUUUGCAUUAUCUUUUUUUAAACCCUACCAUAUAUUAAUUAAAUUAUAACAUUCAUACAAUCAUUCAUUACAAAAUUUGCCACGUAGGGCGGAGCAGUAUUCAAAAAAAUACCAUCAGAGCAAUUAUCAAAACUGAACUUUGCAAUCUCGUGAGCCACCGUAUUGGCCCUCCUGUUAAUCUUGUCUAUCUUUAUACCCACCAUCAGCUUAGAGACAUUCAAUGCCUCCUUCUUUAGGUCCACCAGAGUUGACCUGUCAACACGCUCUUUUCCAAACACAAAAGCCACAAAAGAACAACCAGUUUCUAAAAUGAUGGGCUUGUCAAGAGUGAUACCAAUAUACAUGCCAUAGAGGGUCGAUCUUAGUUCCGCUUCCUCGACGCAAUGGCAAGCUCUAAUGUAACCCCAAGAGGAGAUGAUAACUUGUCUAUAAUGGCUCUAAUGACCACCCCCACGCUCGCAGCUUUGAUGGCCUCCACAAAACUUGUGUCGACAUUAAUCUUGAAAAAACCCAAGGUGGGAGGCUUCCAGGAGAUACCAUUCCUCUCCUUAUUAGUGGUUACCUGGAGUUCUUCCACCACUUGCUAACUUUGUUGCACACCGUCACCUGUAUGUUUGCAUGACAAGACGAGAAAGAAGCCCAAUAGUUGCCGCGAUGGAUUCCUUUCCCUUACCAGAAAUCAAAUCAUUCCUCAAGUGUCAAGCUCUCCAGAACAUGAAUAUAGUUUGAUCACGCAUACGCAAAUUUAAUUGAUCCAAUAAAAUAAGAAACCAGUCUGGCCCAAAAUAUUUGAUAAUAUCUUUGGCUGGUAAAUUCCACACUUCCUUCAAAGCCAUACGAAAUGCACGAGUCUUGGGACAAUUUACCAACGCGUGAAAAAUACAUUCAUCUUCAAUACCAUUGAUUGAGCACGUACCUAGAAUAGUUUGAUGGUGUUUUACCCUGUUAACUUGAAUCGCCAAACUAUUAGAAGCAGCCCUCCAAGCAAAGAUUCUAAUUUUCUGGGGGACAUUCGCCUUCCAAAUUAUGUUCCAGAGCCUCCGUUCCCCAUACUAGGAUUCUCGGAUUCACCCUUCGAUUGCUUAAGAAUCAUUGCCAGACUAUACACACUCUUCACCGAGAAUAAACCACUCUUCUCAUGGUGCCACGUAAUAAGAUCUCCCUCACCCAAAGUGAGAGUAUGCAGCUUUAAAAUUUCCUCUGUAUCAUGAGGAUAAAAUAGAUGUCUGAUCAGAUUUUCAUCCCACCUCCUAGAUCCACUCAUGAAUCAGACACCCAUUUAAUCCUCGUUCUGUUCUUCUUGGCAGUAAUGUUUAGGCCAGCUUCCCUAAGAAUCCAACUAUCCCUCAAAAUAUUUAUAGUAGUACCAUCAACAACUCUCCAAAUGAUGCCAUUUUUCAGCAGCUCAAGGCCAUGCAUAAUACCUUGCCAAGUAAGGGGCGUUGCUUGCGGGAAAACAGUAUCAAUAAGAUGCCCAUGAGGAUAAUAUUUAGUUUUCAUCACCUUUCCACACAGAGAAUUUAGAAAAAACAAUAAACGCCAAGCUUGUUUAGCCAAAAGCGCUUGAUUAAAAAACAUAAGGUUGCUGCCCUUGCGAGGAUAUGAGAUUAAAAAAACUGUUAUCAAUACUCUGAAUCAGUUGCCGAACAUGUUACAUGUGCCGUGAAAAAUGUACGAGUUAGAAGCACAAACUGUGAGCUACUACAUCACACGAGCAGACUUACACUAAAAAACAUGUCCUUAAUGAAUUAGUCGUGGUGGCAAACUAAAUGGCACUUAUUAUCAUGUCAACCCCGAUGUGUAAGGUUGUCUAUGGUCAAAACUACUACAUGGUUUAAAAGCCACAAGAAGAUCUUCAAUCAAAGUAACACACAAUUGCAUAUAUAUGACAUCAAAUCUUAUCUCCCAUUCUUCCCACUCAAGACUCAACUCGACCAUGACAGGAUUCUUGCAGUUUUCUGAUAUCUUAAUUUCAUCUUCAAUGGCUUUCAAAGCUGCAUCUACCUAUCGCUAUUUCUCCUUCAACAUGCGCUAACUUUUCAUGCGUCAGACGGUCAACACAACUUAGAAAAUCAAGCAGACUGUUUCGAGAAAUGCUAUAGCUAAGGGAAAUUUCUUACUGGUUCAAGUUUAUGGAAAGAUGCGGCACUAAAUACUUGGCCCGGUGGAAAUCGGGGGCCCAGAGAGUAAAAUAAGCGAGGAGUUAUCUAUGGACAAUGUCCUGUAACCAGCAUCCGUAAUCAGUUGCCAGCAAGUCUAGCAAUUUUGCUAUGUUCCUGGUCUUACAAAAUCAUAGCUUCUUCGAUCCGAAUUAAUUAACACAGUCUUUAUGCAAUAAUAGGCUGUGAAUCAAUUGACGCAGCCUCUAUACAACACGCAGGCUGGAGGAGGAAGUAUGAGAGAGUGAUUUUCACUUGUGGUGUGGUAAGAGAAGCACGUACGUACGGCAUGUCCGCAUGUGCAUAUUAUAUUUUAUCAGCUCUAAUAAACACCCAAGAAUAGGAUAAUAUGAAAUCUUGCAAUGAGACUUGGACACGUCGAUCAAACAGGGGCUAGGGCUUUCAAAAAAGAAAACAGAAGCUAAAGCUAGGGCGCGUGGCCCGCCGACCACCGCAUAUCGCCUCGCCUGCAUCUCACCUUUUCUUUGCAUCGUGAGGAACGUCGGCAUUAUUGGACUUCACCGUCACACUGCCCCACCCAAUCUCCUUCCUGAACCAGCCUUUACACUUGUAUAUUGGUCUCCUACUUGGCCUUCGGUACUUCAUCCGCAUGUGUUGGAUCGAAUCAGCAGCUCGUGAUAUGGGUGAGCAAUCGAGCUUCGCGAAGCUACUACUUUGUACGUGGCGGCAAGGUACGAGCACCGCCGCGCGACGUGUCCCGUUGCUUCUGCCUAUAAAUGCCGCCUGCUCCAAUCUCCUUUCCAACACAAGCAGUCGAUUCAUCCAAGCCAGAGUUGAGCAAUACUAGCAGUGAGAUUUGGCCCUUCCGAUCGAGUGAUUUCAGUUCGUGUUUGUUAGUGAGAGAGAAGACAAGCGGAGAUGGCCUCCAACCAGAACCAGGCGAGCUACAUGGCCGGCGAGACCAAGGCCCGCACCGAGGUAACCGUCGUCUCCUAUAGUGCCUACCACUUCAUCCUGCUGCCGCGCGCAUGCGCCGUUGCUUCCGGCGGUGAUCUGAAAUGCUCUCUUCGUUGUGCAGGAGAAGACCGGGCAGAUGAUGGACAAGGCGGGCCAGGCCACGGAGGCCACCAAGCAGAAGGCCGGCGAGACGGCCGAGGCCACCAAGCAGAAGGCCGGCGAGGCCAAGGACAAGACGGCCCAGACGGCUCAGGCGGCCAAGGACCGCGCCGCCGAGAGCAAGGACCAGACCGGCAGCUUCCUCGGCGAGAAGACUGAGGCGGCCAAGCAGAAGGCGUCGGAGACGGCGCAGUACGCGCAGGAUAGGUCCUCCGACGCCGCGCAGUACACCAAGGAAUCCGCCGUUGCCGGCAAGGACAAAACCGGCAGCGUGCUCCAGCAGGCCGGCGAGACGGUGGUGAGCGCGGUGGUGGGCGCCAAGGACGCGGUGGCGAACACGCUGGGCAUGGGCGGUGACAACACCACCAAGGACACCACCACCAGGAAUCACUAGAUGCAUGCGUUCGCGCUUAAUUUGCUUUCCUUUAGUCGUGUUUGGUCGUUCACGAGCCUUCUACUAUGUUUCCACUCUUUCGUGAUUUUCCGCUCAUUUAGUGUAAGUUUGCCGCCGAUUUGAUCUACCCGUGUCCCGUUCUGUAAUGAGUUACUUAUAAUCCAUGUACUUCACUCGAAGGCGGCAAUAAAGUUAUAUGUGAUCGAAUUUCUUUUGUCACGGUAUCAUUGAAACUUCAAUCCGUUGUUGCCGGACCAACUGAGCAUUGCUCAUAUGGUGAGGUACUGAGGUUCGCUGUG